CUUGAAGUCCAUCCCAACGGACUUGCUACAGUACUCCAACUUAUGUUGUGGCACAACCUUAGUCAACAUAUAUGAAGUAUUCUUGUUGGUGUGAAUUUUUCUCAACUGCAAAAGCUUCUUUGACACAACAUCUCGUAUCCAAUGAUAACGUAGAUCAAUGUGUUUAGUGCGAGGGUGAUAAACUGAAUUUUUACUCAAGUGAAUAGCACUUUGACUAUCACAAUGCACCACAUACCUUUCUUGCUUCACACCCAACUCCUGAAUGAACCUUUGCAGCCAUAUCAUUUCCUUGCUUGCUUCGUUUGCCGCUAUGUACUCGGACUCAGUGGUGGAUAAGACAACACUUCUGUAACUUGGACUGCCAUGAUACAACUUGUAACAUCCCAGACCCAAUUUUACCUAUUUAUUAGGUAGUCCACGAGUUACUGAGGAAUUUAACCGUGUUCGGUUAUUUGGUAAUUUAAUGCUCGAGUUUAUUUUCGAAUUUUUUUUCUCAAAAUGUCAAAUCCCUCUGUUAAGGUCUUGAUGUCGUAGUUUGUGUUGGCACAAGUUCUCCGGUGUUUUCGGAUUAUUUGUCGGAGCUUUGAGUUAUUUUUCUUUGAUUUAUUUAAGGUUGGGUAAAAGGAAUAAAUUUUUCUUUUUAAUUUGGGCCAUAGGAUUUAGGGUUUAAAUCUUGGCCGUUAGAUUCGGCUUAAAAAGGUUAAGAGGGGGUUGACCCAGUCAAAGAGACCACACUCGGUUUGACCCGAGCCUAGACUUCCCUCUUCCUCUCCGCCUGCCUCUGGCGUCCUCCGCACGACGCCGCCGUCUCCGGCCAUCCCUGGCGACGAGACCAUCUCCAAUCUCUUCCUCUCCUUCUCUUCUAUCUAACCCGGUCCACAUAUCUCGAUUUUAGUCCGAUUCAAGGUCAAAUCGAGGGAGAGAAGCCUCGGCUGUUUCCGGCGAGUCCUCGAGAUUUUCGGCCACAGCUUGACGAGUAAAUGGUAGGGUUUUGUUCCUCUCCUCUUCUUCUCCAAUUUCAUGUCUUCAAUCGUUUAAAUCGAGCCCUAACCCCUCUUCUGUGUUUUUCUAGGUUUCGGGUUCUUAGCUCCGACGUUAUGUUCUUGCCCUUCCGGUGAACUUCCCGAGCUCCUAUGAGACCUGCAAACCUCGAGAGAAGCCCAGACGUCUUUUGGUGGAGCUUUGGAGCUGCAUCGAUCCGGGUUCAAGUGGAGGUAAGGAGCUCGGUUGAGGUUGAGGUUCGACAAGGAGGAGUUUCCUUCUUCAAUUGGUUCGUGUUUUGGAGAACAAAAGGUAAUCUCGUCUCCUUGAGCCUCUGGAUUAUUGUUGCUAUGUUGUGGAGGUUUUUCCUUGUUAGAUUGGUUGCUGAAAGUGUUGUUGUGCUCUUGAAUGUCGAGAACUUGGUGUUUUAGGAAUUACGGGGAGGCUAUGGCCAAUUUCCGACAAGUGGCCGGAAUCCGAUGAAUAUUUCGGCAAGUCGAUGGAAUCCGGCGACCCAUUCCGGCGAGGCAGUGUUCCAGCAGAAUCUGUGAAGGUAGCUUGUCGAUUGUUUCCUUGUCGUUUAAGUUGUAGUAUACGGUUUAGGAAAACCUGCCAUAUUUGGAAAAUUUGGAAAAUUUCUAUUUUGGGAAACUUUCCAUUUAUAGAAACCCGUUUGGGUGCCCUUAGUGAAUUUUGGGGUGAAGUUGUGUAGAGAGGAAAUGAAGGAAAUUGUUGGUAUUGUAUGUGGGCAUGCUUGAACGUAGGGAACCAUAAAAUAAUUUUGGAAGUAUUUUUGGUUUUAUUUGUGUCAUAUUUAGAGGAGUUUAAUGAAGUGAUGUGUGGAAUUUUUGGAGGAGUUUUGGAUAGGUUUGGGAUUUAUCAAAGUUUGGUAUUUUGGCGGUUAUUUAAGGUAGAAUCCGGCCGUUGGAUUAAAGUUGUUUAAUCUGUAGAGGUUUUUUUUUAGAGCUGCCGAUAUUUGUGGUGAAGUUUGGAUCGUAUCGUUUUAAGAAUGACGAAGUUGGGCAAGGAUGAGCGUGGUUACGGCUCAUAUUUAAUUUGGCCUAUUUUGUAUAAGUAUUUCUCUUUAGUUGGGAAUUUAAUUUUUAUAUGGAAAUAGGACGUGGGGAUGCUCAAGCAGAAGAGAUCUCGGAUUGACGUCAGGCUUAGGCCUAAAGUUGUGAGUGAACUUUUGUUUUAAAUAAUAUGCAUGCUAUGGUUCAUAGUUGAACAGUAAAUUGUGAUUAGAGCAUUUGACGUCAUUUUAAUUUUGACGAUUUUAUUUCUCUUGGAGAGUUACCAACUGAAAAUGAGAUUUUCGGUGGAUAUAAAUAUGUAUUUAUGAGAGAGUAUGUAUAUAAAAACUAGCUAGCCAUAUGUGUCUGUCCACCUUAAUGGCGUAGCAUAUAGCCGUAUUAUGGUGUGACGUGAGCGUUGGACGCGAGCGUAGUAGCCCUAUAUAGACCCAUGAAUUUAUAUAGGGAGUAUGGACGUGUGUAAAUACAUACAUAUAUUUUAGAGCCUGAGAGGCUCGAUAUUUUUUUUUAUGAGAUGAAAGUUUUAUCACUUGUAGCAUGCAUUCGAUUUUUCCUUGGAAAUUGAUUUGGGGAAACAUAAAUAUUCUAUUUAUUAAUUUAUUUUUAUCCACUCACUCUAACGUGUUUCAAAUGUUUUCCCCUGCGCCAUUCGUUUUAAAAUGCACAGUUUGCAGGAUUGCAUAGUUGAGGUCGGGCGUACAUGGAGUUGAGGCAUAGUCAAUAGUAUAGCUUCCGCUGAUUUCUAUAUUUCUAGUUCCUUUCCUCUCAAUUAGAAGUUGCUCUGAGCUGUAUUGUUAGUUAUGAAAUUAUUGUUAGAAUAGUACCUAUUAUUAGGAAGGGUUGUCCAUUUUCAAGGGAGGUGAUACUAAUUUUUCAGUAAACUUUCCUUCGAGGUGGUCCCCGCAGGAUUUACUUCGGGUUUCAGGGUGAAAUUCGGGGUGGGUCUUGACACAGCUCCCCCACAAAAUGUAAAUAAGUACGCAGAAGUGGACUUUCUGUUAUCAAAGUCCCCAGCUAAAUCUGCAUCUGUGAAACCCUCCAAAACGGGUUCGAAUCCACCAAAAGACAAGCACAACUUUGAGGUGCCCCUCAAAUAUUUGAGUAACCACUUAACAGCUUCCUAAUGCUCUCUGCCAGAGUUAGAUAAAUAUCUACUAACAACUCCAAUUACAUGAGCAAUAUCUGGACGAGUACAUACCAUGACAUACAUAAGACUACCAACAACUGAUGAGUAAGGGAUACCUGCCAUCUUGUCUUUCUCUUCUUGUGUAGUUGGGCAUAAUAAUCUGCUUAACUUGAAGUGAUUACAUAGAGGUGAGCUCACUGACUUAGCUUCUUUCAUGUUGAACCUUUCAAGCACCCAUUCAACAUAUCUCUCCUGUGACAACCAUAAUUUAUUUGCCUUCCUGUCACAGGUAAUCUCCAUGCCCGAAAUCUGCUUAGCUGGACCUAAGUCUUUCAUAUCAAAAGACUUUGAUAAAUCUGCUUUCAACUUGCGGAUCAUAGAAACGUCAUGCCCUACUAUCAACAUAAAACAACAAAAUUAUGAAUUUACCUCCAGUGAACCGCUGAAUGUACACACAUGGGUCUGCAUUAGUUCUUUUGUAUCCAUGACCCACCAUGAAUGAGUCAAACUUCUUGUGCCAUUGCCUUGGCGCUUGCUUCAGCCCAUACAAACUUUUCUUUAGCUUGCAAACCAUGUGCUCCUUGCCCUCGACCUCAAAACCUUCUGGUUGCUCCAUGUAUAUUUCUUCCUCCAAAUCACCAUGUAGGAAUGUCGUUUUUACAUCUAACUGCUCCACCUCAAGAUCCAUGCUAGCUGCCAUGCCCAAAAUAACUCUGAUAGAUGUCAUUUUGACAACUGGUGAGAAGAUCUCAUCAAAAUCUACUUCUUCCUUCUGCCUGAAACCUUUGACAACCAAGCGAGCCUUGAACUUUGUCAACUAUUCAUUCUCGUCCCUCUUCAACUUGAACACCCAUUUGUUUUUGAGUGCUUUUCUGCCUUUAGGAAGCUUCACCAACUUGUAGGUGCCAUUUUUCAACAAGAACUCCAUCUCAGACUUCAUAGCUAACAUCCACUUGUCGCCGUCUGCAUGAGUCUUCGCCUCCUCAAAGCAUUUAGGCUCUCCAACACCAGUCAACAGAGUGUAUUUGGAAUAUGGAUUAUCUCCAUCAUUGGUGAGCAAAAUAUAUUAAGAAGAAGGAUACUUAGUACUUGGCUUCGGUACUCUAUGAGAUCUUUAAACUGGUACUUGGGCAUUUUUUUGUUGCUGCUCUUGAUCCUGAUCCUUCUGAACCUCCCCUUGAUCAGGCUCCCCAUGAUCAUGAUCCUUCUGAACCUGAUUCUCCUGGUUAUCAUUUGCAGGACCUGCAGCUUCUGCUUCUAUCGUAUUAGGGACGUCUUCAUUAACCAUUUCUUGAGAUUUGUUAGACUCUUCUUGGAGCGGGGACGAGUCAUAAGUGAGGCGCUCUGCGUUUUCUAGUAUGUUCUUGUCAAAAUCCGCAACAGUCUGAUUCUGAAUAACUUCUUGGUUAUUGGAUUCCACAACCGGUAGCCCAUCUCUUCAUUACCGUACCCAAGAAAGAUGCACGGCAUGGCCUUGUCAUCUAGCUUCGAUCUUUUCUCCUUUGGAACAUGUGCAAAUGCUUUGCACCCAAAUACCUUCAAGUGAUCGAGAAUAUGAAGCGCUUCUACCGGUUCACACAUUCUCUAGAGUCUCCAAGCCCAACGGUACACAUGGUGUUCGGUUGAUGAGGUAACAUGCGGUUGUCACUGCUGUGCCCCAAAACUCUUUUGCCAGGUUAACAGUCUUUAGCAUGCUUCUCACUUUCUCCAAGAUGGUGCGGUUCAUCCUCUAUGCUACACUAUUAUGUUGUGGGGUGUCAGGAACUGUCUUUAUGUGUCUAAUGCCAUGCUUCGAACAAUAACCUCUGAACUCGUUUGAAGUGUACUCUCCACCAUUAUCACUGUGGAGACACUUGAGGGUUCGUUCCGACUCCCUCUCAACCAUGGCAUAGAACUCCUUGAAGGUUUGGAACACCUGGUCUUUUGAUUUCAACACACACACCUAACCCUUUCAUGAAGCAUCAUCAAUAAAAGUGACAAAAUAUUUGCUAUGACCUAGUGAAUCAACUUCCAUAGGAUCACAUACAUCCGAGUGUACUAGGUCUAAAACAUUCUCUUUCUUAAUAAAUGUAUUAGCAAAACUAACCUUAUGCUGCUUACCAAAUAAACAAUGAUCACAAGAUUCAAGUGAGGUAUCUUUGGCAAAGAGAAUAAGAGACUUCUUUGCCAGAACUUGCAAUCCCUUCUCACUUACAUGGCCUAACCGCUUGUGCCAUAGACUUGGAGAAGAGUCAUCCGUGACAUUCAACUCCCCUUUGCAUAUCUUGCCAUAUGUCUUGUAGAGGGUGCAACACAACUUCCCUCUAGCCACCACUAGUGAUCCUCUGAUAAGCCUUCACUUUUGAUCUCCUCCGUGAUGAUGAAAACCUUCUCGAUCAAGCACGCCAGUUGACAUCAAAUUGAGACAUAGGCCCGGAACAUGUUGAACAUCUUUCAACAUCAGCUUGUUGCCCAAAUCGGUCUCAGAGCAGACAUUUCCAAUUCCUCCAAUCUUGGAGUAGCCUUCGUUGCCCAUCUUUACAAUCCCAAAUUCACCACUUUUGUAUGUCGAGAAAAACUCUUUAUUUGGAGUGGCAUGGAAAUAAGCUCCAGAAUUAAAAACUCAUGCAACACCGGGAGUAUUGUCAACAUGUAGGCAUUCCCUUUUAAGACAAAGGAACUCAUGCACAUUAUUGCACACGGUAGCGGUUGUGUUCUUUGUGUCAUCCUUCUGUUGAUGAGUAUUGCCGUCUCGCACCUCCCUUGGAUCCUUUUUCAACUUGUUGCAAUUUUUCUUCAUGUGCCUAAAGAUGCCACAAUGAUGGCAUUUUCCGUUGAAUCUCGUCCUGGAUCGGCUCACACCCCUUCCAUGACCUCUAGGUCCUCUACUCUUGCUCCUACCUCUGUUCUCCGCCACAAAGACUUGGCUAUUGUCGGAGCUAGAGGAUUUUCUCCUUGUCUGUUCAUUCAACAUGUUACUUUUAACAUUAUCCAUAGUUAAUUUACCAUCAGGAGCAGAGUUACUUACAGUGAUGACAAAGAUCUCCCAAUUAUCCGGCAACGACCCCAACAACUGCAAUGCUUGUAAUUCAUCAUCGAUCGUCAUCCCCAUGGUCGUCAAUUAAUUGAUUGUACUUUGGAAGUUAUUUAGAUACUUGGUGACCCUCACGCCUUCACAAUACUUCAUGUGAACAAACUCUUUAAUUAGAAAGGCUUUCUUGGCGGCGGUCUUCUUCUCGAAUAACGACUCCAACUUUGUCCACAACUCAUGCGCAUCGGUCUCAUUUGCCACAUGGUAGAAUGCACUAUCGUCCAUCCACUCCCGGAUAUGGCCAAUUGCCUUACGAUUCAUCUUCGUUCAAUUAGCAUCUGAAGUCCCUUCCGGCUUAGCCUCAACUCCUUCGAUGGGCUCAUGCAAAUCUUUGCAAUAGAGUAUGUCCUCCAUUCGUGGCUUCCAUGUAAUCCAAUUUGAGUGGUUUAGUCGAACCAUUGUACUCCUUGAACCUUCUAUUUUAACGCCUACGCCCUACGAACCAAGGGCUCUGAUAACACUGUUUGGAAAAAUAAUAUAAUGGAAGUAACAACUCAAACCACACAAAUGAUAAAUAUGCAAAGAUGUAAAGAUAGAGGAAAAGGAACACCAAAUAUAACGUGGUUCGGCGAUGUGUCUACGUCCACGGGGUAACAACAACAAGAACUUCCAUUAUGAAAUAAUGGGUACACAAGAGAUACACAACUUCAAGAACACUACUUGAAGGAAACCCUCUCUCACACUUGUUUUGCUACCAACUACUCUACACUCUCAACUUGGAGUGGACACUCUUCUCUACUUGGAAGAUGGAUGUUUCUCUCUUGGAAGAGAUGCUUGAGAUGGAUGAGAUGCUUGGAAUGAGCAAAUGACUCUCCUUUUAUAGGCUAAAGACGAACCAUCUAGACCUCUAAUUAGUGCUCUCCCAAUAAAUGGUGCUUCAUGAAUCUUCCUGUAACUCAUGCCUUGACCAUAACUCCAAAACCAUCCAUGUUCCUUGUGUAACUCAUGUAACCUUAUGUAACUCAUGUAACUCAUGUAACUUACGUAACUCAUGAAACCUUUCAUAUUAUUUUCAUUACUAUUUUAUUUAUUUUGGUCUGGAUAUUAUAACAUUUGUCUUAUGCCGUUUCCAUUGGAAUCUGCAUUACUUUGAGUUCGUCAUUUCAUAGUUGUUCAUUGUGUUAGAUUUAAGCGAAAUAAAGAGUUUUUAGCAAACUAAAGGUUUUACACCUCAAAAUAUUUUUACGUUCCGGUUGUGUUUCUUAAAUAUUUUCUUAAAUUAACUGCCUUGCAUUUCUCUUGUUUUUAUUUAGAGACUCGAGACACUGUGACGUGCCUAAACUGAGGAGGUGCAAUUUCGGGCGUGACACACAACACCUAACAAAAGAUUAUAACUAAAGACAAAUAACUCUAUCCUCACAAUACAUAUCCUCACUCCAAAGAGAAGACACUGACAUGUCAAUGCAUCCAACAACGAUAGCAAAAUUGAGUAGAUGGUCGAUGUAAUACCCUAGAUUUUCAUAUCAUUUUCCUUGUAUUAUUUCCGGAAUUAAUGAAUGAUUAUUUGUGGAAAUUAUUAUUGGUUUAUGCGAAGUUGAAGUUUUGAGAGUUUAUUUUAAGGUGCCUUGACUUUUAAGAGGCCAAAAGUUGACUUUAUUUUUCGUAAGUUAUUUCCGAAAACUUCCUUCAUGAAAGUUGUAGAAUUUGGCGAUACGAGUUCGUAGACAUGCGGCACGCUUGAAACGGAUGUUGUAUGAGAAAGUUAUGGUCAAAGGAAGUUAGUUUCUAGUUUUGGAAAAAGUAUAAGUAGAAAAAUGUGUGGGAAUUAUUUUUGGAAACCCUAUAAUUGCAGCAGCCAGUUCUGGUUUCUCUCUCCUCUCUCCCGACCCUCCCACACUCUCUUUCUUCUCCGGUCGAGUUCUCCCUCAUCCAGCCACCAAAUUGGACUCCGCCGGUUCCGUUGGAUCCGUACCGAUGUCCUCUCCAUUUCUGGAGCAGUCCCGCUCGCCGUCUCGCCGCCUAGAAGCCACCACGAAGCAGCAGAGCUGCUGCUGUUCCGCAGGAAAGUCGGCGAUUUUGAUGGCGAUUUCGGCCAGGUUUAGGUUUGGUUUUUGAAUUCGGGUUGGUGCUUCGAGCCGUUUUCCAGCCGUUUCCGGCCAAAUUGGUUCAACUGUCAGGUGAUUUGUGAAGUUGUGAUUUGGCUUGCUUUUGUUGUCUUGUGGAAAUUGCAGCGGGAUAUUUAGGUGAGUAAAUCUCACCAAGGUUGACUUUUGAACCAAAUUUUAUUAUGGUCAUGUGAUGAUGAUAAUGAUUAUGAUGUUGAAUUUAAUAUUUUGCUAUUAUUUGUUUUUAAAAAUAUAUGAGCUUGAUCGAAAUGAAAAAAAAAAAAAGGUCGCUCCCAAAAAUUUUAGUGCUGUCGCUCCCAAAACCCUAAAGAGCCGUCGCUCCUAAAAAUUUCUGAUCCAACCUCGUCCGGUGGUGCCCGAACGCCUUGGCGAGCCUCUUGGCCUCGUCCUUGCCUUGGGGUCUGCUACCGGACGAGAUCUGCAAUUUGCUUGCCGGAAGAGAUCUAGAGGGAUGCUUCUCGACUCAUAGAUUAGCGGAUGGUUGGGCAUGGUCCAUGGUUUUUCUCUCAAAGGGGGUGGCUUCUGUGGUGGUGGAUGGCUUACGUCUAGGGCAUUGGCGAGUUUCACGCCUUUGUGUGCCGGUGUGGGUGGGUUCCAAAAGAACUUGGCUGGGGCUAGGGCUGGGCACAAAUCCCGUAAAUCCAGGUCCCGUCCCGGUCCCGUCUCGAUCCAGGCGGGAUUUGAAACUAAAAACACCGGUCCCGUCCCGUCCCAUUAGAGAAACAAUGGGACGGGACGCGGGAUUGAAAUUUUGAGUCCCGUCAUGCCCGUCCCGUCCCGUCUAACUUUUAAAAUUCAUAACUAAUUGUAGAAAAAUUAUUUUUGAGAGAUCCCAACUCUCAAAUGAUCUUUAAGAUGUCAUCUAUAACUUUCAUGAAGACACUAAACUCAUAUAACGAACCAAUUUGUACAGUUUUCGAAAAGAAGCCAACUGGUUCAAAUCUCAGAAUUUACUGAUAUAAACCCUAAACUUUAAGAAACCAUAACUUAAUCUAGAAAAAUAGUUUUCACGUGAUUCAAAUUCUGGAAUGAACCUUAAGAUGUCUACUACAGAUCUUAUGAAGACACCAAGAUGAAAUUUCAAAUGCAACGGUAUGAUUUCCAGAAGAAACGAAACUGAUGCAGGAUGGCUGGGAUUGGGCUCGUCCCGUCUAACUUUCAAAAUUCAUACUAAUUAUAGAAAACUCAUUUUUGAGAGAUUCCAACUCUCAAAUAAUCUUUAGGAUGUCUUCUGUAACUUUCAUGAGAACACUAAACUCACAUAACCAACCAAUUUGUACAGGUUUUGAAAAGAAGCCAACUGGUUCAGAAUCACAUAAUUGACAUGCAGAAUUUAUAGAUGCAGACCCUAAACUUAAAAAAUUCAUAACUUAAUCGAGAAAAUCAUUUUCAAGUGAUUCAAAUUCUGGAAUGGACAUUAAGAUGUCUACUACAAAUCUUAUGAAGACACCUAGAUGAAAUUUCAAAUGUAACUGUACGAUUUCUAGAAGAAAAGAAACUGAUGCAGGAUGGCCGGGAUUGGGCCCGUCCCAUCCCGAUCCCGUCCCGUCCCAUCCGGGAUUAGGCCCGGCGGGAUCGAGUCUGAAAAAUGUAAAGCCCGUCCCGAUCCCGUCCCAUGUGUAACAACCGGGACGGGACGUGAGAUGACCUCAAUCCCGUCCCAUCCCGUCCCAUGCCCACCCCUAGCUGGGGCGGUGUUUUGCAGGUGUGAACUUAUGGUGGCUUGAGCGCAAGGUGGCGACGGCGUGUCUUGGCUGGCUUUGGGUCACGACAUGGCAUGACGACAACGACCGGAAGGUAGGACAAUACACUGGCAUGAGAGCUGCAAACUGUGGAGAUGGUAGUGGGCUGAUUUCUUGCUGGGCUUUUAUUGUGAGCAUCUUCUUUUGGAUCUUCUUUUAGGCCUCAAAUUAUGGUAAGAGUAUUUUACUUCCUUCCCUAGUCUAAGUUUUUAGUUAAUCUAAGAACAGUAAGCUCCUUCUUAGGAGACCUAGCUUUGUUUAGUUUUCAAAUAUUUCUUUUUUGUUGUCUAGAAAUAAGUGAACGAAAUCUUUGUAAUGAAUGAUGCUAGCAUGCCACGUCCUUAACUUGCCCAAACGUUUGGCAAUGGAAGGCAUGUAUCCGUGCCAUUCUAGCUUGAGUAUCAAUGAAUUUUCCGUAUGGCUUUUACGUCAAAAAAUGAGCUUGAUCGCCAACGGCUCAUAGGUAAGAUAAAACAAGUUUUCCUUAUAUGUUAUUUUUGAGGUUCAUGUGUUCAUAAUUUUAUUGAUUAUUGAUAGAUUAUUCUUGUGGAAUAUCUAUGUGGAAGGAUAUAAUUUAUGAUGUGAUCUUGUGUUGUUGAAGAUGAUGUUGUGAUAUUAUGAUUGUUGGAUAAAUAGCCAAACCGGGUUUCAAGCCUUUAAGCGGGUGCUUGGUUACGGUUAAGAUGCUAUUUAUUAUUUUUAUGUUUUGAUAUUGGACAGUCAAACCGGGUUCCAAGCAUUUGGCCGGGUGAUUUGUUACAGUUAGGAAUAGAGCUCUAGUCUGUCAGUCGAUGUAGGUCAUGGGAGAUACCUUAUGGUAUCUGGGACCCAUGAGUACACAAUUUGUUGUUGUAGGUCAUGAGGGAUAUUUAUUAAUACCUGGGACUCAUGGGUACAUGUUAUUUGAAAAAGUGUUGGAAUUGUGGAUUUAAUUAUUGAUCUAAAUUGCUCUUGUGAUAUAAUUGGAUGUUAGAGGUGUUGUGUUAUUUUGAGAAUUACUCAUACGGGCUUUUUAGCUUACCGGGUUUGUUGUUUACAACCCGGUGCACCAAUUCUUGGUGUAGGGGUUAGACCUGCAGGGUUGAGGUGGAGGCUUAGUGGCAGAGUUUUUGUUGGGUUUUGCUGUUCACUGUAUAUUUUUAUAUUUUGGGUAGACAGUAUUAAACUCAUGUGAGUGUUUUCAUUUUCUUGACUUUCAAGUUUAUGUAAACAAGGAAAUGUAAUAUUUAACUCAGUGUUGAGUUGCGUGACAUUUACAUUUCCACAUUGAAUUUAGUUCUCCUUGAAAUUUAUUUUGAAACAGGUUUUGGGAUUUUAAUAUUUUAAGUGAUAUCAUGCCAAAAUUUUUGAAAAUUAUCCUUCGAAAAUUUGGGGUGUGACAGUCGAGCUAAUUGACCAAUGUAGAUAGCAAUGACUGGAACAUGAUCUAGCCACAAUAGAGAACUAAACUGAUGAGGGCUAGGUGCAGUUUCGGGCGUGACACACAACACCUAACAAAAAAUUAUAACUAAAGACAAAUAACUCUAUCCUCACAAUACAUAUCCUCACUCCAAAAAGAAGAGACUGACAUGUCAAUGCAUCCAACAACGACAGCGAAAUUGAGUAGAUGGUCGAGCUAAUUGACCAAUGUAGGUAGCAAUGACUAGAACAUGAUCUAGCCACAAUAGAGAACUAUAUUGUAUUAUACAAUUAGUGCGUCACACUAAAUUAGUUUUCCUCAAUUAUCUCUAUAUUUUAUUUUCUUUUUUUCAUUUAAUUUGUUGUUUACUAUAAUGACCUCUAUUUUAUUUGUUGAGAAACUUUUAGAUGCUACUGGAGGAUCACAUGGCAAUAUGACGUGGAUCUACACUUCAAUCAAAUAUUGACACGUGGAUUUAUUACAACUAAAAUAUAAACUAAGGUUUUCUAUUUUUUGUGAAAUGACCUUCAUGGGUCUUUGUUGAGUUUGGACUAGGGUUUGGGGUUUGGGGUUUGGGGUUAGGGUUUAGGUUUAGGGGUUAGGGUUUAGGGGUUAGGGUUUAGGGUGUAGGGUUUAUGGUUUAGGGUUUAAAAAGCAACAACAAACCUAAAAUUGUCUUUGACAAAAUAGCUGAUGUAAUUUUUUCUUAAUAAAAUCUAUGUGUCAAUAUUUGAUUAGAAUGUAGGACCACAUCAUACUACCACGUGGUUCUCUCGUAACGCUGAAAAAUUUCUCGCGUUUGUUUUAGUUGACUCAUUAAGGGUAAUUAUGACAGUUCAUAAUUUGAUGAAUUUCGUGAUUGCCUGACUUUAUUAAAGCAGAGAUGAAUAUAUAUUAUUAUUUUUUUCUGUAAAUAACCGAUUGAUCGAAAUGAAUGGUGAUUCAUCCGAAAUUUUAAAAAACUGUUUUUAUUAGCGAAAAUUCUUCUACGCUCCAUUAGUAUAUUUAUUAAAUGCACUAUGUUCUAACGAUUUUUAACCAACUUUUAGAGGAUCAUAGCAGAGGUACCGAAUUUUCAGAACUCAAACACGAGAUCCGGGAUGUUGUUACCAAACGUGACCGACAUAGAGUAGGAUUGUAAUUACCAUUUAUUAUGUUACCUUAUAAUCUGUGUCAACUCACUAGUUAGAGAGAAGAGGACCAAUUCCGAGUAUUCCGUUCCCCACUAUAUUUAGGAAUCCGUAUCGUGUGUACUUUUGUUUCUAUAUAUUACUCCAUCGUCUAUCAUCUUCAUCCCAUAUCCCAAAACCAGAUUCAGAUUUCAAUUCCAGCCGAAACUAUUGGGCGCUAGUUUUGAAUUUCAAAAACUCGCACUGUUGACGGACCCAGUUUUAUCCGAAAACCCAGUACACAUUACCCACUCACUCACAGUCACCCUUAUAUAUAUAACACACCUCCUUUUUCCCAAACCCUAAAUCUAGCACAAAACCCUAAACAGAACAAAUUGAAUCUUGGCGAUGGUGGGGAGAAAGAGAGGUAGGGGCGGAGGCCGAGGCGGCAAGCGGCCGAGGAAAGAAGAGAACGGCGGCGAGGGUGUUUUGGGAAUUGAGAAUGAGGAAGUGAAACAAGUAGCUGUGGAGGAGAAGCCGAAGCCGGGCAGAGGCAGGAAGCGGCGGGGGCAGAAAGAAGAGGAAGAAGACUGCGGCGGAGGACAGAGGCGUUAUACACUGAGGGAGAGGGCGUUGAAGGCGGAGACUCGGAAGAAGAGGCAGAGAAAGGUAGCGGCGGCGGCGAAGGAGGAGAGGCCUGACGUGUCGACUAUGUGCCAUCAGUGUCAGAGGAAUGAUAAGGGGGAAGUGGUGCGGUGCACGGGUUGUUGGAAAAGAAGAGAGAGGAAGAGAUAUUGUCUCCAUUGUAUUCAGACUUGGUAUCCCAACGCCUCGGUGAAAUCAUUUGCUGAGGCUUGCCCCGUGUGCCGUGGCAACUGCAACUGCAAAUCCUGCCUUCGUUUGGAUGUGCCUGUCAGGUGUUUGGACAAUGUGGACCCGAAAAUCGAUGAUGAGGAGACUAAGUUGGAGCACUGUAAGUAUUUGGUUCAUAGCCUGCUUCCUUAUUUGAAGAGGAUCAAAGAUGAGCAGGUCAGUGAGAUGGUUGUGGAAGCCAAGAGGCAAGGCUUAUCUCAUGUUUCGCAGCUCCAAGUUCAAAAGUCUAAUUGCCUUGAGGAUGAGCGUAUGUUUUGCAAUCACUGCAAUACUUCGAUUUUCGAUUUUCAUAGGACCUGUCCUGACUGUGAGUAUGAUCUGUGCCUUGUUUGCUGCCGGGAGAUUCGAGAUGGCAAGUGGAAGAAGAGAGAGGGGGAAGCGGGGCAUAAGUAUGUUGAUUUGGGGCGUGAGUAUUUGCAUGGAGAGGGAGAGUUCAACAGCUUGCUAAAAAAGAACAGAGAAAAUGUCAGAACGGGAAGAAGAGAACAGAAGAAGCGGAAUGUUGAUGUGGAAGUGAAGCCGGACAAGUUAGAAUCUGCUGAAGAGGAAGAUGAGAAAUUUGUCAACUUGGGGGAGCAUUUGGAUGGAGAGGGAGAGCUGAAGAGGAAUGAUGAUGUGGGAGUGGAGCAGGACGAUUCUGAAUCUGCUGAAGUGGCCACAUUUGAGUGGAGAGCAAGUGAAGAUGGAAGCAUCCUCUGCCCCCCAAAGCACAUGAAAGGUUGUGGUAAGCAUACUUUAGAAUUGAGAUGCAAUUUUUCUCAGAAUCACGUCAUAGAGUUGGUGGAGAAAGCAGGAAAAAUAGAUGAAAGUUACAAUCUUUUGCAUGCUAGUAGUGAGACUCCUGCACAGAAGUGUUCAUGUGUUAAACCUGUGGAUGAUGCUGUUAGCAUAAGUAGCAGUAGCUGUAAGAUAAGGAAAGCAGCAUAUAGAGAUGGUUCUGAUGAUAACUACUUGUUCUGUCCAAGGGUUGGACAAAUCCAAGAUGAGGAUUUUGGCCAUUUUCAGUGGCACUGGAUGAGGGGUGAGCCUGUAAUUGUGAGUAAUGCGCUUGAAAAUGGAUCAGGUCUAAGCUGGGAACCAUCUGUCAUGUGGCGGGCAUUUAGACAGAUAAAGAAUCUCAACCAUGAUAGGGAAUUGGCAGUCGAUGCCAUUGAUUGCUUGGAUUGGAAUUUCAUCGAAAUCAACAACUGCGACUUCUUUACUGGAUAUUCCAAAGGCCGUUUUGAUAAAUUGGAUUGGCCUGAGAUUCUGAAGCUCAAAGACUUUCCUCCAUCUACUGAGUUUGACAAUCGUCUUCCUCGGCAUGGUAAGGAAUUUCUAUGUUGUCUGCCUUUCAAGGAGUACACGCACCCCAAGGGAAGUCUGAACCUUGCUAUGUUCUUGCCAAAGGAGUCAGUAAAGCCGGAUAUGGGUCCGAAAACAUAUAUUGCCUAUGGUGUUGUGCAGGAGCUUGGACGGGGAGAUUCUGUAACCAAGCUUCACUGUGAUAUGUCUGAUGCGGUCAAUAUUUUGACACAUAUAGCUGAAGUGACCCUUGCUCCUGAAAAACUUGCAACUAUAGAUGAGUUGAAGAAAAAACACAGGGAGCAAGACCGAAGGGAGAUGUUUGGAAGUUGUGGCACAAUUGCUGAAAAUGGUAGUGUGCCUCAGGAAGAUUCAGCUGAAGUAUACGAAGAUGGGGGUGCAUUAUGGGACAUUUUCCGAUGCCAGGAUGUUCCACAGCUGGAGAAGUACAUCCAGAAGCACAUUAAUGAAUUCAGGCACUUGCACUGUAAUCCAUUGAAGAGUGUUACUCAUGCUAUACAUGAUCAGACUGUAUAUCUCACUGCGGAGCACAAGAGGAAGCUCAAGGAGGAAUUCGGAAUUCAGCCAUGGACAUUUGUCCAGAAACUUGGCGACGCUGUUUUCAUUCCUGCAGGCUGUCCUCAUCAGGUGAGGAAUUUGAAGUCAUGUAUCAAAGUUGCACUGGACUUCGUUUCCCCUGAGAAUGUGGGGGAGUGCUUUCGUUUGACGGAAGAGUUUCGCACCCUUCCAACAAACCACAGGGCUAGUGAGGAUAAGCUGGAGGUUAAGAAAAUGAUUGUGCAUACUCUUUGUAAUGCUGUGAUGGAGAUUACUGGUGAGAAAAAGUCUGAGGAUGAUGUGAAGCCUAAGAAGAGAAGGUGAGGCGCAAGGGAUAAGGCUCUAAGUAAGUUCUAACAAAAUGUGGUAUGAAGCAAUUAGUAGUGACUUAAUCUUGAAUUAGUAGUGCUGUAUACCAUAGGAAUUGGUAUUUGAUUUUGUAACAUUAACUCAUGGUUUUUUUUUCUCCAAGAUCAAAUCACAGUUGAUCGUUGUAGUUCAUGAGUAUGAGAAAUGGGAUUACUUUAUGCUUUCAUCCAUUCUUUCUUAUUUGAUUUUAUAAUAGUGUUCCAUACUGACAAGUACUUCAUCUGAGUAUGAGAACUGUGAUUACAUGCCAUUUUUAUAUUUGUUGAAGCCUAACAAAUGUGCUCCAACUUUCACAGCCUAAGCCUCUGGUUACUGUAAUAUCCUUAUGCAGCUCACCAAAAUCUACUCCCGCAAUCAGCAGAAGGCUAAGCAUCUCCUUGUUAAUUUGUUGUAACAAACAGAAGAGCUAGAGACAGUCCAGCAGUAAACAACAGAAGAAGGGAGGGCAGAGGCCUUUGGUGUUCCAAGAAUUUUGGCCUCACAAUCACUAGCCAAUAUGCUUUUCUCUUUUAGUUUUCUUCUAAGGUACUGCUAAUCUGCUAUUGUUUCCCUUAUUUCCUACUAUGGAUCCUUAAGCUUGAAAUUCUACAGACUUACAAAAAUAUGCCGUGUAUACUUGAUUGAGGUUCUGAAAACAAAUAAAGAAUAUAUCCAGUUCUAGUCAAAUUGAUGUUAUUUGUGAACCAUAAGAAUUUAUCUCUGGUAGACUGUUUUGGUUGUAGAGCUGUAUGAUCUUUUAUACCUCACCUACUGCAUAGAUAAGUUGGUACACAUCAGUGGAAGCCAAAAAUGGAUGUGUUUGAGUGAUUGAGAGAGGUUAUACUUGAUUUGAUGCGUAUGUUAUCAGCCAUUCAGUCCUCUUCUUGUUCAUUUUUUGAGUGACUCAAAUCAUUAUCGAAACAACCUAUCGGCUGCCCAUUCUGAAGGGUUUUCACGUGCAGUGGCUCACCUUUCUGAAAUAAUAGUUAUACUGAUAGAAAAUAAUUGCUACAAAAAACAUAUUUUAAGAAAUCAGAAGGGGAGCAUGUUCUUGUCUUUGUUAAACACUUAGACAGGUUCCCCUAUAGUUAAGGUACUUUGCUUGCUAUUUAUUUUGAGUACUGUUUAGGCUACCACAGUUGAUGUGCUUAUAAAUAAACAAUUGUGGCUAUGUGACUGUGCGCACAUUGUAUGUUUUGUUUUAAGUUGGUAGCUUAAUGUCUUGAGAAAUUAUGUUCCUUAUUUUUUGGUGAACUAUUGUCAUUGUACAGGGGUGAGUGCCUAAAACAAAAUUAUCCAUGAUAUAAGGCUACUACGCUCGCGUCUAACGCUCACAUCACAUCAUAAUGUCGUUAUAUACUACGCCAUUAAGGUGGACAGACACAUAUGACUAGCUAGCAUUUAUAUACAUACUCUUCUCAUAAAUAUAUAUUUAUAUUCACCGAAAAAUCUCAUUUUUGGUAACUCUUCAAAAGAAAUAAAAUCGUUAAAAUAAAAUGACGUCAAAUGCUCCAACAAAAGAAAUUGUACAACAAUAAACCAUUGUAUUUACCGGCAGCCAUAAAAUAACCCUCUACAGUUUUAGCAACAAUAAUCCAACGGCCAGAUUCUACCCAAUUAACCAUCAAAAUUACCAAUCUUUGACAAAAUCCCAAAUCUAUCCAAAACUCCUUCAAAAAUUCCAAACUUCACAUCAAAAGACUCCCCUUAAUAUAACGCAUUUAAAACCAUGAAAAUCCCCCUAACAACGGCGGCCGGCGGCCUAUUCCGACGACCUCCAAUGCUUACCAAAUUAUUUUAGGGCAAGGCUACUGGGUUGCAGACCUUCAAAAUUAUAUAAGGCUUGCCCAGAUUGGUGGCCGGAAGAGGAAGUUCCGGCGACGGAACACCAUGGACGACCGGAGCUCUCGGGCGCGAUAUCUCCCUCACGGCGGCGCUAGAGAGGCUGCCACCGGUCCAGGAAGGAAGAUGAGGUGAUGACCGACCAUUUGGGACCGGUGCGGCGGUCGAAGCUGGCUAGACGACGACGGACGAGCUCGGGAAGUGUCUGACAGAGAGAGAGCUCGGGAGGAAAGAGAGAAAAAAGAAGAGAAGAAAAGAGUUGGACCUCCCAACCGGUUCCUAACCCAUACUAAUACAAACCCAACUCCAAAAUAAUACCCUAAUAAAAAUUACAUUUUUACUAGCUAAAAUUUACCCUUUUCACCGUCUUCAAAUAUUUCUCUUACGAAUAAUUUCUCCGAAAUAAUUGUCCCUCAAAACACCUCUAGGAACCUUUGAAACUAUAAACUCAAUGACGAAGAUGGUAAAACUCUUAUUAACAUCAAGCUAGUAAAUAAGGUAAAAAUUUAAGAGUCGGGAUGUGACACCUUUUCUAUGUGAUCUACUUUCUACAAGCCAAUAUCUCUUUUAAGCUUCUGUUCCAGCCAAAUCAUGUAUUUUUCAAUCAAUAUGUCCUGUUAUAUUCAAGUGGUGUCAAUAUGACAAUUCUGUUACAAAUCUGUCCCCCAAGCCAAAGAGCCAACGCUAAUCUUAAUAUACAAUAUAUGAUGGAAAAAUGAUCCAAACAAUGUCUCACCUUUUGAAUUAGCAAAACUUUGGUAUCUGACCUUUAUAAAACUUCAAAACAGUAUCUCACGUUCUUACCUCGACUGAAGUUUGGUAUCUAUAACUGUUAGCUCCAUUAAAAAGACUGACAACAUCCAUUUUUAUUCAUAAAAUGAUCAAUAUACCCUUGAGUUUUAGUUUUAGUUUUUGUUAUUCUUUUUAUAUAAUAAAAAGAGAAAUUCGUCAUAACGGUACCUCAUCUUUUCUUCCUUAUAAACUUUGGUAUUUUAAGUUUUGAUGACAUCAGAAUGGUACCUCAAGUAUUGAAAUAUGAAGAGACAAAAAACACCUAUGAAAAAUAGUCUGAUGAAAGUUACCCUAUCAGAGGUUACGGCUAAAAGUACUAAAAUUGGGUCGGGAUGAAAACUUGAGGUACUGUCUGUUGUUUUCAAAACUUGAUGUACCAAAGCUUAUAAACAAGAAAAGAUGAGGUACCGUUAUGACAAAUUUCUUUUAUUAUUAUAUAAAAAGUAUAACAAAAAAAAAAACAAAAACUCAAGGGUAAAUUGGUCAUUUUAUGAAUAAAAAUGGAUGUCGUCAGUCUUUUUAACGGAGCUAACGGUUCUAGAUACCAAACUUCGAUCGAGGUAAGAACAUGUGAUACUGUUUUAAAGUUUUCUAAAGGUGAGAUACUAAAACUUUGCUUCUUUAAAAGGUGAGACACUGUUUAGACAAUUUUCCCAUAUAUGAUUUGUAUUCAUAAUUGUUUAGUUCUCCCGCCAGCUCUAGCUAUUCCUCCCAUUUUCAUUACCAUGUCAGAAAAAAAAAAAAUCUCAUGUCAUAUACACUCACUGCAGCAACUAUUCUACUGUAGAACCUGAAUCUCAACAUCAAUCACAUCAUCCUAUCCUAUGCCUAACUAAGCACACCAUUACUCCAAGCCUAAUGUCAAACCAAUGUCACUACUGCGAAUCUUUCUCAAACCAAAAUAAUCAGUACUCUUAAAGUUUUAUCCCUGUAGCAAGCUGAAUCCCUAUAACAACAAUAGUCGAGUUCAUGUAUUUCAUUUUACAUUUUAAGCAAUUUGUGUUCUCUACCAUAGAAAAGUUAUAAUCCUCAAGCAACAAAAAGUUGAUAUCCACCAAUUCAAUCAUCUACCCACCAAAUUUCAAGCAGCAAACUCUACCAACUCAAACCCAGGCCAAAGCUAACAUUUACCAUGUUUACCGUGAUGGUGAACUUUCAUGUUUAUCUUCAGGACCCUGCUUAAUAAACCUGAUUUUUCUAAAUUCAUUUCCAAACUCUGGAAUUUGAGAGAUUCAACUCUAUCUCAUAUUCUCCUUUUCAAGCUUUCAACACCCCCUGCACCUAUCUCUAGUAGUCAGUUAUCACCGCGACAAUAUUACAUAUACUGUCAUGCACAUUGCUCUUAAACUAAGUGCAUAUGCAGUAAGUCCACCAAGGAAAGAUACACUAUUAUGCAAAGUGCACAUGCUAAAUAUCAAGAAAAAAGCUUUUUUGCCUUCUCAAAGCAUUCCUUUAUACACUCCAAGAACUCACAAGUCUACAAGUCGCUGUUGGAACUGCAUAUAUACUACUGCAAAGCAUGGUUUCUGCAAUAAGGUCAUGAGAAGAAUGAAAACAAGGUUGUAUACUUACAGACCAAGGAGUUGCUCCCAGACAAUCAAUCUCGAGCAAGGGGUCGAUUUGAGAUGACCUAUAGCUUGGUCUGAUAUUGUAUUCCAAUACAUCUGGGGGCUAAGGAUGUUGUUGCAGUGAUCACCGCAGUUAGUAAAUACCAUGCCUACUUUGAAGCUUCUUGCUCUUCAAUUGAAAGCUUCAUGCCUCAGACAUGCCUAUAUCGAAUCAAGCUUUAUAAAUGCAAAUUCAUUUGCAAUCCUACAAUAAAAGCCAAUGGAAAGUCGUAGAUGUGAGCAAUCUGUUCAAGGUUCCAUAAUACAACAAGCAAUUUUCUUAUUCAAAACCCAUGCCCACUUGCUAUGUUCAUAAAUCAAGCCUACCCAUACUAGAUAUCAAGCUCUAUUGCAGUUUUUCAAACAUCUGAAGCCUACCCAUUCAAAAACCAAAGCAUAAAUUGUCACUGCAAUAUUUAUACUUAGCUAUUCUUACCUCCUGGAAUUCAGCCUAUGAAGACAAACUUCCCCAGUUCAUCAACCUUGCCAUUUAGAUAGAAAAGCAUAUACUCUCCAGAUGAUUUCCUGAUCUUAAACCCAUACUUCGUUGGGAAAAGGAGAAGUUGGCCUUGCCUUCUCAUAUUCUACAGCAACAGAAAAAUAGAAGGCCCGAAACAAUUAUGUUACAAGCUUGUGCUCAUGCAUUCUCUUAUUCAUUUAAUAUAUUAGGAGAAAUUUUAUCACUUAUUCAUGCAUAUGCUACCAACUCAUAUGCUAAAUCAUAAAAUAAGACAAGCUAAUACAUACUCCAAGCUCCACGCCAAGCUAAUAAACACAAUGCCAAGCGGAUUCACGACCAAAGAGACAUGCCAAGCCUUACGCAAACUCAUGUCAAGCACUUACUAACCAACAAUGUGACUUGGAUACAAUUCACGCAAGCGAACGUAUCGUUGUCAAGAUAGGAAAGUAAAAAUGCCCAAGUUAUCGUACCACGGGGAUUAGUGGCUAACCCACAAUCGUAGGCUAAUCGGAACAAAAGUCACUAAGCAAACAAAGAAAAAGAAGAAAAAUGCUACUCUAAAGCACCAAGCCUUACCAAUGCUUGACCUCGGUUAUCACCAAAGCCUAAUCAAAACUAGAAGCCUAGUGAUGGUUAUCUACAAUGAGUCGAAAUAUAAAUGGGAGAUGGAAUGAGGAGUUAACUAAAUUGACGACAAACAAAAUGAGAAAUAAACUACUAACUAAUGAACUAGAGAAUGUUGAGAACAUGGGAGUGUUGGGUGAUCCACACUAACUCAUAUGCAAACAUCGAAACCAAUUUCACAAAUACAUAUCCUAUUGUGCUAAGUCCCGUAUCUAAUAUCGGUUAAGGCUACUAGACCAAUUAUCCUUUCGGUGUAUCGAUUAUGCCGGUUAAGGCCACAAUCAACUCUCUAACUUAGGCAUUACGCCGGUUAAGGCCGCAAUAUCUAAAUUAGAGGCCUAGAGUGCAAGAUAAUAGAGAGCCAAGCAAGCUUAGCUACAAUUAAGCUAACUAAUGGUUACCACACUUCAAAUCCUAGAUGCACAAGACUAAUAAGUUGUCAAUUUAUCAAUCUAUCCAUCAAAUUGUCCACAACAUUAUCUCAAAGGGUGACAAAGCCUAGAAAAAUUCUUCUAAGGACCAACACAUUUGGAUUCAAAACAUACACAAUGGAAAUUGCAUUUAUAUCAAUCAAAGUACCAACAUUAUACAAAAUGAGUUUAGAGCUUCAAUACCCUAACUUCCAUAAUAGAAUCACUCACUACCCAUAAACAAAUACAUCAUCAAAUACAUAAGAAGUUAAGAGAAGGGUCAGAGAAGAGAGGAACACAAGCUAGAUUCACAAAUUGCUACAAGCAACUAUGAACCUACUUGAAAUUAAGCUCCCUCUCUUUACCAAUCUUGAAUUUCCCUUAUGGUGAUGAAGCUUUGAUGCUUGUAGGUGAGCUCUUCUUGAAUUCUCAAAAGAAAACUAACUAAAAUGAAGAGAUGAAGGGAUGGAAUGGGAAAUGGGAUUGGUGGUCACUCACGGGAAAGGGCAGAGCCCUUCCCUUCACUGUGUGCGGCUACUCUCUCUUCUCCUCAGUGUGCCGCUGCCUUCCUCCCCAGAAUGAAUGAGAGAACGAUGUAUAUACGUGUAUAAUUGAGCUAGGGUGCACGGUUGUGUGGCUGGGAUAAGGGUAGAGGUGCCACAUGGCAGCUAGCAAUUGGUCAAAAGUGAGAGAAAACGGGAUGGCAGGUGAUGGAGGGAUGAUGCUGAUUUGCAUCCCUACUUAAUUAACCAAUAAAGCUUAAUUAACCAAGUUGAUGGUAAAUUAAUCACUUAAUUGAUUAAUUAUUAUAAUCUUCAACUUCUAAGCUUCGACCACAUUGAGAAUUUCGACAUUUUCUCAAAGACUCCAUUUUGCUCUAAUGUUGCACCAAUUUCUUCCGAAAUCCACAUUUUCAUUUAUUUCCUACAAAUAAAUAAAAUUGGAUUAAUUACAUUAUAAUUAACUUAAAGAUUAGCUAAAUUGUAGUGUUAAAGUAGUAAUUACGUGUAUAUAAAUACACGUAAUCACAAUGCCAAGCUCCUCUUUGUCAAGGUCAUGCAUCUAUUCGAGACAAUUUGGGAGUCAUACCAAACUUAUUCCUAUAAUCAUGUGCAUUUCAAACUCCACGCACACUCCCUUGGUCCAUUAAAUAAAUAACUAAAGCAACCUCAAGCCGAAACCAUUCAUGCACAAGCCUAGCAAAUGUCUAAGCAUGGUUGCCACAAGCUCAAGAAAAUUCAAGUCUAGCAAAAGCAAACUCUCGUUCUACGCAUGCCAAGCAUAAAAUCAAGUAUAUAUUAGCCAAGCAAAUUAAGAAAAUAUAUAUAUCUUUUAUACAUCAUGCAAAACAAAUGAUCAAGCAUAUCUAUUAAUCCUAAUACAAUCCAUUAGAUACUUUAUACGCUCUUUUGUUCUCAUCUCGCACAUCCCAUUUUACUCUAACCAUGAAGGCAUUCCACUCAUACCCUUGCGUAUUCCAUUCCAACUAUCUUUUGCUAAAAUUCCCAAAAUCUUAUAGUCGCUAAGCCAAGCAUUCAUUCUUGACAAAACACAAGGCUCUUAACCUCACUAGUCAUUCUUUCUUCCAAAUCUACUAUUACUUUACUCUAGAUCAUUAUCGGUCCUAUUUCUACUUACACUAGUAGAAAAAAAGGCUUAAGCGACGAACACUUUCACAUUUCGUCGCUUAAGUAAAUCCUAAGCGAUGACAACAAAUAUCGUUGCCGAAUAUACAUGUUUUGUCGCUACAAUUUUCUUCGGUGACGAGAUUUUUUUGUCGCCUAAGUUUCGUCGCCACAAGUCCCUCACUACUAGAAAAUAGCACUUAGGCGAUGAAAUUAAAAAAUUCCGUCUCCUAAGUGGUACUUAAGUGACGGAAAUUUCUACUUAGGAGACGAAACAGUUUCCGUCUCCUAAGUUGUUCUUAGGAGACGAAAUAUUUAUUUUUACUUAGACGACGAUAUUUUAAAAAAAUAAAAAUUAAAAAAUUUAUAUGAAUCACUUAGGAGACGGAAUUACAUUCCGUAGCCUAAGUAGAACUUAGGAGAUGGAAAUAUUUACUUAGGCGACGAAAUUUUUUCUAAACAAAAAAAAACAAAAAAUCAUGAAUCACUUAGACGACGGAAAUAGAACAUUCCGUCGCUUAAGUUCUAAAAAUUUGAGCGCCCAUCUUCCCGCGNNNNNNNNNNNNNNNNNNNNCUCUCUCUCUCUCUCUCUCUCUCUCUCUCUCUCUCUCGACCAUCACUCUCAUGCCAGCCUCUCUAUUAUCCAUUCUCACCGCUCUUUCCUCCGCUGCCACCUUCAACUGCACCACCCCCACCAACGCCACCUCCAACUGCCACACACUCAUCGACUUCGUCCCCACAAACGCCACCACUUUCAACGUCGUCAAGACCCUCUUCAACAUCACCCGGCCAUCUCCGCACCCUCCACCUCCGCCUUCUCACCGACCCACCACCGGUGAUGUAGAACAGAUGGCGAUAGAGAUUGAGGAGCAGAUCGAUCGAAACAAGUCUAAACCCGGUCCAGAUUUGGCGUUCGGUGUCUGAUUGAUCAUUAUGAUACCUUUCUGGAAGCGGAACGGCCCAACGAACCAUCCGAGUCUGUAUGGGCUUUUUAGGCCAUCCGAGUCCGUUUAGGCUUCCAAAAUACGUAAUUAAUUGUUUUCAGUAAUUACUUUUAAUAGUUUGUUUUUGAUUUGGUGGUGGUGGUGUAUUUGGGGCAAAUUGUUGACAUGAAAUUGAAAGGGAGAUACUGUAUUGAAGUUUAGUGACCCCCAGUAGAACUUUACUGGGGGGCAGUAAAGUUCCACUGGGUUUACUAGGGGGCAAUGAAUUUGUUUAUUAGGGUAAGAAUUUAUAUAUGUUAUGUAUAAUUGACAUGAAAUUGAAAGGGAGAUACAAUAUUGAAUUUUACUGACCCCCAGUAAAGUUCUUUACUGACCCCCAGUAGAACUUUACUGGGGGCAGUAAACUUCUACUGGGUUCACUAGAGGCCAAUAAAGUUGUUUAUUAGGGUAAGAAUUGGUAUAUGUUGUGUCACUACGGGAAAUCUUGUCCUAGACGACGGAACAAAUUCGUCGCCUAAGACUCACUAUUCGUCUUCUAGAAACUUCACCGACGACUAAUCCGUCGUCUAAGUGUCGUGAGGUAGACACUUAGGUGACGGAAAAUAAGUUAGCCGUCGAGUAUGAUUUUUCCUAGCCGACGGAUCAUUUCUUGCCUUGUCGACAAACUUAAUCGUCGAUAUGUAUCUUUAUAGACGGAAACUUCUUGUCGGAAAGAUACUUAGCCGACAAAUACGAAAUUUUUCUUAGCCGACGAAAUAGGCGUCGGUAUCUGUCCGCCGACGAAUAAUGAUAUGUUCUUAGGCGACGGAAAAUUCGUCGGUAUAGAUUUAUGCUGACGAAUUAUGAAGAGUUCUUAGUCGACGAUUUUCUUUGUAUUCGUCGGGUAGGUUAUUUAUCUUAGGCGACGGAUGCUUCUGUUUCCGUCGCCUAAGUUAUUUAUUUAGGUAAAAAAAAAAGUUGAAUUUUUGUUUUUUAACUUUAUUCACUGUUCAAAAAUUACAAAUCAGUAACAAUAAUCAAACAUGUACAGAUACAGAUAUACCAGAAGCAUUGGAUUUGGAAAACAUAUUCAUAUAUUGAUCAUGAUCGAUAACUAGAUCGAUGGAGAAAUAUUUAAUGAACUAGUUAGGUAGAAAAUUGUUCAUACAUAUACAAUCUAGCUAAACUAUGAAUGAAGUACUACAAAAUCAAUAAUUGAACAAUUCUAUGUUGUCGCCUAGAUCAUCAUUGUUUUGUGGAGAAACAUGUGGAGGAGAAACAACUAGAGGAGGAGGAGGAAUCUGUGGAAGAGGUGGAGGUGGCAUACCUAGGCGCUCAUAUAUGGCUGCAAAUUGGGACUGCACAGCGCUAUACAUGGACUCGGCACGCAGGGCACGCUGAUGGGCCUCUUGAUAUUGUUGUUGGGCACGCUUCUCUGAUUCCUUCAGUCUCUGCUCAUAGCGCUCCUGCAUCUCUUAGAGUUGCUGCUCAUCAACUCUAGGAGGACGACUACGUGAAGUGGAACCAUUUGAAGAUUGGCUCAAGUCUCGCUCGCCUCCUCGUCCCAUCCCUCAGAUCUCCUUUCCUUUCCGAGUUUUCAGCACCGUACCUAACACCUCAAUUUGUUGGGACUGAACACUCUCCAUAAUCUCCUCCUCCGUCGCGUCAGGAUGUUGUUUCUUGAACGCAUCCUUUCGUUUAUUGACCUCAUCAACCAUAUCAUUCUGCAUGCAUUUUAAAAUACAUCAAUUAAUAAACAAGUUUGCUCAACACAUGUAUUAGCACCUAAAACAGUAACAGUUGAAGCUAGGAAUCAGUUGAAAAAAAAAAAUAUUUUGUAGCAGUAAGCAGGGGUGCCUGCAUGCCCGCCCCAGGGUGCCUGCAUGCGCGCCCCAGGGUGCCUGCAUGCGAGCCCCAGGGUGCCAGCAGCGCGCCCUGGGGUGCACCCUGAAACGUGUAUAAUCCAAGUAUUUUUCUUAUGAACUUGAUAUUAAUUAAUUGAUGCAUGUAUAUUAAGAUAUAUGGAUCGAGGUCAUCGAUCUAUCAAUUUUCUUUUUAAUUAAGCACAAGGAAUUCGAAGAAAAAUAGAAGCCUCUAUUUUGAUUAGAAGAGUAGUUGCACGCAUGUAGGUAUAUAUAACUACGUGUUCAUACAUAAAAGACAAUACAAGAGCCUAGCUCUCAGAAAAUAAACCAGUUUGGAUUAUUUCAUUUUACACAUACAUAAUCAACCUUUCAUUUUCGAGCUAAUUAACCAAAAGCGUCUCCAAGAUUACCGCUCACCAAGAUUAAGAAACCUCCCCCUGCUUUGAUCCCAAUCCCCUCUAAGACAUAGAUGCGAACAAUAAAAUAGUAAAAGGAAAGACACUUACAUAUUUCUUGGUCGUAUCUUCAUCACCGGCCCUGACAUAGGUCUUCUUAAAACCUUUGAUAAUUGGAAGCUGCUCCCCUUGUAUUCUGAGUUCCUCCAUUGUGUAGAUGAUAGGAGAAGACCCCAUGUGGUGAUGCAUAGUCUUCUCCCCACGGUUCCGCUUGUUUGCCAAGGAGUGUCUCUAAUAUAUACACGAAAAAAUAUUAAAUAGAUUAGUAAAAUACAAGGGAAACAAUGAAGGUAAUUUUAAAAUAAAAUAAAAAAAUGAAGGUAAUUUAAAAAAUCACCUUGAACGCAUCUGACUCGAAGUGCUGGCAUAGAAACUCCCACUGGUCCUCUCUCCCAAUGAAAUCUGAAGGCAUGCUAGAGGGCCCUUCCUUCAAAUAAUCUUUGUGACACUGGUACUUCCAGUCCUUGUACCUCUCUUGUGCCCUCUUCAGUAUCCAAUCGAACAUUGGCUCAUCAUUUUCAUCCCACUCAUACUUCGGCAAAGUAACAAAUAAAAAAAAAUUCAAAGAGUUAAGCACUGAAAAAAAAAAAAUGUAAUUAAGUAAAUAUACUUUUCAAACUAUUUUCUGUUACUUACUGACAAUGCAUUUCACACCUUCCACUUCUCCACCUGAUCAACGUCGUAGAAUGUCCUUGCCCUCAUUCCCACCAGACUCCGUAUGACGGAAUCGAUAUCAUGCGCCACCAAGCUGUUUAUCCCCCUCACGCUAGGGCCUUUUACACGAGGGCAAUACUGCAGCUUGAUCUUCUCCCCGUUUGUGCAACGAUAUCCUCCGCCUUCUUUCCAGAACAGAAACCCCGCUUCUUUUUCGGGGCCGGAGCUACAAUUAAUAUAUAUACAGAACAUUAGGAUAAGCAGCCGGGGGUGCUUGCAUGCGCGCCCCAGGGUGCCUGCAUGCCCACCCUGGGGCGCGCUGCUGGCACCUCGGUGCGCGCUGCUGGCACACCAGUGCGCGCAUGCAGACACCUUGGGGCGCGUUGCAGGCACCUGGGGCGCGCAACUUAAAUACAACUAUAAGAGGAAUUAGGGUAUUUACCUGUUAGGUUUCUAACUUUCAAACGAGCGCUGCCGACAAUGCGUCUUGCAGAUUCGGGUGUCGGUGUAGAUGAUGGAGAUCCCGUUGAAGUAGUGUCAACGGGAACGAGCCGCACGAUCAAGGGGGGACCCGCUGGUGGUACUGUGUCAGCUGGCAUGGGGGAAGGGUGGCUGCUACUGCUAGUUGAGCCGACGCUCUGCCGUAUAGACUCCAUCAAAUGACCGGCCUUAGUGGCUCGGUCCUUCCUCUUCCCCACGAUCACCAUCUUGCAAUUGAAUAACACACAAUUGUCAAAAUGUAAUCUAAUGAAUUGAUUUAAUCUAAUGCUAAUGCCUAAUGACUACACACUUAGUCAGUUGCACAACAAAAUUAUCCAAGCAUUUUCAUCCAAGCAUUUAACUGGUUUGGUGGAGACCCUUUCUAAAUUGAUCAUGUUCUGCAAUUUGGUAGCAUAUAGAACUGAGCUGAACAACAACUGAAAAUGCAUCUAAGCAGCAAAAUCAAGAUAAGACUUUCUAGGCCACAACUGAAAUGCUCCUCAUUGCAUUGAAACAAUUUUAGGCCACAAGCUAGCUAACAUUACCUUCACCAUUCAUCAACCUUAGUGCUAAGUUAUUAUUCACAUCAACAAUUUCACAAAUUGCAACAAGAGUAAAACAUGAAUCUCCUACCUUGUAUGAAAGACAACAGCAUUGGAGAAAGAGUGCUAUGCUAAAUCUAGUAAAUCUAGUACUCCUACCAUUCCAUCUGGUUCAAUUUAUAAUCAAAAACCUUAUGCUAACUACCUAUAUACCUUUUAUUCUAGCAACCAGAACAUAUCCUCCACAACUGCCAAUGGCAAGUUCAUCCCAAAUCCUAUCAUUCCGUAUUAACAAUGAGAUAGUUUCAGUCUACACAAGUAAUAUUGACCAGAUGCAACCAACAUAUCAAACCCAGAAUUCAUUAUAUGCAAACUUCUAUCAAUUUAUUCGUCUGUAACAAUUUAGAAGCUAUAAACUGGUUACAUAACAAAUUAACCAAAUAUUACCUUUUCCUGAGACAAGGCUUCGGUUUUGGACUUGGGAGUGAAGAGGGGAAGUUUGAAGUUAGGGUUUUCCGGCUGAGAGGAAGAAGAAAUUGGGUUUGCUGGGUGGCGAGAUCGGAGACAGAAGGAUUGUGUAGCGAUAUCGGAGGAGGUGGGUGGCGUCGAUGCGGUCGCCGAUCGGUGGAUGGCGGGGUCUCCGAUGGGUGGAGGCGGUGAAUUCUGGUCGGGUCGCGCAGCUCUGGGAGGACCUCAGUCGGGUUUUAGGGAUCGGUUUAUGUGAGAUUGUUUUUAUGAGUUUGGAUUUGAGGACCUCUGUUAUGCUGUCUCAGAUUAGGAGUUUGUAUUUUUCUUAGCCGACGGAACAAGAUUACUUCCGUCGGCUUAGUAAAACUAAGGCGACGACCACUAAAUUUCCGUCGCCUAAGUCUUAACCGACGGAAUAUUUUGUCGGCUAAGAAAUUUAUUCGUCGCCUAAAAAAUUAAAUUUUGGCCCAAAAAAAAUGGCGCAAAAUUCUCCCCGCCUAAUAUUUCGGUAUCCUAGGCGACGGAAAUAACCACGUUCCGUCGCCUUAGUAAUACUAAACCGACGAAAUAGUCAAGUUCAGUCGCCUUGUAAUUACUAAGGCGACGAAUUAUUAAAUUCCAUCGCCUAAGUUACAUAAAAAUUUAUUCAUAUAUAAAAACGCAUACGUACAUAUGCAUUUUAAAAAUUACACGUACGUACAUACAAUAAUUCAAAUUCAUCAAGCAUGCACGCAUAUACGUAAGUACGUAGAAAUUAAUUAAUAAAAUAGCCGGCCUUCAUGAAUGAUAUAUAUAUAUAUAUAUAUAUAUAUAUAUCUAAGCAUCAAGUUAAUUUGAAAAUACAUAUCCGAAGUUAUGCUAAAUUAAUUAAUAUAAGUAGAUUAGACCGAUCGAAAUCCACAAUAAUAUGGAACAAGUACAAUAUUAAUCGUACGCAUGAUAAUCUGAGUCGUCCGAAUCAUCAUCCUCCUCAGUUUGGUUAGAAUACUCAUCAUCCUCUAUGUAUUCGUCAUCUAUGAAGCCGUCGUCAUCAUGAUUGGGGCCGGGGUUGCGACGUUGUAGCGAGUUCAGUUCAGAUGGUGUAAUUGGAAGGUAACCUGUGAUAGCCGAAACGUGUUGGUUGUUGACACGAAUAUCCUCAGUAUCGGGGACUACAUGUGGAGAUUCCUCUUGAUAUGGUUCAUUCGGUUGAUCAAUUGUUGGUUCACUAGGCCCACUCUCAUCAUCCCCUCCCAGCGUAGCUGCACUCCAAAUAUUUCUAUGUGACAUCACCUGCACCACUCUCCAACCCUCACCCAUAGCCGGAUCAUCAAGAUAAAACACUUGUUUCACCAUGGUGGCAAGAAUAAACAGCUCAUUCUCAUACCAUACACUGUUUGAGUCCACUGAUAACAAGCCACGAUCCAGAAUUGUACUCCUCCGUCUGGUUGUGUCAGUAUUGAACCAUUUGCACUUGAACAACACGACAGGCAUACCCUUGCCGUAGAUUAGUUCGAUGACACUGACAUAAACCCCAUAGUAGUUGAAACCCAAACCCUCAACCAUGACUCCAUUGUUUUGGGUGACAUGGCCUUCAUCUCGUUCUGACGUCACAAACUUAACACCGUUCACAAAACAUCCAGCACGAACUCUGUGGUUUUGGGGUCCUCUAGCCAACAAGUGCAACUCCGGGUCGUAAGAAGCAGGAAAAUGUUGUAGAAUGUGCAUCAUCUGUAACAAUUUUAAAAGCAACGUACGUUGUUAUAUUAUGUAACAUCAAAAAACAAAAUAUAUAUAUUUAAUUUAUGUAACUCCAAAUAUAUAUAUAUAUAUAUAUAGAUAGAGGAGGUACCCAAAUAGGGAAGUAAUCAGGAAAAUCUCUCUUGUGUAUGGCUUCGUUACACUACCAGAAGAAAGGCUUUAGUCGACGAAAAAAAAAAACCAGGCCGACGAAGCAUUUUUUCGUCGGCUAAGUAAAAUUUUCGUCGGCUAUGGUAAACUUUAGCCGACGAAAAAAAAAAGUCGUCGGCUAAAUAAUUUAUUUCGUCAGCUAAAGUUCACAGACUAUGGCCGACGAAAUAUUUAAAAGUUUAGCCGACGAAAUUAACAUGUCGUCGGCUAAAGUGCUUUAUAUUUGCAGAUCUGGACAACAGCAGCUCAUCUGGGAAAAAAAACUGGAGAAGAAAAAACGGGAGAAAAAGUUUGGGUGUUGUUGAAAUCUGUCCAUAAUUAGUUUGUGGAGCUAUAUAUAGGUACGUAUAUGUAUAUAUAUGUUGAUUAAUUGAGUUUUAUUUGAGUUGAUCGAUUUUAAGUGUGAUUGAGUUUAUUGAUUUUGAGUGUGAUUGAGUUGAUUGAUUUUGAGUACGUUUGAUGUAUAUAUAUAUAUAUAUAUAUAUGUUGAUCGAUUUGGUUGUAUGAUUUAAAUUGAUAAUAUAUAUGAAUUAAUUUGUUGUUAAUAAAUAGUAGAUAUGUAUAUAUGUUAAUUAAUUAUAUAUNUGUGAUAUGGUAUGAAGUUGUUGAUGAUAUAUAUGAGUUGAUGAUGUAUUUUGUUGAUGAUGUUGAUAUAUAAUAUUGUUAUGNNNNNNNNNNNNNNNNNNNNUUAUAAGUAGUAGAUAUUAUAUAUAUAUGUUAAUUAAUUUAUAAUAUUGUGUUGAUGGUAUAUAUGUCAAUGAUGUAUUUUGUGAUGAUGUAGAUAUAUAUAUAUAUAUAUAUAUAAUAUUGUUAUGUAAUUAUUAAGUAUAUAUAUAUAUGUGUGUGUUAAUUAAUUUGUUAUUAAUUAGUUGUAGUACAUAGAAUAUAUACUAAAUGAAUUGAGAUUUUAUAUAUGGCAUGAAAUUUCAUUAAUAAUUAGCUAGCGUUAUACAUAUAUAUUUUGUUAUAUUUUCAAGAUAUGGAUAAGAGUUGGAUUUCGCUUCCAAAAUGGGAUAAAAGAUACGGUGCAGGAGUUAUGAGUUUUAUAGAAUAUGCGCUGGCUAAUGCUAACAGGAAUACAAUUUUCUAUUGCCCAUGCACGAAAUGUCAGUGUCGCAGCGAUAUGCAUCGAUUUCCCAUUGACAAAGUAUGACAACACCUGAGGAGUAACGAGUUUUGGGAGAAGUACACAUGUUGGUUAUAUCACGGUGAAACAUCAUCAGGGGGUCCGCAUGAUCAUGGCCAAUUUUCUGAGACGGGCAGUACAUCCAACGAUCCAACAACGGCAUUCAUCAACGACAUGUUUCCUUAUGAGAGCGGUGUAUGCGCUCAAGGACAAUAUAUGCCUGACCCGGUGCAACCCUUCCCUAGAGCUGUCAACACUGCUGGUAUUGAAAAGUACAACAAACUGCUUGCUUUCCAAUAGACCCCUGUGUACCCCGGUUGUCAGAAGACCGUUCUUGAAAGUGUGAUGGACGUAAUGAAGAUUAAAGUUGAGACAAAAUCGACCGUGAAGGCUGUUGAUAAUUAUCUACAGUACAUUGCUUCGAUGCUGCCCCACGGUCAUCGUCUUCCUACCACUCAUCGUAAGGUCCGAUGUAUCCUGAAAGAUCUUGGGCUUUCCUACAUCAAGAUCCAUGCAUGCAUAUAUGACUGCGUUCUCUUCUGGGGUAAAGAUCUAGAAGGGAAUGACCUUGGUGGGCUUGACGCAUGUCUGGUAUGUCACACUGACAGGUAUAAGCUGACUCCUGCAGGCAAUAGGAAACCUGUGAAGGUACUUCGGUAUUUCCCGUUGAGGGAUAGGCUUGAGCGGUUGUACAUGUCUUCACACACGGCCAAAGCUAUGAGAUGACACGUUGAUAGGGAAUUGCAUGACGAAGAUACNNNNNNNNNNNNNNNNNNNNNNNNNNNNNNNNNNNNNNNNNNNNNNNNNNNNNNNNNNNNNNNNNNNNNNNNNNNNNNNNNNNNNNNNNNNNNNNNNNNNNNNNNNNNNNNNNNNNNNNNNNNNNNNNNNNNNNNNNNNNNNNNNNNNNNNNNNNNNNNNNNNNNNNNNNNNNNNNNNNNNNNNNNNNNNNNNNNNNNNNNNNNNNNNNNNNNNNNNNNNNNNNNNNNNNNNNNNNNNNNNNNNNNNNNNNNNNNNNNNNNNNNNNNNNNNNNNNNNNNNNNNNNNNNNNNNNNNNNNNNNNNNNNNNNNNNNNNNNNNNNNNNNNNNNNNNNNNNNNNNNNNNNNNNNNNNNNNNNNNNNNNNNNNNNNNNNNNNNNNNNNNNNNNNNNNNNNNNNNNNNNNNNNNNNNNNNNNNNNNNNNNNNNNNNNNNNNNNNNNNNNNNNNNNNNNNNNNNNNNNNNNNNNNNNNNNNNNNNNNNNNNNNNNNNNNNNNNNNNNNNNNNNNNNNNNNNNNNNNNNNNNNNNNNNNNNNNNNNNNNNNNNNNNNNNNNNNNNNNNNNNNNNNNNNNNNNNNNNNNNNNNNNNNNNNNNNNNNNNNNNNNNNNNNNNNNNNNNNNNNNNNNNNNNNNNNNNNNNNNNNNNNNNNNNNNNNNNNNNNNNNNNNNNNNNNNNNNNNNNNNNNNNNNNNNNNNNNNNNNNNNNNNNNNNNNNNNNNNNNNNNNNNNNNNNNNNNNNNNNNNNNNNNNNNNNNNNNNNNNNNNNNNNNNNNNNNNNNNNNNNNNNNNNNNNNNNNNNNNNNNNNNNNNNNNNNNNNNNNNNNNNNNNNNNNNNNNNNNNNNNNNNNNNNNNNNNNNNNNNNNNNNNNNNNNNNNNNNNNNNNNNNNNNNNNNNNNNNNNNNNNNNNNNNNNNNNNNNNNNNNNNNNNNNNNNNNNNNNNNNNNNNNNNNNNNNNNNNNNNNNNNNNNNNNNNNNNNNNNNNNNNNNNNNNNNNNNNNNNNNNNNNNNNNNNNNNNNNNNNNNNNNNNNNNNNNNNNNNNNNNNNNNNNNNNNNNNNNNNNNNNNNNNNNNNNNNNNNNNNNNNNNNNNNNNNNNNNNNNNNNNNNNNNNNUUAUGUGGCUAAUAAAUCCGCGCCUGAAGGAUGUAUAGCUGAAACAUAUAUUGUGCACGAGUGCGUCACCUACAUGAAGUUGUAUUUAGGAGCGUUGAAGGAAACAGACGAACCCAUGCCGGUAGAUGUACCGAAGUUCAAUCUUUCCAUACUCUCCAGUGAUGUUGAAGUUUAUGGAAUUUCGCCAGACUCCUACAAGUUGCAACCAUAUGAGCUAGUCAUUGCCCACUGGUGGGUAUUGAUUAACUGUCCAGAAGUUGAAUACUGGAAAGACAUCCAUCUAUAUUGUCCAGACAUUCAUGGUGAUCUCGAGUACCACAACAGGGAGUUCGCAAACUAUUUUGGCGGCUGGGUACGUAAUUCAAUAUUUAUGUAUGUAUUUAUGUUUAUUGCAUAAUUAUCUAUAUUUAGAAUGUUAAAUUGUUGGUUGCAGAUGAACCAUAUUCAAUUUGAUGGUCACCCAAAUUAGUCGCACGAACUAAGACUUCUAGCGAUGAAGCCGAUAAUGUCAAGAGUUUAUCCGAUGUGCAAGGUGAAUGACGUGCAAUUUAUAUGUGAACAGAGAGACAGCAGACAGAGAACACAGAAUUCUGGGGUGAUGGCGCAUGGUGGGCGGAAUGGAGUUGAUUAUUACGGUGUUCUUGAUUCAGUGGUGGAACUCGUUUACGGUGAAGGCAUGACAGUGCACCUCUUCAAGUGUAGAUGGUUUGAUACUAGCCCGCAGAGCAUGAAGACCGAUUAGUACGGAAUAUUAUCGGUGAACACUGCUACAAGUUCUUACGAAGAUGACCCGUUCGUUUUUGCCACAUCGGUAAAACAAGUGUUUUAUCUUGAUGACCUUGCUAAGGGUGACGCGUGGAAAGUAGUCAACCUUGUGCACCCUCGAAACAUUUACCGGGCGGCCACACUUGGAGAGGCCGAAGACCAGGAAGAAGAUGUUGCGUAUCAAGAGCCUAACGCAAUAGGUAUUCCUAACUCCUCUACCGUUCGCCUUAAUAAUUUUAAAGCGGGUCGUUCGGUGCGAAUUCGUGAUGAAGAGCCAAGGCUUAUUGAUGUUGAUCCAAAUCAAGAAACAAACGAAGACUCUGGCGAUGAGGAAAUACAUAGAUUACCAGAAAUUAAUUCUGACACCGAAGAAAGACUCAUCAGAUGAUUCCGAUUACGAGUCUUAGUUUUAAUUUAGAGGACGUAAUACAUUAAUUUGUAAUAAAAAAGAUUGUAUUACCUUAAUUUAUAGUUUACAUAUGUUGAAUUCAUAUUUCUGUUAUUUUAUAUGAAUUUUGGUGAUAUAUGAACAAGAAAUUAGUAUGGUUUAAACCUUCUGUUUUAGGGUUUGUAUUUUUUACUUAAGCCGACGAAAUACAACAUAAUUCGUCGGCCUAAACCAUCUUAGCCGACGAAUUAUAUUAGAAGUCGUCGGCUAAAAGAACUUAAAGCCGACGAAUUGAAAUGGAAGUCGUCGGCUAAAAGAUCUUAUAGCCGACGAAUUGCAAUGAAAGUCGUCGGCUAAAACCAUCUUAGCCGACGAUGUAUAUUAGAAGUCGUCGGCUAAAACCAUCUUAGCCGACGAAGUAUAUUAGAAGUCGUCGGCUAAAACCAUCUUAGCCGACGAAUACCCUAAUAUUUUGUCGGCUUUAUUAAUUGUUAUAUUUUUUUUAUUACAUACUAUAGCCGACGAAUGAAUUAGGGUAUUCGUCGGCUAAACCCUAAACUUUUUCUGUUACAUACUAUAGCCCUAUCUUUGGUGGUUAUUUUACGUAAAAUUUUUAUACGACUUGUUGUGUCUCAUCGAUUUGAAAAUAUUUUCAGUUGAAGGUCCGGCCAAAAUACGAAAUUUAGACGGUCCAACGACCUUUUCCCUGCAUUUAAGGGUUUGACUUACGGGAUUGACCGUCCGGAUCGAGCACUUAACCUUGUCAGAUCAAGUUGAAUUUUUUCCCAUACAUGUAUCUUUUCAUGAUGGUCAGAUCUGACCGUCGGAUUUCAUUUUCUCAAAUUUGAUCAUCACAAUCACAACAUGCCUACUAAUGUUGUAUAACUUGUUUACCAAGUGUUAAGUAAAUGUUCCGUUUCAAAAACAAACUAUACGUAGAACCUUCAAACGUAAAAAAGUCGUGAAAUAAGACAUGACCAGAAUGGUGAAAUACGUCUACGGUUGAAAAAUCACUGUAUUCUGGUAAAGUCUCGGUGCCGAUAGUUGCGGUCAAUGCAAUUUUCCAUUCUUUCUCCCUAUGGGUAGCCCUAUCUUCGGUGGUUAUUUUGCGUAAAAUUUUUAUAGGACUUGUUGCGUCUCAUCGGUUUGAAACUAUUUUAAGUUGAAGGUCCGUCCAAAAUACGUAAUUUAGACAGUCCAAUUAAUGACAUUUUCCGUGCGUUUAGGGGUUUGACUUAACGGAUUGACCGUCCGGAUCGAGCCCUUAACCUUGUCGGAUCAAGUUGAAUUUUUUCCCAUACAUGUAUUUUAUCAUGGUGGUCAGAUCUGACGGUCGGAUUUUCGUUCUCAAGUUUGAUCAUCACAAUCACAAUCACAGUUUGACGAAUGUAUAAAAAGUUAUAAAGCCGACGAAUUUCAAAGGUUAUAGCUGACGAAUUUAUUGUUUAGUCGACGAAUUUCAUAGGUUUAGCCGACGAAUUUCAAAGGGUUAGCCGACGAAUUUUAUCUUAGCCGACGAGAUUAUUAUUUUAGCCGACGAAAUUAUUAUCUUUAGCCGACGAAAUUAUUAUUUCGUCGGUUAAAGUUUUCGGGUAUAACCCAGCUCUCGACUGGUUAAUUGUAAGCCCUAGCCUCCACCUCCUCUCCCUCUCCGAAUUUCCCCUCCUCCGCCUCCGAUCCCUCUCCCGGUCGCCGCCCUCUCCCUCUCCCUCUCCCGGUCUCCGCCUCGUCUCCCUCUCCCUCUCCCUCUCCCGGUCUCUGCCUCCACUCCCUCUCCCUCUUCGGCUGGCCUCCUCCUCCUGCUCCGGCCGGCCUUGUCCUCCUGCUUCGGCCGGCCUCCUCCUCCUCCUGCUCCGGCCGGCCGGCCUCCUCUUGCUCCGGCCUCCUCCUCCUGCUGCUCCGGCCUCCUCCUGCUGCUGCUCCGGUCCUCCCUCCUCCUCCUCGAGUACAUUUCUGAGCUUUAGUUUUAUUUUGUGUUUGCUUUUAUUUUCCGGUCAAUUGCAAUGUUGUGGUGUUGUUAGGAAGUGUAUAUUUGUAUUUAGGAAGUGUAUAUUGUUAUUUAAUAAGUGUAUAUUUGUAUUUAGUAUUUAGGAAAUGUAUAUAUUUGUUUUGUAUUUUGUGUUUGCUUUGAUUUUCCGGUCAAUUGCAAUGUUGUGGUGUUGUUAGGAAGUGUAUAUUUUUAUUUAUGAAGUGUAUAUGUGUAAAUUUUAGGAAGUGAAAAUUUGUAUUUAGGAAGUGUAUAUAUUUUUUACAUUUUUUAAAUGAGUUUGCAUUUUUUGAUUUUGUGGCCUUGAUUCAAAUUAAUAUUUUAAACAGGAUGAGCGGUAAUAUUAGAUCGACGAAGGGUUUGAAGGGCCAAAGGUCCGUAUCGUCUGAGGGAACCUCUAGCAACCCUCAGACGUCGUUUCAGGGCCUUAUGACAGCUAGACAUGCGAGCCUUCUGCAGACGGCGCAGAGGCAGCCGGAGGUGCCCCCUUCAUCGAGGCAGCGGGGCUUCCCCUCAUUUCUCGAGGCAGUUGUUUGCUUAGCCUCAGACGGAGGUGUCUGCACCCCGUAUGCCUGAGAUACACCGGGCGCCCACUCCAGGUCCUACUUCUUCGGAUAGUGGGUCUUCUGGGGUACAGAUGCCGCCGCCUCACCUAUUCCUUCCGCGAUUGAUACCGGCCAUACCUGCAGUCGAUGACUCAGGGACGCCAAUUUAUCCACUGCCCCCGCCAGUGGCUCCAUCAGCGGCGUACCGGUUCGUGCCUUUUGAUACGCCUCUUAUUUCUGCGAGGGUAUCUUCAUCGGAGACGGAAUCCGUCGCGUCCGCCGCAUCGCCCUCAGGUAAUGAAAGAUGAAUGAUUUGUUUUCUUAUAAUUCUCUGAUUUUAAUAAUCAAUUUGGUUUAUCAUGUGAUAGGCACCGUCGGAGCGAAGCCGGCAAAAAAGAAGAGAGGCCCCGUCACAGGGAAGGCUCUCGAGAAGAUCGUCGGUACCUCAGGGAGGAUUGUCAUCGGUAUUAACGGGGAUGGCGACAUAGUAUCGGGCGGGAAGUCGAGGACGUACUCCGGCCGCGUGGGAGCGCUCAUUAGGGAUAGAGUCCAUAUGUUGUGGUCAGACUGGGGCGAGGUCCCGCAGGAGGUUAAGGACAUGGUCCACAACGCGAUGUCGGUGAGUUUACAAAAUGCCUUAAUAAUAUUAUGUAUUAUAGUUUAGAUUUCUCGAAAAACUAAACUAAUAAACGGUUAAAUGCAGGUGUGGUUUGAGGUUCCCAAGCCCUUGAAGAGCAGCUGGGCGGACUUUGUGCAUGGGGGAAGGUACGUUGGGAAGUUAAUGAAAAAACAAAAUUGUAUGUCAUAUUAAUAAUAUUUCUAAUAUUUUUGUUGUAUAUGUAGGUACAAGGAGUGGAAGAAUGACUUGCGGACCCAUUGGACUACGCACGAGAACGCACGUUCUGCUACCCCUGCUGAGUUCCAGUACAGAGAGUACGAGUGGCGUUGGCUUCUGACAUCAGAAUUCAACAACCCUCGUAAACAGGUAUUUAAAUAAAUUAAUUAGUUAAUUUGUCAUUAAGUACGUGCGUUUUUAAAUAUUUUACUAAUAGUUUUGUUUUUUCUUUGAAGGCGGUUUCCCGGGCGAACGCUUAGAACCGGCAACGCAACACAAUGAACCAUCAUGCCGGUUCUAGACCGUUCGCUGUCUUCAUGGACGAGGCGGCCAGGGAACAUCCAGAGGUCAACCAGUACGUCUAUACGUACGAGAAGACAUAUCUUGACUCCCAGGAGGAUAUAGUAAGUAAUCUUUCCUUUUUACGGAAUUUUUAAUUUUACUUAUAUAUAUGUCAAAAUGUUAAUUAAUAAUUUUUUUCCUAUCCAAUUAGGCAAAGGUGAGGGAGGCUAGUGACGAGGUGAUGAGUGCUAUAGUGAGGGAGACAUGGCCGGACACGCAGGAGGAAGACAUGUCCGAAGCCAUUUCCUGGAUCGACACUUUAGAUCCGAGGGUUGGGGCGAGGAUCAUGGGCACAGCCUUUCCACCGCGAGAAAACAACUUCUACUGCCGGGGUCUAGGAAAGAAGGGCCAGGGGGUCUUGAAGACCACUCCAGGAUUUCAACGAAAGGCAGCCUCGACCAGCAGCAGGACGACUCAGCUAGAGUCGGAAGUUGAGAGACUACGGGAACAGCAAGCCGCUCAGGCUGCCGUUCAUGCUGCUCAGGCUGCCGCUCAUGCCGCCCAGAUCGCCGAAUACAGAGCCUAUACUAUAGCCCUAAAGGCCGCCCAGCAGGCCCAGCAUCAGCAGAUGUUCCAGUACUUCUAGGAUUUUACAGUUGCCCAGCUUCAGGGACUUUCAUCUCCGCCCAUACCUGCGCCUAUACAGUUACCUCUGCCGCUGCAAUCUCCUCACCAGCAGGCCCCAGAAUCGGAUAUUGAUUUAGACCAUCUAGAUUUUGUGUAGUUGAUACCUUAUAUAGUUUUAUGUGCUUCUUGUUGGUUAUAUAUAUGGAAUUGUUUUGGUGUAUUUUGCAGCUUGCUUGGAAUGGUAAUUUAGAAAUUUCGCGUAUUUUUUUUUUUACUGGAAUGGAGUUAUAGCCGACGAAACAUGCCACAAUUCGUCGGCUAUAGUAUUUUUAAUUUUUUUUCCAUAGGGUUUAGCCGAUGAAUUAUGGCAUGUUUCGUCGGCUAAACCCUAUUAAAGCCGACAAAACAGACUCUAUUUCGUCGGCUAUAGUUAUUUUUUAAUUAUAUACUUUAGCCGACGAAUAUCACUGUUCUGUCGGCUAAAGUCUGGAAGUAUAGCCGACGACACAGGACGUCGUCGGCUAAAGUCUGGAACAAUAGCCGACGAAAGAUAGUGUUUGUUUCGUCGGCUUAAAUGCAUGAACAAAAGCCGACGACAAACUAGUUCGUUGGCUAAAGUCUGGACAAUAGCCGACGACAGUCUCUAGGUUCGUCGGCUAAAGCCAUCGCCGACGACCCUUUCCCGACGACAUUAUAGCCGACGAAGGCUCGUCGGCUAAGACCUUAGCCAACGAAUUAGGAUAACAGGCCGACGAAAAUUUUUCGUCGGCUAAAGUGUUUGUCCUGGUAGUGAAUUACCAUUCUGCCUUAGUAAAUGGGACUUCAAGUACCGCUCGGCUUCUUCGCAAUGUUGAAGGACACACCAAUGAGCCUCUUUGAUCUCAGCAUCACUUAAUCUUUCAGAAUUACUUAGCCUGCCAUACGGUUGAACAUCGUUGGAAACAACUGAUAAAUUGAAUUGUUGGCUACUACCUGCUCUAGAUGAUUCCCCUACUGUGUCUUCAUCAUUAAGACAUGCGCUGCAGUAAGUUACACACUCAGCCUGAAUGUAUGCCACUGUGAUCGACCCUUCAGGGAAACGUUUGUUUUUGUUAUUCUUCUUGAAAUCCCCUAGUUGCCUGCAAAACAGAUAUAUAUUUAUUCUCUUACAUACAAUAAAUAUUUUUUAAAAAUUAUCUUAAUUUGAAAGGAUCGAUGAUUAAUUAAUUAGAAUAAAUAUGAGUGCAUACCUCUCAUUUGGAUAGCACUAGGUAUACUGUACCGGACUAGUAAGCAACACUUGUUCGGGAAGGUGGAUCAUGAGGUGAAUCAUGAUGUCAAAGAAAGUUGGGGGAAAGAUCCUUUCCAGCUUGCACAUGAUGUACACAAUGUUUUCUUGCAAUGACCGAACAUCAGACUUUUUAAACUCUUUAGCUUAUAUCCUCUGAAAGAACUUUGACAAAGCCACGAACGUGUCAACCCCUUCACUCUGUAAAUACGGUCUAAUCACCACGGGAAGAAGACAUUGCAGCAAAACAUGACAGUCAUGAGUCUUCAACCCACUAAUCUUAUUUCCCCCCAUCUUAACACAUCGAGCGAUAUUCCCUACAUACCCGUGAGGAUACUUAACGUCAUGAAGCCACUGAAACACUUCUGCCUUCUUUUGAGGAUGGAUUGUGUAACCUGCUUUCGGUAUUAUGACUUUUUUUGUUUUUUGUUUUUUUGCUCUCUACUAGCCAAAGCUGGGGGCGUAUACCCAUCAUCUUAAGAUCAACACGGGCUUUGGGGGUGUCUUUGUUCUUAUGUUUGAGAUUCAGAAUUGUUCCAAGAAAGUUGUCACAAACAUUUUUCUCUAUGUGCAUGACGUCCAAGUUGUGUCUGAUUUUCAAGGUCGACCAGUAAGGCAAUUCAAAGAAUACACUUUUGUGUGUCCAAUACUUAAACUCAUCAGGUGUGGGAGGAUUCAAGUCAGUUACUUCUUUACUCGUGCUCAAAUAUCCAAACCAGUGCUGGUUAAGCCUCUCCAAAAUCCACUCACCAGAUCUCCCUGGGGGUUUCAGAUUAUGCUCCUCAGUCCCAUCAAAUGCCUCAGCAUCUCACCGCCACUCGUGGCGACUAGAAUUGACGUCAUCUAUGCAUACCGGGCAAGCCUUGUACCCCUUAGUUUGUUGGCCAGACAACAUCCCGUAAGCUGGAAAAUCACUGAUUGUCUAAAUAACAGCUGCUUUCAUCAUGAAUGAAGUUUGACCAUGCCUGUCAAAAGUAGGGAGUCCAUUUUCCCAUAACUCCUGUAGCUCGUCAAUUAAUGGUCUCAUGUACACAUCCAAGCACUUUCCUGGAGAACACGGCCCUGGAACCAUAAGCGUAAGAAAAUUAUACUCCUUCCUCAUACACAUGUUGGGAGGUAGAUUGUACAGAAAUACUAUCACAGGCUAAAUGUUGUAAGACAAAUUCAUGUUUCCUGUAGGAUUGAAUCCGUCUGUUGCAAGUCCAAGUCUGACAUUUCGACAAUCUCCAGCAAAUUCGGGAAAAAAAUGGUCAAAGUGCUGCCAAGCCUCCUCGUCUGCGGGGUGUGUGAGAUUAUCCGAAUCUAUCCUCUCCUCUCCCUAGUGCCUUGCCUGGUGCCAUCUCAUAUGCUUAGCUGUAUAUGAAGACAUGUACAGACGUUGCAGACGAGGACCUAACGGGAAGUAACGAAGAACCUUCCUAGGAAUGGGCUUUUUCUUCUUAGAUAAAGUGGAAACUUCAUACCUUGGCUCAUAGCAGUGUGGGCACUCAACUUCAUCCUUGUUGUCUUUGUAAUACAAGAAGCAGUUAUUGACGCAAGAGUCUAUCUUUUUGUGAUGAAGACCGAGGCCAGCCAACAUCCUUGUUACCUGGUCGAAAUUUUCUGGACAACUGUUACCUUUGGGAAGCACUUUCUUCAUAAGUGCAAUAUCAUCAUCAAAACAUGUCUUAGUCUUUCCCCGCUUGUUUUUUAUCUGCAUUUGCUCCAUGGCGAUACCCAACACAGUAUGCUCACUGCCAGGAUACAAUGGGGUUUGUACUUCCCGUACAAGUCUGUUAUACUUAUCAUAAUCACUGCUGUAGUCAACGUGGGAGACAUUAGGGAAGGUGUCAGGGGCGUUGUCAUAAACAACAUUUUCCUAAUAUCCUGAGGCGGCGAACGGGAAGGCAUCGUUUAAGAGGUUCAUCACAGCAGGGUCCCCGUAACUGGCAUUAGAAGAUCUUGCCUGCUGAUUAUGUUGUGCUUGAAUUUCUGCAAGUGUAGGCAUUUGAACUAGAUUUUCGCCGUGCCAUGUCCAUGUGGUAUAAUUAGGACAAAUACCGUUUAGUGCCAGGUGAGAAUACAUGUCUUCAUAUGUUACUGGUUUCCGAUUGAGACAUUUGUUACACGGACAUAUGUGAAUAACUUUGUCUGGAGGACUAUGUAGACGCACGAACUCAAGAAAAUCAAAAAUGCUUUUCAUAUAAAGAGGGGACCCUCUCCCUAAUUGCAUCCAGCUCUUGUCUAUGUUGUACACUAUAAUAAUAGGAAACAAAAAUAUAGUUGUCAAAAAAUCGUUAAUAAUAAACUGGAAAUAUAUAUAUAUAUAAAUAUAUACUUAACUAUUAUAUAUAUAUAAGAUAUAUUAAUGUACGUUGUUCACACCUAUAAUCUUCACCUUAUGCCUCCGGUUAGGGCCCUAAUCCCGUUUGAGAGCACAUGACAUUAUGAUUUCGUUUGUUGUUGGGGCGUUUCAAAUUCACGUAUGUGAGAAAAUUUCGGCAGCAUCUCCCUACAGUUCCCCAAGUGCAUAAAUAUCUAUAUACCUAAUAUGCACUCGAGGAACAAUAAAAGAAGAUCCUGUCGAAAUAUAUAUACUCACAACCGAAAACGAAACGCACCAACAAUAAACGAAAUCUCAAUGUCAUAUAUGCUCCCAAACUGUCCAAAUAUGGGACAAUUCGAAAACCAUUUUGUUAGACACAGUCGUAACAUAAUGGUUCUCGAACGGGAUUUCUAAGGGUAACAUUAAUAUAUAUUGAUGAAUUUAAUGCAUAAGAAUAUUAUAAUUCUUAAUUACAUAAUUCAUCAUUUAAUUUUUUAUCAUUAAUUUCAAUACACAAAUAAUUUACAUGAAAACAAUAAUUUAAUAAACAUAUUAUUCACAUAUAUAUAAUAUAUUAUUAAUCAUACGAACAAAUUAAAAGUAAUAUAUAUAUAUAUAUAUACACUACUAAAAAUUAUACGUACGUACACGUACACACAAAAGUUAGAUAUACUUAUAUAUAUAUACAAAUUAAAAACAUAAUAUAUAUUCUACACACAUAUUAUACGUACAAACAUAUUAUACACACAUAUAUACAAACAUAUUAUACGUAUAUACACAUAUUAUAUGUACAAACAUAUUAUAAACACAACAUAUACGUACAAACAUAUUCAACAUGUAUAUAUACACGUACUAUCAAAUGUUACAAGCAUUUAUCAUGCAUGCAUCAAGCAAUCCAAUAAUUAGACCGGCAAAAUUGGACCGCCGGACAAAGUCGCCGGAAAUUCACCGGAAAAGAUAUAUGCAUAAAUGAAAAAAUUAAGUAGAUCAAUAAGCAAUUAGAAGAGAAUCGAAGCUAGCUACGUACCUCUUGAAGCUAGAUCGACCAGCAAAAUAUUCUUGAAGAAGAGGGAAAGGAUCGGAGCAUAUAGAUACCUCUUACUAUUAGCUAGUUUUCUGCGUAUUCUUAGCAGAGGAAGCUUUGUUGCGUUCUCUUCUGGACAGAAAGGGGUUAUAUUUAAAAUAUGUAAUUACUUAGCCGACGGAAUAUUCCGUCGCCUAAGACUACAGGCGUCGACAAAAAUAUUCGUUCUGGCUUGUGUCAGUCAAUAAUUCACUUUCUUAGUCGACAGAACAGUUCGUCGCCUUGGAAGAAAUAUUCGUCUCUUAAGAAGUACUUAGCCGACGGAACACAUUUCGUCGCCCAGGAAUAACUUAACCGACGGAAAAUUAUUCGUCGCCUAAGAUUGUUUUUCUAAGCCGACAAAACUUAGAUGACGAUUGAUUUUUUGUCGAAUAAGAAAAUCUUAGUCGAUGAAAGUUAUUUUCCGUCGCCUAAGUAUAUCUUAGGCGACUGAUAAGGUGUCCUAAACGACGAUUGAAUUUCCGUCGAUGAAGUAUUUCUUAGGCGACAGAAUUUUUUAUUUACGUCGGCUAAGUGUUUAUUUCCUGUAGUGUGUGUUGUGCCCCUGAAAUUGAAAGAGAGUUAUUUUUUGCAAGUUUAUUGAGGGGCAGUAGAAGUUUAAUGCCCCCUAGUAAACUUUACUGCGGUGGCGUGUUUUUUUUUUUUAAAUUCUUUUUCAGCCUUUAGCGACGGAAUUCAACUAUUCCGUCUCCUAAGUGAAUAAAUUUUUUUUAUUAUAAAAUAAAAUCCGUCGCCUAAGUUCUUAGGAGACGAAAGUAUUCCGUCUCCUAAGAACCAUUUAAGCGACGGAAUUUCAGGUUCUGUCGCCUAAGUGUCUAUCUCACAACACUUAGGCGACGAAUCUUAACCGACGGAUGUUCAGUCUCCUAAGUACUUAGGAGACGAAAUCUGUCACUUAGGAGACGAAAUAAUUCUGUCUCCUAAGUGCUUUUUUCCAGUAGUGCCUCUAAGGCGACAACACAAAUUUCGUUGCAAAAUAUUUAUGUAGCGACGAAAAUGUUAAAACUUAAGCGACAAAAAUAUUUGUCCCAUAAUAUACUUCACCUAACCGACAAAUUGACUUUUUGUCGUCUUAGUUUUAAAUUAAAGCGACAGAACUUAUUGACUUUAGCAACGAAAUAUUUUCGUCGCUUAAGUGAAAUCUUCUUUAAACUAUUUGAGAGUAAGUGUGUAGAAAAAAAAUAAAACUAGGUCACAAAUGGGUAGGUAAUAGCGUUUUCGUAUGAUAUGUGACGUUGAUCUAGGGUUGACCACGUCUAUCGAGACCUAAACAUUAUCAAAAAUUGGUGAAUUUUCUACCAUAGUUGUAGUUUACUAUACUGAUCACAUCCUAUUUCACGAGAUUUUUUAAAAUUUUGUUUUUAGUUUUUGAAAUCAUAACGUGCCUACUAUAGCUUUGUGAACUAACUAUACAAAUAGAACAAAAUUUUCAAAAAUCUUAUGACAUAGGAUGUAAUCGGUAUAGUGAAAUAUGAUUAGGGUUAAAAAAUCACGUAUUUCCGGUAAUGUUAAGGCCAUGAUUAUAACGCCCCGAACCUUAAUUGAUCCGUUUACCAUCAGUUGGAUCGUAAAUGACUUCAUUUUUACUUUUACCCUUUCCAAACUAUUUAAGGCUCCAAAAGUUGACUUUUUCUUUCGUUCAAAAUUUGGGAAAACUUCCUCCUUGAAAGUUGUAGAAGACGUUAAUACGAAUUUGUGGACAUGCUAUACGUUAAAAUCGGAGUUUGUACGUGAAAGUUAUGGUGUAAAAUGUAAAGUUACUGUUUUAGUCGGGGGUAUAAAAAAGAAACUUACCAUUUGAGGUAAGGUAGAAAAUCAGAAACUUACCUUCUCCUUCUCUCUCCUCUUCUCACGUCUCUCUCCUCUGCGGGAUUCUAGUCCUCCGUCCGCCGCCGUCCGACCGAGUUAGGCGGCAAGGUGGGUAUCAAAUCGAAGCUUGGACCAUCCUCCAUCAAUCUGGGUAGGUUGCCGGACCUAUCUCGCCGCCUAGAAGGAGAAACCAGGCCGAGAAGAUGCGGCUGUGCGUGGUGGAGUUUCGUCGGAAACUUCCUCUUCCGGCCACCAUCGUCAGAGAUCCUUGUACCAACUUGAAGCACUCCUUUCGGGUAGCAAACCCUCAAAAGGAUUCAACCUAUUUCGAUCUAGGAUACGAGGAGAUCUCGCUUGAGUGGCGAUUCGGGUAUCGUUGGGCUUAUGCCUAAAUUUGUGAGCGGACACUUUGUUUUUAAAGGAAUAUGCAUGCAUGAUUUAUUUUGGAAAUUAUCGUUCUAUUUUCCGAGCUUAUAUUAUAAUUUCGGUUUUAUAAUAUGGUUUUGAGAUUUAUUUGAGUUUGAGGCAUUUGUUAAGUGAUGGUCAUGAUUUAUGGAUUUGAGCUCGGGCUAUUAAUUUAGUAUUUGAGUUUUUAUAUUCCUUAUGAUUUCUGAAUUUAAUUAUUAUUGUUUUGUUUGUUGACUUUGAGAUUUAUAAAAAAUUUCCAAAAAUGAGAUUUUCGGUAGUUCUCUAUUAUAAUUUUAUCAUUUAUUUGUGGAAUAUCGAUCUUGACCUUGAGAAUAUUUUAGCGAGUAUUUGAGAUUGAGAUAUUAAUUACGAUUUUUACUUGAUGAUUAAAUCUAGCUUAUAAUUAUGGAUUUGAGAAUAUAUUUUGACAUGUGAAACACGUCAUUGAGUUUUAUUUUAAUUUCUUAUGAUAAUUUCUAAGUACGGUUGGGAACUGUACCCUUCGCAUGAUCUUGGGGAAGCUUUAUGGAUUUUAGUGUUUUCGUAUGUUUUUAGUCACCAUACUAGGGUCGUUCUUAUUCAUUACUAGCUAGCCUUUAUUAGCGGUCCUUACCAUAGGUGAGUCGAGCGCUUAGCGUGGGACGCUACUAGAGCCUGGGAGGCUUCGACCCGAGCCUGGGAUGCUCCGACCCGAGCCUGGGAUGCUCUUCUUACAUGGUGACAUCUCUUCCCCUUGUUUUAUUUUCUCAGUAUGCAUUUGAUUAACCAGCGGGGCUGGUUUAUCUCUUCUUAUGAGAUUUAUGUAUUUGAUUAACCAGCUGGACUGGUUUGUCCAUUCUUACGAGAUUCUGAAUUUAAAGUUUUAAAGAUGAUCAAAGUUGCGUGUAGCUAAGUUAUUAAAGUUUAAACGUGAGAAAAUAUUUAAAUUACGUUCUUGUCAAAUUAUUUAAUUUAUUUUUGUCCACUCACUCUAACAUUUUAAAUUACUUUCCCCUGGGCCCUUUGGUUUCAAAUACCCAGUUUGUAGGCUAAGUUUAUUUGAGGUCCAUCGUACAUGAAGUCGAGGCAUAGUUAAAGGCUGCUUCUACUUAUUCUUUAUUCAUUGUUUUUCAUUCAUUAUAGAUAUGCUUUGAUAAUCCAGUGAGUAAAUUAUUAAAUGUCUUUGUUGUUAGUUGUGUGAUUCUUUUAGAUUAGUAAUUGAUAUUUUGGGAGAUGUGAUGAGCUUGGGGGAGCAGGAAGGCUCCAGGAGUACAAGGUUGGAGUAUGAUUUUAGAAGUGUUUUGCAGGUUGGUUUUGAUCAGGUAGGGUUGGCCAUUUUCAAAGGAGGUUAUGUCGAAAUUUUUGGUAAAAUCUCUCUUGAGGUGGACCCCGCAAGGUUUACUCCAAAUUUCAGGGUGAAAUUCGGGAUGGGUCUUGAGAGUUGGUAUCAGAGCACUAGGUUAUUCGAUUACUUUCUCUUUGUAUUACUACCUCAUAUACUUAGUCAUACUUAGUGUCUAUAGAGUGAUGGUCCGACCGCGGCGGAUCCAUUAGCAUUAUAUGCUUUAAAUACUAUAUGUUGAUUAGACUUGUGAGGUAGUUGUUCUUGUCUUAUUUAUGGAUAGUAUUGUGCCAUAAAUGUCUGCAUAUUCAAGACUAUGUCUCCGUACGCCGACCUCAUAGGGUAUCUUGGUUAUUUUCCGAGUAAUGGAAAGGUACGUGAUUGCACCUUUCUUUUGUUCCUUUUUGUGGUUGCGAGAUUUUGAGUUGAUUACAGGGCCACCCCGAAUUUUACCCUGAAACCCGAAAUAAAUCCUAUGGGGUCCACCUCUAAAGAAAAUUUACCGAAAAUUCGACAUAAUCUACCUUGAAAAUGGACAACCCUUAGCUGCAAAAUUCUAGAUAAACACUUCUAUUAUAAAUCAUCCAUCCUCAAGUCCUGGAGCCUUCCUGCUCCCCAAGUUCACCACAACAUGCCCUAGUUAACUAACAAACAAAUCUCAAAGGUUAUCAGAGCAAUUCUAAUAAAGAAUGAAAACAUAGAUAAGUGAGCCAGCGAAAGUUGUGUUAUUGACUAUGCCUCAACUCCGUGUACUCCCGAUCUCUUCUAAGCUAACCUGCAAUCUGGGCAUUUGAAACCGAAGAGCCCAGAGAAAAGUAAUUUAAAACGUUAGCGUGAGUGGACGAAAAAUAAAUAAGUAAAAGGACAUAGGAUAAGAAAACAAAACUUUAAUACUUUCCCACUUUCUGAUAAGCAAUAAAUCUGUUGCACGCAAGUGUUGAUAACGCCUUCAAAAGAAAAUCCCGAGAAAAUGGACUAGCCUCGCUAAUCGAAAUAUCGACAAAGAUAAUUAAUAACUUUCAUAGAAGAAGGUAGCAAAAUAAUGGACUAGCCCCGCUAGUCAAAACAACAACAAGGAUUCAUAAAGACUGUCGUAAAAAGGAAUGUAAAAAAGAUGGACUAGCCCCGCUGGUCAAAACAACAACAAUAAAUAAAGAGCACAAAUAUAGUCAUACAAGUGAGCCUCCCAGGCUCGGGUGCCUCCUAGGCAAAAGUACUCCCAUACUCCUGAUAACUUCACGUUAUGACUACAAAGAGGGUACCGGGCUUGAGUGAUGUCGUCGACUACAUCACAUCACCCGAAGGUGGAAAGGGCUUGAGUAACCCCACUUAAAACAUGGAAGUCAGAUCACCUCGAAAGGCGGAACAACAUGCUAGCAUGAAUAUCAUAAAUAAUCCAACAAGUAUGGCACAAUAAGGGAAAAUAUAAAUUCAUAUGAGUUUUCCCAAAACUUAUAAAUCGAGCAUAAGUACGAUUCCCAACUGUACUCGGAAAAUUCCAAAGCAAGGAAAUUAAUUAAAUUCAAUAACGUAUCCCACACGCUAAAUUGCUUAAGAGAAUAAAUAACUCAAAUAAGCAACAUGUUUCAAAAACUAGAGAAAACUCAAAUCCUUCAUGUAAUCUCAAAUAUGAAAAUCAUAAAGAAUAAUAUUCUCAAAUACCAAAUCUCUUACCCCAAGCUCAAAUCCAUAAGUUCAUUAUAGAAAACAUAAUCAAUCAAUCAAUCUCAAAUAAAUUCCAUAACCAAUUCAAAAGCUGAAAUUAUAAUUUAAGCUUAGAAAUAUAAUGGACAACUUAUAAAAAAUCAUGCAUGCAUAUUAAUUAAAAACCAAAAUGUUCACUCACAACUUUAGGCCUAAACUUGACGUAGAUCCGAAGUCUCUUCAACUCGACCCUCCUCACGUCCUGUUCAAAAUAUAUAAUUAAAUCCCCAACUAAAACUCAACACUUGAACAAAAAUAGGCAAAAUUAAAAGUGAGCCUUAUACACGCUCAUCCUUGCCCAACGUCGCUAUUCUUAAGUCGAUACGACCCGAACUUCACCACAAACACUGGCAGCCUUAUAAUAACCUUUUACAGUCUAAAAAAUAUCAAUCCAACGGCCGGAUUCUACCCCAAAUUAACCGCCAAAUUCUCUAAUCUUUGAAAAAUCCCAAACCUAUCCAAAACUUCUCAAAAAAUUCCAAACUUCACAUCAUUAGACUCCCCUCAAUAUAACAAAUUUAAAACCCUGAAAAACCACCUAACAGCGGAGGCGCCACCGUUUGCUCUACCGGCAGCCUACUCCGGCGACCUCCAAUGCCUACCAAAAUUUAACACAAUCUUCCUCUUAACCCCCUCUACAACUUUCUUAACUAGCAUAAACUCUAAUUUCAAGCCUAACUAGGUCAAUCGAACCAAAACAAAAAAUGAAACCCUAGAAUUUCUAACACCCGAUUCUCCUUACCUAGAUCAAGAGGGAGUGAAUCCUUUUGAGGGAUUGAUGCACGGGAGGAGAGCUUCCAAUUGAGCUAAGCAGCUUCGGCUAUGGCGGUCGGAGGAGGGAGUUCCGGCGACGGAACACCACGGAACAGUCGGAGCUAUCGAGAGCGAUUUCUCUCUCACGGUGGCGCUAUAGCGGCCAAAGGAGGGAGCUCCGGCGACGGAACACCAUAGAACAGUCGGUGCUUUCGGGAGGCUCCCACCAGUCCAGGAAGAAGGAGGGGACGAUGGCCGACCGUUUGGGACCGGUGCGGCGGUCGGACAUGGCCGAACGACGGCGGACGAGUGCGGGAAACUUCCGGCAGGGAGAGAGGGCUCAAGAAAGAGGAGAGAGAGUGAGAAGAAAUUGUUUGGGCUUUUUACUCCAAACUAACCCGGUCCACCACCUAAAAACCCACCAAAAAUAAAACACCCCAAAAAUAUACCCUAAUAAAAAUUAUAUUUUUACUAGCUGAAAUUUACCCUUUUUACCGUCUUAAAAUAUUUCGUCUACGAAUAAUUUCUCCGAAAUAAUCGUCCCUCAAAACACCUCUAGGGACCUUUGAAACUAUAAACUCAUUAACGAAGACGAUAAAACUCUUAUUAAUACCAAGCUAGUAAUUAGAAUAAAAAAAUUUAAGAGUCGAGAUGUGACAGUUGAGUAACGAGUUGGAAGGUCACAUGUAUUUGCAGUGUUCUUUUUCCUUAUUUAAUGAGUUGUUGGCUUAUAUUUGAGUGGCAAGUUGAGCCUUUUUGUGGGUAUUUAUGAUAGAGAGGACAUGUUUGUGAACAAAGGAUUAGGCAAAUUCUAGAUAAGAUUGGUAUUGGAAUAAGAGAUAUCAUAAGGGUGUUAAGUAAGUGUUGUCUUGCUUUGAGAUAAAUAGUUGAGUGGUAUUGCUUGAGUUAAUUAAUUAUGGACUUUAUUGGAUGCGUUAAAUGAGGCUGUUAAAGUUUGGUUUAUGCAUUGAAGUUGGGUUUUUGAAAUUGUUACUGGUCGAUUUACGUUUGGUAUCUGUAAUGUGGGAUUCGCCCUCCUACUUCUGUUGAGUGUUUUAGAUGGAUUGUAAGUGUAAAGGGAUUUGAAAUGUAAUAGUAAAGAGGAUGUGAGAUGGUUGUGGUUGCUCCGACUUUACGGCAACAGAUGGAGAAUUUAAUACAUGAUGUUGUUGGGUUUUAUAAUGUUUCGUAAGACAAUUGUGUGGAGAUGUUGGAGUCUCUCUUAAACUUUAUUUUGUUGACCGGAGACUGAACUUGGGGAAUGAAUUGGAGAAGAGGGAAAGUGCAGCUUUUGUGUGUAGGUGUCAGUUUUGUCAAUAAGGAAAAAGAGUUAUAGAACAAUUCAGAAUAUGGAGACCGAAAUUGUAGAGAUUGAUCGGAGCGUGGAUGAGUGUCCAUAUUUAUUUUAAGCGACAUUGUUUUGGGUUAGUUGAUACAAGCUAGUCUUGGACAAAAUAGUGUUUGGAAGCGACUUGUUCCAGCUUUUAGGUCUUUAGACUAUGGCAGGAGAUUACUGAUGAAUUUCUAUCGUCUAAAGGUAAUUUCAAUGUUCGAUAUCUUUAGUCAUUGGUGUUAGCAAGGUUGAAUUUGUAAGUUUGAAGUGGUGGUUGGUUAGGAAAUCGUGGUAUCGGGUCGAGUGAUUGUUAAGGAGAGAAGAGUGUCGGGAUAAAUUUGGAGUAGUAGUAUGUGUUUGACGAUACACAAGGAUAGAGCAGUAUAGUUGGAGUUGUUGAUCCUGAAAUAAUUGUUCUUUGCUUUAGCUAUUGUUGUUAGCUGAUGUGGAUAAUUCCUAAGAGGAUGAGUGAGAUGUGGAUCUUAAGGUAGUCUAUCCCAUGAUUGUAGCUUCUUAUUAGAGUAUUGCAGUGGUGAAUAUGACUAGUUGGGACUUGAAGUAGUUGUUAAUACUCUAUCAUAUUCGAGCAAUCUCGUGUUCCCACUUGAGCAUUACGCAGACGAUGUUGUGGUUGACGCACAGUCUUAAGAUGGAGCAUGUGACCGUCAAUUGACCAUUGCUCGAGGGUUAGCCCAUGAAUCGAGGAGUAUUUAUCUUUGGCAUCUAGCAACUUCGGCGACUUGAGCGUUGGACUCCAGUCUUGCGCUCGCAUCUUCUUUGGACAUGAUGGACCUGCGUGAUCAAACUAGUUCGAUCUAGCAAUCAAAUAGAAGAAAGGAAAUCACUUUACAUUAGAUGGGGGCAUCAUGAGCGGACUACCUAGUGUUGUUUGAUAGACUGCCAACAUCAGCUGUCUCGACACUCGAUUCGGUCAAUUUUGAGUUUGUAUUUUGUUUGUUAAUACGGUUAUCCGAUGGGUAACUUAGAUGAUUUGACUUUAGAGUUGAUGCGAGAAUUUCUGUACUUUGACAACUAUUAUUUUAUAUGAUUUACUUAUGGGACUUCGACAUUCGUUAACAACAACGAGAAAUUCAUGGGCAAAGCUCUACUCAGGAAACACGAAUAGGUUUUCGUGAUCCUUGGCUUCUUUAGCAACACAUAAUUAUGUGGAAGAAGUACAACUUAACGACGAUUUUUCUUAACAUUAUGCGUAAUGGCGGGGCCGUUACCCGAAAUUUCUUGUUCAUCAACUUGAGUUGAUAUACGCAAUCGCUAUUAUACAUGAUAAUAUGUGAGAUGGAAGUAAUCAAAUAGUGAACUUCCAAUGGUGAUCCUCAGAUUUCAUCGACUCGCGUGAGAUUCACUAUUUCGAUUUUUCCUCCGUUCGACAGACUAGUAUUAUUAAGGCGAAGGUGAUAAUUGCAGACACAUGUGUUGUGGUAAAGCAACAUGAAUUGUCGCAGCAAAUAGUGAACAACUCAUCUCUUCUUGUUCGUGGAAUAGGUAUUGUAACCUAAAGACUGGACUACAUGCACGUUAGAAUGAACUUGGUUCGUAGGAGCAGAUACUCUUAACUUCUAAGGUAUCGUCAUAUGCCAAGUCAUCAUGUUUUUCCUCAUAUUUGGAGGUGCCAGUUUUGGGUACGUUGAUCGGUUAUGAGGGUAAUAUUUUUCGUGUGCUUGUAAGUUGUUUGUUGGUGGCGACUGUUAAAUUAUUAAUGAGGGAUGUGAUUCCGUCGGUUAUUAUUGGUUGUUGAAAUUAUGAAACUACUUGGUGACUGAGGAUUUAGGCAUCUACCUACUCUUGCAUCAUAUAGCUUAAAACAAAACCCUAAAGGUCGCGAGUCUCUAAUAUUUUGAUAUAAGCAACAAUUCUUAUAGAAAUUAAAAACUCAACACCAAUCCAAUAAAUAAGUAAUCAUCCAACUAAAAACAUCAAAUAGUCAUGUUAAGGAUCCAUUAUGGCCCUAACAAAAGAUUUAGCUACCAAAAGUCAUAACAAACACAAUAAUAACAAUGAAAAACAUAAAAAGACUAAAAGGGAAAAAGGGAUGAAUAUUGGUAAUGACGGUUGCCUUAAGUAUGUCUCGUCCCAGAAGCUCCUUCUCUAUGAAAUUUGGGGCUCUUUAUAUAAGGGAGAUUUCCUGCCCAUCUUUGGCUUCAAGUUUCCUUGUAAGACUUGAAUUCAGACUUCUUUCUUGAUAUAGAAUGGGAAAACCUUGAGAUAUCUCUUGUAGAACUAGGAAUACAUGUACUUCUUGAAUCCUCAUAUGCAUUAUUGUCCUUGAAGCAUUAGAGUUGAUGAUCUUGUGCCAUGGAACUUGAGUUCUCCACAAAUUCUUGCAAAUCCGAGCAUAUUUUCUGAUCUGACCUAUCUUCAUUAAAACUAUCAUAACUCGGUCUAGAAGUAUCGAAAUUGAGAUCCGUAAACUUCUACAGAAAGUAGACAUCUGUAGCUUUCCAAUGAAAUAAGGCUUAUAUUCUGAUUUGAUCUGAGUAAUUCCGGGUAAUUUGGAGAAGUUGGAUGUUCUGCAUAGGUAGAUUCUGAGACUUGGGAUUGUAGUGGCCUUUCAAUCCUUAUUUGCGCAUUUUAGCUCAUUUUCUUCUCUCUACGACACAAACCUAUAAGAACACUAAAAUAACAUAAAUAAGUCAUAAAGAAGAGAACUAAACACAAAUCUCAAACAUAAGAGACUUAGAAAUAUAGGAUAAUAUCAGCAUAUCACAAGGCUUGACAGUCCGUUGGCAUAGAGGGUAAGUUGUGUAGGACACAUUAAAUGACUUUCUUGUGAUGCGUAUUCAUACGUGAUCGUAUUGUGGUGAGACCACUUUUGAUCCGUGUAGGACCUGGGAUCGGAGGUCAUUGUUGUAUGGAUAUGAUUUGAGAUACAAGAGAUAUUCAGUGUAAGGGUUUGGUAACAUUGAUCGCUUUAGCAUAAUCUGGCGACAAGGGAGAUAUUCACCAAUUAGCAUGACGAUUGAGGCGAAAGAUCGAGUUUUGUCUUGAUUAAUUGGUGACGAAAGUAAGAUGGUGUUGUGAAUUACGAAAUUUAUUGACCAUUUCGACUUGACGAAAGUCGAAGUUGUACGUGUGACUUGGGGUUGAGUAUCAUAAGUAGCUAUAAUUGGGCAAGCCACACAAUUAGUGGAAGGUAAGUCAAGGAGCAAGGUGUAUUAUGUGAGUGGUGUCAUGUGGAACAUUGACGGAGUAUUUCAGUUUACCCUAAGUUUGAGAUUUGUUAAAGCAUAUGCACUGUCACACCCCAAUUUUUGAAAGAUAAUUUUCAAAAUUUUUGGCAUGAUAUAUCUUAAAAUAUUACUAUCCCAAAACCUGCUUCAUUCAAAACUUCAAUGAAACUAAAAUUCAAUGCGGAAAUGUAAAUGUCGCACAACUCAGCACUGAGUUAAUUUCUACAUUUUCUUGUUUACAUAAACUUGAAAAUCAAGAAAAUGAACACACUCACAUGAGUUUUAACAAUGUCUACCCCAAAAAUAAAAUAUACAGUGAACAACAAAUCCCAACAAAAACCCUGCCACUAAACCUCCGUCUCAACCCUGCUGAUCCUCACCUGCAGGUCUAACCCCUACACCAAGAAUUGGUGCAUCGGGUUGUAAACAACAAACCCGGUAAGCUAAAAAGCUUGUACGAGUAAAUUCUCAAAAUAACACAAUAGCAAUUUAGAUCAGUAAUUAAAUCUGCAAUUCCAACACUAUUUCAAAUAACAUGUACCCAUGAGUCUUAGGUAUUAAUAAAUACCCCUAAUGACCUACAACAACAACUUGUGUACCCAUAGGUCCCAGAUACCAUAAGGUAUCUCCCAUGACCUACACUGACAGACGGACUAGAGCUCUAUUCCUAACCGCAACCAAUCACCCGGCCAAAGGUUUGGAACCCGGUUUGACUAUCCAAUAUCAAAACACAAAAUGAUAAAUAACAUCUUAACCGCAACCAAUCACCCGAUUAAAAGCUUGGAACCCGGUUUGGCUAUUUAUCCAACAAUCACAAUAUCACAACAUCAUCAUCAACAACACAAGAUCACAUCAUAAAUUAUAUCCUUCACAUAGAUAUAUUUACAUUAACAAAUAUAGAUAUUCACAAAGAUAAUCUAUCAAUAAUCAUUAAAAUUAUGGUCACAUGAACCUCAAAAAUAGCAUAUAAGGAAAAAUUGUUUUAUCUUACCUAUGAGCCGUUGGCGAUCAAGCUCAUCUAUUUUUUUUAAAACAAUUAAAAGCAUAUUAUUAAAUCCAACAUCAUCAUCAUCACAUGACCAUAAUAAAAUUUGGUUCAAAAAUGAACCUUGGUGAGAUUUUACUCACCUCAAUAUUCCGCUGCGUUUCCGCAAGGCACAAAAAUAAAGCUAACCACAACCUCACAAAACACCUAAAAUUACACAAAUAAAAACCUUAGUAAAUUCUCAACAAGGAACAAAUACCCUUAACCUAAAGGUUGCCCAAAGAAGGGCAAUCCUUCCUCCAAGACCUCCCAAGGUCAUUGGACACUCAACCAACAAACCAUACUACCUCCAAGAACAAGUUUUCAAAGUUUAUGACCUAAGAAACACCAAGAACAACAUAGCACCUAAACUACCAAAACCAAAACACCACUUAGCCUUCACACACAACAACACAUUAGUAGCUAACAAGGACUAGCUAACACGGCAACCAAAGCCCCCACAUUGCCCGGACGUGCCCCUACGCGCCGCCACGAGUGAGCCCCACGCGCCACCACCAAACUCAAUAUUUGAGAAAACUCAAAACAUCAAAGUUGUAGAUUGAAAGGAGGGAAACAUCUUUUAUAGCUAAUAGUUGAGCCAGUUUGGCCGGAAUCGGCUGGAAAACGCCCCAAAAUCGAAACCCAAACCUGCAAAUCCGGGCUCAAAACCUCAAAAACUUGCUUCAAUCUAUGCCUAGCCAUAACUAGAAGGAGGAGAGGAUCAAAACGCACCUAAGGUUGCCCCUUGUUGCCGCUGUAUAUGGCGGUUCCGACCGGUAGCACAGCAGCGCCCUUUGCCGGCCAAAAGCUUCGUUUCCAACGUGCUACACCGAGCAGCAGCUGCUCAGACUUGAAGAGGGCACCUGUGGGAGUCGAAUGGAACCGGCGGCGGUCCAAUCGGUGUCCGGAUGACGGAGAUAGCUCCAGUCAAAGUUUGGUGUGCGGGUGAGCUCGGGAGCGGGAGAGAGAAAAGAGAGAGAACUGACUUAGGGUUCCCCAAAAUUAACUCCCACACACAUUUUUCUACUUAAACACUUUCCAAACCCGCAAAUUAACUUCUUCUGACCAUAACUUUCUCAUACGACAUCCGUUUCAGGCGUGCCACAUAUCUACGAACUCGUAUCGACAAACUCUACAACUUUCAAGAAGGAAGUUUUCGAAGAUAACUUACGGAAAAUAAAGUCAACUUUUAGCCUCUUAAAAGUCAAAGCACCUUAAAAUUUACUCCCGAAACUUCAACUUCGCACAAACUAAGAAAUUUCCAUAAAUAAUCCUUCAUUAAUAUGGGAAUAAUACAAGGAAAAUUUAUAUGAAAAUAUAGGGUAUUACAUGCACGCCUCGGGUUUGGCAGAUAUGUUACGACGUGCCAAUGUAAGCGGAAAAAGGAUUCGGUUAAUUGUUUCCACAAGUAAAAAAAAAAUGUGUACUUUGUGGUAGAAGAAAGUUUGAAGAGCAUUGUUGUUGGUACGAUUUUAGCCUAGCGCUUAUUGGAGUCUGAGGUGAAAAGAAGUAAUCUCUACCCCUUUAUAAGGAGGGGAGAUUGUAACGCCUCGGACCUUAAUUGACCCGUUUAAUUAUCGUCAGUUGGACCGUAAACGACUUCAUUUUUACUUUUACCCUUUCUAAACAAUUUAAGGCUCCAAAAGUUGACUUUUUCUUUCGUUCAAAAUUUGGGAAAACUUCCUCCUUGAAAGUUGUAGAAGACGUUAAUACGAAUCCGUGGACAUGCUAUAUGUUAAGAUCGGAGUUCGGGGGUAUAAAAAUGGCAACUUACUGUUUGAGGUAAGGUAGAAAAUCAAAAACUUACCUUCUCCUUCUCUCUCCUCUUCCCGCGUCUCUCUCCUCCGCCGGAUUCCGGGCCUCCGUCCGGCCGAGUUAGGCGGCAAGGUGGGUAUCAAAUCGAAGCUUGGACCAUCCUCCAUCAAUCUGGGUAGGUUGCUGGACCUAUCUCGUCACCGAGAAGGAGAAACCACGCCGAGAAGAUGCAGCUGUGUGUGGUGGAGUUUCGCUGGAAACUUCCUCCUCCGGCCACCAUCAUUGGAGAUUCUUGUACCAACUUGAAGCACUCCUUUCGGGUAGCAAACCCUCAAAAUAAUUCGACCUAUUUCGAUCUAGGAUACGAGGAGACCUCGCUUAGGUGGCGAUUCAGGUAUCGUCUGGUUUAUGCCUAAAUUUGUGAGUGGACACUUUGUUUUUAAAGGAAUAUGCAUGCAUGAUUUAUUUUGGAAAUUAUCGUUCUAUUUUCCGAGCUUAUAUUAUAAUUUCGGUUUUAUAAUAUGGUUUUGAGAUUUAUUUGAGUUUGAGGCAUUGCUUAAGUGUGGUCAUGAUUUAUGGAUUUGAGCUCGGGUUAUUAAUUGGUAUUUGAGUUUUGAUCUUCUUUAUGAUUUCCGAAUUUAAUUAUUAUUGUUUUAUUUGUUGACUUUGAGAUUUAUAAAAGAUUUUCGAAAAAUGAGAUUUUCGGUAGUUCUCUAUUAUAAUUUUAUCGUUUAUUUUAUAUUUCACAUCAGAUUUUAUAAGUAUGCUUAGUUACAAAAACAUCCAUCAAUUAUUAGGGAAAAAAAAAAAAACUAGCCUCUUCCUUAAAACCUCUCAACUAUUACUACGCAUCAAAAGAAAAGAAAUAAAAACCUCUUCUCUAAAAUUCAUCACCUGAAUUUCGACUACUGGCGUAAUCACAUAUGUACUAUUUACCGAAUCAUUUGGUUUUUUUUAAAUUUUUUUUUAUCAACUUUAGUUUUUAUCUUGUAGACUAAAAACUAGUUUAAUUUUGAAUUAAAUUUAGUUUACCCCACUGUGGUUUAGCGGUGAAUUCAUGUUAGUCCCUAAACUUUCAAUUUCAUCAGAUUACCCCCCGAGCUCUUAUUUUUCUUUCUGCAGUCUCCUAUUACUCAUGUUCCGUCCAAUUGGGAUGUUGAAAUUUGAUGACGUGUGAUGACGUUUUGGGGGGUUGAGAAGAUUACCAGAAAAAAAAAGAGCUCGGGAGGUAAUCCGAUGAAAUUAAAAGUUUAGGGACUAACAUGAAUUCACCUCUAAAUCACAAUGGGGUAAACUGAAAAAAAUUAUGUAUGUUCUAGUAUUUUUAUUUUCUUCAAAUUCUAGCCGAUUAAUGUCAUAUUGAAGAUUUGGAGUUCGAAUAUAAUAUUACUCUUUUAAUUAUAAAUAGAAAAAUAUCAAGAAAAAAUUUCUAACCUAAUAAAAAAAAAAUCUAACAGCAAAUAAAAGAGAAUACGUAAAGAGAGUUGUGAAAUAGUAAAUAUGUAAUAAUUAUAUUAAAUAACAUAUUAUUAUUAGUUUUAGAUAUUGAGGGUAUUUUAGGCAGUUUGAGAUGUGUAUUUAGUAUAAUAUUUAAAUGAAAAACUAGAUGGGUAGUGUAUUAAGUAAGGGGUGUGUAUUAAGAGAUUAAGGAUGUGUAUUUAAUAUUACUCCCAUUGAAAGUAUGCUGGUGAUGGAAGAUACUGAAAAAAGUUUAUUGGAUAAAAUAGCAGACCUGGAUAGGGUGGCGCUAAUUAUCAAUCUCUGUAGAUGCAGGAUGUAAAUGCAACUUAAGUGUGACAGAAGCCAAAGGAUGAUCACUCUUCGAGUCUUGCAAUUUCAGUUUCAAUUAUGCCUUCUCAUAUUUGUUUAAGAUUUUGUAAAUAUUCAUAGUCUAAAAGAUUGCUAUGUGAUUAGUUUGGGUGUGAAUCAGUAAAAUGUUAAACAGAGACGUGUGACCAAAGAGUUUUUAUUUGAGCUUACGUAAAGAUUGAAGAAAAUGAUCUUCAUAGCAAACUAUACUUUGCCUACACAUGUCAAUUAAAAAACGAUUAUACACAUGCGUGAGCACGGCCCGAUGCGUGUACAGAAAGGCUAGUAGUAAAGUAAGUACAAGACAACUGUUCAUAAGGACUUGCCAAAAUGACAAUUCUGCCCUCAUUUACGUCAUAAUUACAGUCUUGGCAUCAUUCUCUAAAUUACAGUUUUGCCCCCGUUUUUCAGAAAUGGCGAUUCUGCCGUCACUUACGUCAUAAUUGCAAUCAUGCUAUCUCGCUCUAAGUUACAGUUUUUACCCCCCCCCUCCCGUUUUCUUACUUAUUUACGCUGCUCUCUCUCUCUCUCUCUCCCUCCCUCCCUCCCUCUCCCUCUCUCCCCACCCACGCCCGCAACGGAGCGCAGGUAAGCUACCUAGUACUUACUAGAGGGUGAGCUGUAUCGGUUCAAUCUGUCAAUUUGGAAUUAAAUAACUUUUGGGUGCUUGAAUAACUAUGGCAUCUGUGAGUAGGCUGACGAUCUUGGCCUAAAUAAAAGUGCAAUCUAUAAUGACCCACGCUCUGUAGGUGGUUUACGCUCUGUUGAAGAAUGUCAACAAAGAGCAUAUUGGCCUAAAUAAAAGUGUAAUUCAGAAAGAGCUAGAUUCUCUGACAAAGAAACAUGUAUUUGGUUUGGUAGUGCUUGUCAUGACCCAUCCCGAAUUUCAUCCUAAAAUCCAGUGUAAAUCUUGCGGGAUCCACCUCAAGGAAAACUUUACUUAAAAUUUGGCAUAACCACGAUCCUACCUGCUAACCAACAAAAACACUUCUAUAUUCGAAUUAAUCCAACCACAACACUUGAAGCCAUUCUGCUCCCAAUUUCACAUUAACACCGCAACACAUCUUAACUAAUUUAAAAACAAUCCCAAAGGUAAUUACCAGAACAAAUCUAAUAAGGAAGGAAAAACAUAGAUAAGAGAGCAAGCGAAAGCGGUAUUAUUGGUUAUGCCUCAGCUCCUUGUACGCCUGACCUCUUCUAAGUUAACCUGCAAUCUGAGCAUUUGAAACCGAAUGGCCCAAGGAAAACAGAAUUGAAAAAACGUUAGAGUGAGUGGACAAAAAUAAAUAGAAGAACUUAACAAAAACGUAAUUUAAAUACUUUCCCAUGUUUAAAAUCGUAAAAACUGUAGUGCAUGCAACUUUCUGAAUCAUUUAGCUUAACGUCCAAAAAUCUCGUAAGAAAAAUAAGCCAGCCCCGGUGGUUAAUCAAGUACAUAAAUGAGGAAUAAUACAAGAAGAAGAGAUAUCACCAUAUCAAAGAGGAGCCUCCCAGACCUGAAUCAAAGUGGAAAAAUAAGAUUCGAACCAAUCCCAUUGGUUUGAAUGAAAUAUAAAAAGGGAAGAAUUUUCACCAUAAAGAUGAGCCUCUCAAGCUAGGGUCAGAGCCUCCCAAGCUCUAGUAGCGACCCACGUUAAGUGCUUGACUCACCUAUGGUGAGGACCACAUAUAAAGGCUAGCUAGCAAUAAUAAAUGUAUAACAACCUUUAUAUAGUGAAAUAAGAAGGUCAAAUAGAGCUCACGAGAAAAGUAUCCUGGCCCACUAGAUAGAGCUCACAAGAUAAGUAUCCUGGUCCAAUCGACCAAUGAAUAUAUCAACACUCAUUGACUUGUCUCGCAUGUCAAAAUAUUCUCGAAUCUAUGAUUAUAAGCAAGAUUAAAUUAUCAAGUAUAAAUCGUAAUUAAAUUCUCAAACCGAAAUUCUCGUUAAAAUAUCUCAAUGUCAAGAUCAAUAACCCACAAAUAUAUGAGAAAAUUAUGAUGGAGAACUACCGAAAAUCCAAUUUUCGGUAAUCUUUUAUAAAUCUCAAAGUCGACAAAUAAAAAUUAUAAUUAUAGAAGAGAUAUUUAUAAAUUAAAUUGUUGCAUGCAAUUUAUUUAAAAUAAAAGCCCACUCACAGAUUUAGGCCUAAGCUCAAUGACAUCCGGAACGCUAUUCGUGUGAGGUCUCCAUGUAUCCUAGUUCGGAUCAAUUCAAUUCCUUCUGGGGUUAUGCUAAACGAGCCAUAAGCUUCAAAACCCGGUACUUGUCUCCCGGAUUGAUGGCUGGAAAAGUGAGAUUUCGACGAAAGAAGGUUAUUGUGCAGACGAGGCUUCUUGACUGAGUUUCUCUCCUAUGGUGGCGUUAUGGAGUCGAUCACCAACCCAGAUCAAUGGACGAUGUCCUAAGCUUCAUUUCGGCCAACUCGGCCGGACGGCGUUGAACGGCAGUGAGGAAUCCGCUAGAGGCGAGAGAUGCGGGGAGAGGAGAGAGAGAGAGAGAGAGUUUCUGAUUCAAAACGAAAGUUUCCCAAAAAAGCAAGUCUCCCUUUCUAUUUAUAACUACUUCCUUAAGCAGUACCUUUAGGUUUUUAGACCGUAACUUCUUCGUACGAACUCCGUUUUGAACAUGCCCACGUGUCAAUGAACUCGGUUUAACGUUUUCUACGACUUUCAUGAAGGAAGUUUUCUCAAAUUUUAGACAAAAGAAAAAGUCAACAUUUAGAGCCUUAAAUAGUUCGGAAACAACGGUAAAAGUAAAGAUGAAGUCGUUUACGGUCCAAUUGACAGUAAACGGGUCAAUUAAGGUCCGGGGCGUUACAGUGCUAACCGUACCAAGUGUAAAGCAUGUAGGACAUAAAUAAGACUUUGUCAAAAAGCGUAAUGAGAAGAAUGAAGCCCUAAAAGACAAGACUCGUCUUGUGGCGCCAAGGUUUCUCGCAACAAUCUAGAUUGACUACAAGAAGACAUGUUCUCCCAUAAUGAAAAUGCAGCUCAUAGAUGUGAUUACUACAUAUCUUCAUGGGGAUCUUGAUGGAGAGAUAUUUUAUGAAAGUGUUUGAUGGCCUUACGCUAUCUAACUCAAUUAACUCUAAACCACGGAGUGCGUUUGCAAUUAGAAUUGAACUAACUUUAUAAAAGUGACUACUUGGUUGGAAAGGGGUACAAAUGAUGAACUAUGCCCAUGCGUACUCAUAAAGGAAACGAGUUCCGGAUUUGCAAUUAUAGCUAUCUAUGCUGAUGAUAUGAACAUAGUAGAUACUUUUGAUGAAGUAAGAGAAACCUCAAGCUAUUUGGAAUCCGAAUUGAGACGAAUAAUCUUGGGAAACUCGGUUAACAACGAGUUUGUGGAAUACUAAUCCACCAGUCUGCAUGUGUCUGACCAAAAGAUUCUUAGGUGAAUUACUCAUAUGCUUGAUCACUACUAGCACUCCCAAUGAUAUGAAAUUUCUUCUCUAAAGUGCAAUAGGCGCAAUAUUGUACUUAACCCAAUGAACUUGACUGUAUUUUGCAUUCUCAAAGAACUUGUAGCUAGACUUAGCUUAGUGUCAACGCAGUGUCAUUGGAAGGUAUAAAGAACGUAUCCUGAUACCUAAAGGAACUACUGACUUGAGUUCAUUCCGGUAAUGCAAGGGAUCCCUAUAGAAAUAUAAAAGGGAAUGCAUAUGGAAUUGCAGCCCCCUACAUCAAUACACCAAACGAUGCUUUGGUUGGUUUUUACUAAUGUGAGGUAUCCAUGACCAAUCUGUCGUUUCCAAAUUGUUUAUGUAUUCACCUGUAGGAACACGACGAUACCUUGUGAGAAACAUCAGACUCUCCUCAAGAUUCAAGUGAAUCAAGAAAGGUCUGAGGAGAAUGGGACAAAUCUGUUUCUCAAAUCACAGCCUAAGGCUAUAUUUAAAAGGAAUGUAAGAAGCAGAGGAAUACGAAGACGUUCCUAGCUCCUUUGAUUGAUGUAAGGAUCAAGGGGAGUGUAGACUUCAUGGGGAGUCUAACACAAUACACUAUCAUAGGUAUGUUGUACUCUUUUUCCCUUCGGCCAAGAUUUAUUUUGUCAUACUAGGUUUUGUUACUUGCCAAGGUUUUUAAUAAGGCAACACCCCACGCACCGUUUUAACUUUGACUUGGCUUAAGGGGGAGUGUUAAAGGAAAAAUACGUUUGUGCCUUCGUGAAAGUAACUGAUGAAGAGCAAAUCAUGAGAUUAGAGGUAACCGAUCAAUCAUAUUUUAUUAGGUUUCGUUAUGUUGUACGUAACUUACCAUUGUAAUACAUGUAAUUCAUCCCAUAUAUAAGAGCAUCUCCAACAGCUCUUGUAAAACUAUGUUUAUCUCUAUUUUAGAGGAAAACCUACCCUUUUUUUUUAGCUCAAACAGCUCAUUUAAACCAUCAUCUAUAAUGACAAAAAAAAAAAAGUGAGAAGAGAGAGAAUAAGAUCCUUUAUAUCUAUAGCAUUCUUAAAAUUUGUAUAUUUCAUAGGCUAAUCUCUAAAAUUUAUUAUUUGCCUUUUAAAAAUCACUAUCUCCCCUAAACAAAAAAAAAGGAAAAAAAUGACAUUAUAUAUCCCUUUAGUGGAAAAUGGAGAAAUUAAAGCAUGUAACAUGUGAUUGUGAUUUGAAUAAAUAUAUAAUACUUAUUGUAAUACCCUAGAUUUUCAUAUCAAUUUUCCUUGUUUUAUUUUUGGAAUUAAAGAAGGAUUAUUUAUGGAAAUUCUUAUUAGAUGUGCGAAGUUGAAGUUUCGGGAGUAUUUUUUCUUAAGUGCUUUGACUUUUAAGAGGCUAAAAGUUGAUUUUAUUUUCCGUGAGUUAUCUUCGAAAACUUCCUUCACGAAAAUUGUAGAGUUUAACGAUACGAGUUCGUAGACACAUGGCACGUGUGAAACAGAUGUCGUAUGUGAAAGUUAUGAUAAGAGGAAGUUAGUUUCCGGGUGUGGAAAGUGUUUAAGUAGAAAAAUGUGUGUGGGUUAUUUUGGAAACCCUAACAUAAAUCAGUUCUCUCUCUUCCCACUCUCCUCACUCUCUUCUCUCUCUUCUCUCUCUCCCUCUCCCGAGCUCACCCACACACCACACUUUGGCCGGAGCUAUCUCCGCCGUCCGGCCACCAAAACGGACGCCACCAGUCCCGUUCGACUCACCCAAGCGUCCACUUCAUUUCUGGGCUGGUGUGGGGCAGUGCUGCAAGCCGGAAAUCAGAGCUUUUGGCCGGAAUUGAGAGCUGCUAUGUCUCCGGUCGGACUUGCCGUUUCCGGCGGUGAUGAAAGGUAUCCUUAGGUGAGUCUUGAUCCUCUCCUCCUUCUAGUGGUGGCUAGGCAUAGAUUGAAGCAAGUUUUUAAGGUUUUGAGGCCGGUUUUGCAGGUUUUGUAGUGUGAUUUGCUGGUUACUGUUCGGGGCAGUUUCCGGCUGGUUCCGGCCAAAUUUGGUCGAAGUCUUAGGUAUGAAAGUUGUUCCCCUUGCUUCAAGCUUCAACUUUGCUGUUGUGAGUUUCUCCUAAAUCAGAAGUUUGGGGUGGCGCGUGGGGCCCACUCGCCGCCGCUUGUGGUGGUGCGUGGCAGCGCGUCCGCUGUGUGGCAGCCUUAAUUUCUUGUGGUUAGCUAGUCCUUGCUGCUGUGAGCUUGUUGAGUGGUAGUAUGGCUAGAUUUUAAGCAAGGUUGCCAUGCUAGGACUUAAGUUUAUUAGUGUUGGCUUGGUUGGGUUAGAGUUUAGGUUUUGAAGAGUUGAGACAGCUCUAUUGUGUCGUUGAGUUCAACGACUUUGGGAAGUUGUCCUCCCUUGAGAUAAGGGUUAGUUUAAGGGUAUUGUGUUAUCCUUUACUGAAGGAGUUGUGUCCUAAAACAAUCAUUUUGAUGUAAUUAUUAUUGUAGUUAUUAUUAAUCAAAAUGGCAAGUUUAUUGUUCAUUGCUUAUAUUUAAUAUUUGAUUGAACAAGGUCCAAGGAAAUUGAGUUAAAGAGAAAGCAAUCUAAAGAGUUAGAUGUAUGAGACCUUUACUCUUUUACACUCUUAUCCUAAAUGUUCAUAGUCAUAGGAUUAUCAUUUGGACAUUGUUAAUCCGGAAAGACUAGCACAUGCUAUGUAUGCUCAAUAUGGAGGAUGAUAUGUCUCUUGUCAUUUGUGUAGAGACACUAAUACAAGUAUGUGAGUGCUCUUAUUUUAAAGAGUACACUGAACGCGAUCGUUAGAGUUCUUAUAUGAAGUUUUACUUACAUGUCAAACUUGAACUCUAAAUUGCAAUAAUACAAAUUAGUUUUUUGACCUGAGACACUAUGGUUGUCUUAUGAAUGAAUGGAUUUACUCUUGAUGAUGCAGUAACAUUAUGUCUCUUAAUGGAUAUGAUCCAUGCACUCAUUGGUGUAAUCAAUUCGCUCAUAGAGACAUGUGAGUGUACAAUAAGGAAUCUCUAUCCUUAAGUAAAUAAGGUGUAUGUUCAAAGAUGUGAUUCAAAUAGUCUUUGGCCAAAACAUUGAAUACGAUUAAAAGAAAUUUAUAAUCACAUUCUACGAAUCACAUUAGGGGAUUGACAUACUACUUCUAUACCCCGAUGAUGUGAUUUAGAACAUCAUAUUAGAGAAGAACCCAAUUGUUUAGGUUCCUUGUCAUUCUAUAUUAACUAGGGUAGUCAUGAUAUGUAGCAAGACGUCACUCAUGACUUGUGAAGUCCCCGAGGAUUGAUAAACGUUUAUAAUCCUAAUAAGAAGGGAGAAUCAAAAUGGAGUUUUGAUUCGUAAACGAAAUAGAAUUGUUCUACAAACUUCACUGCCUUGUUAAUUAAAACCUAAGAGAUCGCACACCAUAUAAGUGGAUCAUUGAGAUUGUAUAUGAAGAAGAUUAAACAAGAGUUGGUUAUGACCAAAUAUUAAUUAGAUUUAUUAUUUGGACAUAAUUAGGAUCUUCGGGUAAAACCAAGCUUAUUGGGCCUAACCGAUUGUCGGGCUUUUUUGGUAUGGGCUUAGGCCUCACUAAAGGCACAUUUUUAAAGCCCAAUAAUACCUAUGGACCAAUCAACUAUUUGGCUUUAUGAAAGUCAAUAUUUCACUUUAAUGUUGAAAUAGUUUCCAAUUAUAUAAAGUGAAAAGAUGGACAUAAGGUAAUAUGAGUUUUCAUUUCUAUCUCUAGUUGAUAGGAGAACUCUCUCUCUUUCUCCAUUUCAUAAGUUGGUAACAAAGGAAGAAAGAAUACUUGCAUACUUCUUUUAUUCCUUUCAUCUUCUUCAUCUCUUGAUUUACUUGGUGAAGAUCCUUAGAGGUCAUAUUAUUUUGUGGCUUUAAUUACUACAUCAAGGAAGAACUUACUAGCACAAGGAGUUCUUAAUUAAGGUGUAUCAAGGUGGAGGAAACACACACAAGGAGAGAUCAAGGAGAAGAGCUUUGGUGGUUCACUUGGAUCGGAUUGAAAUCACGCUCCAAGGGUGAGUAGAACAUAAACUCCCUCUUAGUUCUUCCUUACCAUAUAUGCUAUGUUUAUAUACAUAUCACAAUAAGCCAAGAUCAUGGGUUAAAGGAAUGAAAUUUAUGUUUAGUUAGUAGUUUAAUGGUUAAACUAAUUCCGCACUAAUUAAAAAGUUUUAUUAUCCAUCCAUUCCUUCAAUUGGUAUCAGAGCCUUUGGCUUAAUUUUGAUGUGUUAUAAACAUGGCUAAGUUUAUUAGUUGAUGUGAUUUUCUUAAGCUUAGGGUAAUAUGUAAUUUAGAUCAUAAUAUUUGCCUUAGCAUAAAAGUUAUGAAGCAUGUGAUGUAAGGUAGAUUUUAUGAUAGUUAGAAAAAUAUUCUAGAAAUUACAUAUAUGAAGUGGUUAAAGUUUAAUUAAACUUUAGUGCAUAUGAGAUAUGUAUUAAGGGGUUGCAUGUUUCUUUAUUAAGGUGUUAAUUGUAGAAACAUGAUAGGUUAAUUAUAUUUAAGGGCGUACAUGAUUUUUUGGCUUCAAUGAUUAAGGAAACAAGAGUUCAAUGGAAGAACACAAAGCUGAAAAUUUUGUUUCCAGUUUUGGUACGUGAGAAAACUAAUGAUGUUUUCAUGUUGUUUCCUUCCUUAUUGACCCAUGUAAUCAAUUCCAUGUUUCCCUCACCAAAUACUUGGUAGAGUAAGUCAUCUUUACUAUUGAAAUGUGAUGACUUUCAUGCAUGUUCAAUCACCAAAAGUUGAUGCAUGAAAAGGAAGACAUGUCUCCCUAAAUCACUCACCAAUAGUUGGUGAUAAAAGAUAUAAGACAUCAUCCCUUAAAUCACUCUAAGUUCCAUCAAUCAAAUAGUUUGACAUGAUGAACAAUAAAAUCACUCAAUUAAUUUACUUGCAUUAAAUUAAUGUAAUUUAGUGAUUAAUUUAUUUUGAUUAAGUUAAUAGUACUUGUUUAAUUAACCUAAUUAAUCAUGGUUAAUUAAAGGAUGAUUAUGGACUAAGGCCUUAUAUAAUUGAGCAUGAGAUUAGCCGUCUAUUCAUUUUGAAUGAAUGAGGUUAUGUAAUUAAAGUAGUUAAUUCAUUUGGGUUUGUAAUAAAUUUAAUUUAUUCAUUUGGUUGUGUAACUAAGUAGUUUAAUUUAUUCAAGUUUGAUUAUAUUUAAGUGGGAGCUACUAUGCCCCUUAUCCAUACUUGUAAUCGAAGACGGAGGCACUUAAGGAUGGACUAAAGAAUGAGCUUGAAGUCAUAUAGGAGUUCAAGUGCAAAGUGUAAUAAAUUAGUUUAGCUUAGUUAUUUAAUUUCCGUAAUCGUUACGCGUAAUUAAAAUCAACCACACCCAAACAUGACCUUGAUCCAACAUAUUGGCUCCUGUUGGAUCAAACUUCAAGUCCAUAAUCAUCAUGUGUGCCUUAAUAUGAUUGCAUAUUCAUUUCACUUGAUUAAAUAAUUUUAUACUUCUCUUAAUUUCAUUGAAAAAUGUUUUCCAUGAAAUCAAAUUGUUUUUCGAAAACAAUAAGUGGGAGUAUAUUUACUAGAAAUCAAGUAUAAUGAACAUGUGAUUGCAUUAAUGUCAAAGCAAAUGCUAUUUGAUUGUUAAUAAUAAGAUUAUAAGAGAUGAGACCUUAAAACUCCCUCAAAAUGAUAUUAAGUUGAAAAACGAAGAAAGGAUUAUGAAUACUUCUUUGUGGCCUUCCAUCAUUGCAAUCUUUCAUUAGAUGUUCUUGCAUGUGAAUAUCAUUCCGAACGGAGGUAUUUCUUGCUAUGGAUAUCGAAAGGAGGUUAUUCGACAUUUGAUGUUGUAAGGUAGGGGACAAAUCUUGGUCAAUAUUCUAUUAUGAUGAGAUUUAAUUUUUGAUCCCUAUACUUACAUGAGAUGAUGGGCAUAACUUAACUAGAGUGAGUAGUCAAUAUCCUAUUAUGGUGAGACUUAAUUACUUUAGAGGCCAAAGUUAUGGAUAUUCACAUUUGAUGUGAUUGGAUAAGAGUAUCCUCUCAUUGAAAUUAAGUCGACCUAUAGUUCUAUUAUGAUUCCGUUGGCUUAGUGGAAGUGAGUCUUCCAUACUCGCUAAGAGUUUAUAAGAUCGACUCUCGAAUUCCGUGAGGGACUUGGAAUUUGUUAAAAUAGUGAGCGGUGCCAUUUGAUUCUUAAGACCUGAGUCAUUUGGUUUAAAAUUAAUCUAACUCACUUCAUUUUAUGUUAUGUAGAUUGCAAUAUGUCAGAACAUCCUAUCACCAAAAUUCUCAAUGAGAAUCGUCUUGAGGGCCCAAACUUUAAUGAGUGGCUCCGCAACUUGAGAAUUGUUUUGACAUUCGAUAAGAUCGCUUAUGUCUUACAAAAUGCACCUCCUCACACUCCUUUGGCUGAAAAUGGUGUUGCUUAUCAAAAGCACAAGGAUGAUGACACUCAAGCUAAGUGUGUUAUGCUUGCAUCUAUGAACUCACAGCUUCAGAAGCAACAUGAGAACUAUGAUAAUGCCGCUUCUAUAUUGCUUCAUCUGACUGAACUGUUUGGUGAGAGAAAUAGAAAUGUGCGCUUCACCGUCGUCAAUGAACUUGUCAAGACAAAACAUGUGAGGGGCACACCUGUGCAUCAACAUGGUCUCAAAAUGAUAGGUCUUAUUGAGCAAAUUCAAGACCUAGGAUUUGAACUUGAUGCGGAGCUAUCUCAAGAUCUUCUUCUAUCCUCCCUAGAUGAUUCAUUUUCUCAGUUCAUAAUGAACUACAAUAUGCAACAAAUGGAUCAUACUCUUCCUGAUCUUCUCAACAUGUUGGUAACAGCUGAGAAGCAAAUUAGGAAAGAGAGUGGAAGUGUGGCUAUUGUCACUUCAUCUUCAUCCACCAAGUCUAAAGGAAAGGGCAAAGGGAAGAAGAAACAAGUGGCAAAGCCUAAAGGAGCAAUCCAAAAGAAGAAGAAGAAGGAACAAAAGGAACCAAAAGGUGUUUGUUUCUUUUGCAACAAAGAUGGACAUUGGAAGAGGAACUGCAAGGCUUAUCUUGCAUCCUUGAAGAACAAGUCUUCAGAAGCAGGUAUGAUCAAUGUGAUUGAAUCAAUAUUUACAGUUAAUAAUACUUCCACUUGGAUAUUUGAUUCAGGUGCAUCUCACCAUGUUUGCACUUCGUUGAAGGACCUAGUGGGAGCAAGGAAGCUUAAAGCUGGAGAAAUCUCCCUACGUGUGGGAAAUGGUACAAGAGUUGAUGCCAAGGCCGUAGGGACUUAUAUUUUGAAGCUACCAUCAAGAGAUACAUUGGAGUUGAAGAAUUGUCUUUAUCUUCCUAUAUGUAUAAAGAACCUUAUCUCUAUCUCCAUGCUUUUGAAGGAUGGUUAUAGAGUAGUGUUUGAUAAACUAAGUGGGUUUGUAUCUAUUAAUGGACGUAUGAUAUGUCAUGCUAAUAUUAUUGAUGGACUUUUUCAUCUAGCUUUGGAUGCUAGUAUUAACUGUAUGAAGGAAAAUGCUUUGGGAUCCAAAAGAUCUCGAGAAACGGUUAACCCUAUUAAGAUGUGGCACCUUAAGCUUGGUCAUAUUAGCCAAGAUCGAAUUCACAAGUUAUCCAAAGAAGGAUAUUUAGAGUCUUUAGGAUCUGAUCCUAUGCCUACUUGUGAGUCUUGUCUAAAGGGCAAAAUGACUAAGUCUCAUUUUGGUGGACAAAGAACAAGGGUUAAAGAACUCUUGGGCCUAAUACAUACUGAUGUAUGCGGUCCAAUGUCCACUAUUAGUAGAGGUGGAUUCUCAUACUUCAUAACAUUUACCGAUGACUACUCUCGAUUUGGUUAUGUAUACCUUAUGAAGCAUAAAUCAUAAGCCUUUGAAAUGUUCAAAGAAUAUAAGAAUGAAGUUGAGAAACAAACCGGCAAGAGUAUUAAGGCUCUUAGAUCUGAUCGAGGAGGCAAAUACUUAAGCACAGAGUUUAGUGAUUAUCUUAAACAAGAAGGCAUUGUUUCUUCAUUGGCUCCUCCUGGAACGCCACAACUCAAUGGUGUCUCUAAAAGGAGAAACCGAACAUUGUUAGACAUGGUUCGUUCCAUGAUGAGCUAUACUGAUUUACCUAUAUCAUUUUGGGGAUAUGCACUUCAAACAGCAACUUAUUUGUUGAAUAGAGUGCCUUCCAAGUCUGUCCCACUUACACCAUAUGAGAUGUGGCAUGGGAAGAAACCGAGUCUUAAUCACAUUAAGAUUUGGGGUUGUCCAGCUUAUGUCAAGAGACUAGAAGCAGGUAAGCUUGAAGCUAGAUCAAGCAAGUGUUUAUUUGUGGGAUAUCCUAAAGAUAGUUUAGGCUAUUAUUUCUAUCAACCUGACGAACAAAAGGUGUUACUUUCCUUGAAAGAGACUAUGUCGUUGAUGGGAAUACUCAGCAAAUGGUAGAACUCAAGGAAGUGUCCGACAAGCCACAAGUUAACACUUCAAUUCUUGAUAAACAACUUCCCGAACCAACUAUAGCACAAACUCCAAGGAGAUCUAGUAGGAUCCGGAUACCUCCUGAGAGGUAUGGUUUACGUCAUGAAAGCCUUGGGGAGUUAAAUCUCCUUGGUGACAAUGAAAACUUACAUGAUCCUUCUACUUACACUGAGGCAAUGUUAGACAUUGACUCAAAGAAAUGGCAAGAGGCCAUGCAAUCCGAGAUUGACUCUAUGCAUACCAACCAAGUCUGGACUCUUGUUGACCCUCCACCUGGUAUUAGACCAAUUGGUAAUAAAUGGGUCUUCAAGAAAAAGAUAGGCUCAGAUGGUAAAAUAGAAACCUACAAAGCUAGGUUAGUGGCAAAGGGCUAUAAGCAAAGAGAGGGCAUUGACUAUGAAGAUAUGUUCUCUCCUGUUGCCAUGGUUAAAUCCAUUCGGAUAUUACUUGCUAUAGCUGCUCACUAUGAUUAUGAGAUAUGGCAAAUGGACAUAAAAACUGCCUUUUUGAAUGGCAAUCUUCAGGAAGAGCUAUAUAUGGAUCAACCUGAAAGCUUUGCGUCUAAAGAUAACAUUCAUAAGGUGUGCAAGCUUCACCGGUCCAUCUAUGGACUUAAGCAAGCUUCAAGGAGUUGGAACAUCCGUUUUGAUGAUGCAGUCAAAUCAUUUGGUUUCACACAAAACAUGGAUGAACCUUGUGUUUAUAAGAAGGUUAGUGGGAGUGCUGUUGUGUUCCUUGUACUUUAUGUUGAUGACAUCCUACUAUUUGGGAAUGAUGUAGGGAUGCUAUCUUCAAUUAAAGUUUGGUUGUCCAAGACCUUCCUUAUGAAGGAUCUUGGAGAAGCUUCCUAUGUACUAGGCAUAAAGAUCUAUAGAGAUAGAUCUAAAUGAUUGAUUGGAUUAUCUCAAUCCUUGUACAUAGAUAAGGUGUUGAAAAGAUUUCAUAUGGACAAAUCUAAGAAGGGUUUCCUGCCUGUAAGACAUGGCAUUCACCUUUCUAAGAAAAUGUGCCCACAAACGAUUGAGAAAGUGCAAAAGAUGAGCAAGAUCUCAUAUGCAUAAGCAAUUGGGAGCCUCAUGUAUGCGAUGCUAUGCACUAGACCUGAUAUUAGUUAUGGCGUAAGCAUAACAAGUCGAUAUCAGUCUAAUCCAGGUAUGGAACACUAGAAUGCUGUAAAGAAUAUCCUCAAGUACUUGAGAAGGACUAAGGAUUUAUUCCUUGUAUAUGGAGGAGGUGAUUUGCAAUCAGAGUUGCAAGUGGAAGCAUACAUAGACUCAGAUUUUCAAUCUGAUGUGAAUGACAGAAAAUCCACAUCAGGAUUUGUUUUCACCUUGAAUGGAGGUGCAGUAAGUUGGAGGAGCUGCAAGCAAGGCGUUACAGCAGAUUCCACUACUGAGGCAGAAUAUAUUGCAGCUGCAGAGGCUGCAAAGGAAGCAGUUUGGAUAAAAAAGUUCAUUACUGAACUUGAUGUUGUUCCUACCAUUGAGUCACCAAUUUCACUUUACUGUGACAACAAUGGGGCAAUUGCUCAAGCCAAGGAACCAAGGUCUCAUCAAAAAUCCAAACACAUUGAAAGACACUUCCAUAUCAUAAGAGAGAUAGUUAAUCGUGGUGACAUCAACAUUCUCAAAGUAGCAUCUGUUGAUAACAUAGGAGAUCCAUUCACUAAGCUUUUAUCACAAAUUAAGUUAGAACGACAUCUUGAAAAGAUGGGUGUACGUUUCAUGGCUGAUUGGCUUUAGUACAAGUGGGAGAUUGAAGGAGUUGUGUCCUAAAACAAUCAUUUUGAUGUAAUUAUUAUUGUAGUUAUUAUUAAUCAAAAUGGCAAGUUUAUUGUUCAUUGCUUAUAUUUAAUAUUUGAUUGAACAAGGUCCAAGGAAAUUGAGUUAAAGAGAAAGCAAUCUAAAGAGUUAGAUGUAUGAGACCUUUACUCUUUUACACUCUUAUCCUAAAUGUUCAUAGUCAUAGGAUUAUCAUUUGGACAUUGUUAAUCCGGAAAGACUAGCACAUACUAUGUAUGCUCAAUAUGGAGGAUGAUAUGUCUCUUGUCAUUUGUGUAGAGACUACACAGUUUGUUGUUGUAUGUCAUGAGGGGUAUUUAUUAAUACCUGGGACUCAUGGGUACAUGUUGAUUGAAAAAGUGUUGGAUUUGUGGAUCUUAAUUAUUGAUAUAAAUUGCUCUUGUUAUAUAAUUAGUAGUUGGAUGUUUUGUGUUAUUUGAGAAUUACUCAUGCGGGCUUUUUAGCUUACCGAGUUUGUUGUUUACAACCCGGUGCACCAAUUCUUUGUGUAGGGGUUAGACAUGCAUGUGAGGAUCAACAUGGUUGAGGUGGAGGCAUAGGGGCAGAGUUUUUGUUGAGUUUUGCUGUACUAUUUAUAUUUUUAUAUUUGGGGUAGACAGUAUUAAACUCAUGUGAGCGUUUUCAUUUUCUUAACUUUUAAGUUUAUGUAAUUAAGGAAAUGUAAUAUUUAACUCAGUGUUGAGUUGUGUAAUAUUUACAUUUUCCGCAUUGAGUUUAGUUUGCCUUGAAUUUGUGUGAAACAGGUUUUGGGAUUAUAUUAUUUUAAGUUAUAUCAUGCCAAAAUUUUUGAAAAUUAUCCUUCGAAAAUUGGGGCGUGACACUUAUAUAGGUUCAUUAAAUUAUACUAAAAAAUAUUUAAUUUUAUAGAGUAAAACAGAAAAGUUGUUGGAGUUGAGACUCCUAUAUUAUAUAGAUUUUGUGAUUUCGUCUUCUAUAAUAGAAAAUAUGCUCUAAGGGAGAAUCUCUAAUGAAAUGAGUAAACCCAUUUUAUUAUGUAAUUUACUUUUACAAAAAACACUAUUACAAUAGAAAAAUAAUUCCGUAUUCUAAUAAGAUUCUUACUGAUCUUUUAUCUCUUAUCAAUAAAUAACACAUCUCACCAUUCUUUGGCCAUCUCUUAGGCCUCGUUUGGUUCAUGGAUUGGAAAGGUUGAGAAGAGAAAGUUGUUUCUUUCCUUUGUUUGGCACACCUAAGGAAAUGAAAGAUUUUACUACAAUAUGAGAAAAUAUAUGAGAAAUUAGAUCCUCCCACAUACCAUGAGAUUUUAUUUUCCUCAUAUUUUCCUAACAUUAAUUGCAUAUUAAUUGCAUCUUUUAUAAAUUGUUUUAAUGGAUGUUAUUACCACAUAAUCCACAAAACUUUAGAAUCUUAAAUAUUAUAUAUUUUAUUACUAAAGAUAUAAUUGGUAAAUUAAUGUUAAUUGUUUUCCUAUCCAUGCAUAAACCAAACAUUAGAAAAGAAAGUAAAAUACAUUUCCUAGUUACUUUCCUGACUUUCCUAAACAUCUCGUAGGGAAACUAGUGGGAAAUUUUCUAAUAAGUGCUGCUAAAUGUACCCAGUAAAUGCCUAAGUAGACCCAGCAAACUUUAUACACCCGGCAAAAUCAUCAAAUUUCUAUCCACACCCAGCAACAUAUCAAUAAUACCCUUAAGUUCAUAAACCCAACCACUAGAAAUACACGGUUACCGCUGCUGAUGAUAUGGUUGGGUUCCAAACUCGAUUUUGGCAUAGAGCGGCUAUCGUGGUGGUUGCAAAGACGAAAGCCAGAAUUAGCUCUUAUAAAGGAAGAGUCCUAAAUCUAAACUCCUCAUUGUUGAGUAAUUGAAGAUCGACACAAACCUGACUUUUUGUAUGUAUAUUGUGCCCAGAAAGUAUACGGCUGGAGCUUGGUGGAUUAGGAUAUCAACAAAGGGCCUGUCAACUUGUAUGUCUAGUUUCAAGAUUCCAAUUGAAAUGUCAAUAUGCAUGAAUGCAUCUCCUUGAAAUUGUCAGUUGCAGAUUUGCAGUAGCUUUACUACUAGGAGCUAAUCACCUUGAAAUAUCACUAUCUUCUAUUCACGUUGAAAAAUGUGAAAGGUUUUCAAUACAACUCAAUUAAAGAACUAAUCUGUUUACUUUGCUGGGUAUCAUUGGAGUUAUUAAUCCUAUUCUUUUGCUGGGUUUCGUUGGAGAUGUGUAUUGCUGUUUUUUUUUUUUAUUUCGAUAUCGUUCAUUUUGCUGGGUUUCAUCACAGUAAGGGUAUAAUUAGAAAUUACAAAGUUUUAGGGGGUUUGAAAAUGAUGCUGGGUCUACUCAGUUAUUUGCGGUACAUUUAGGCUCUAACAACACCUUUUUCUAAUUUACUUUACAUGAGAAAGAUUAAGGAAUCAAUUUUCUUUGCAUAACCAAACGAGGCCUUAUAUUUACGUUUCUCCGCCUAUAUAAGAAAAUACGAGUCAGAGAAGAGUCAGAGAAGAGUGACGUCCCCAACCGCCGGCAGCCCUAGGGAGAGUGAGAAUUCUGGUUCAGAGAAGAGUCUAGAUGCCAAGUCUAAAGCCUUGAAAUUGAAGGAAAUUCCUUCGAUAAGAAGGCAUUGGCCAUGUUUCAGAAUUACUAUGAGGAGAAAGCAAAGCGUGAGCACAAGGUUAUGGUUCCGCGCCUCUGAUUAGUUUCAUCUAUGUUUUGUUAUUAUCUAAUUGAUAUUGAGAAGUAGCACUACUGAAUUGGAUGCUAAUCAUGCUAUGGUGAUGGUUGUUAUGUUCAGUUUCAUUGCUUCAAGUUUAGUUGUAGUGUGAAUUAGUGGAAUUUUGAAAAGAAAAUCUACAUAAUAAUUUUCUCUAGUUCAUUCCUAUAAGGCAAUUUUAAAUGUAGAGUUUUAAUCAUAUUGCAGUUUCGAUUAACAUCGAAAUUCUGAAAAUAAUCUUCCUGGCCUUGCUGUUAUACUGCAAGCUGCUGCUUUUAGCACCAAUCCUGAUGGACACAGUCUCCAUCAGGUUCUUGUUAUUUCUUCUAUCUUGAUAAUCCUUUUGGGUUAAUUGGAUAUUUUCUUGGUAUGUAAUAGUGAGUCAUGUUGAUCAGAAGUGUGUUUGAUUGAGUAACUUGAGACUGGUUUUAAGUAAAAGAGACCUGGAUUUAGAAAUCGUAGCUCAUAAUGAUCUUUAGUUAGCUUCCUGUUUAGAUUGUAUAAUUAGAUUGGUUUCAGUGUUCUGUGGGAUAAAAUGUUUUUCUUUUAACCAUCCAAACAAAUUUCAGCAAAAUACGGUUGAGAAGUUUUGCCCUGCUUCUGAGUUUGAAACUAUUGUUGCUAUAUGAUGUUGGUCUCUUCUUGAUUCAAGUGAGAGACCAUUCAUGGGAAGAGGAGGUUUGAGGUGCUAUGAAUUACAGUUUGAAAACAUUAUUAGGCAUGAUUAUGAAUUGAGAAACUUUCUAGAGUUAAUUUUUUCCUCUGAAUGAAACUGAUUUCAAUUUCUAAAAACCAUCAAGAUCAAUUGCUAGUUCUCUGCUGGGAGAUCUAUAUUACAAGAUCACCUGACCUACCAAGCUUUGAAUUCAUUUGCCUUACACAGGUACAUUGUGUCAUUGUCACUUUAUCCCAUGUUUAAUGUUCAGUCUUACAAGUCAUAAGUAACUUGUAUCUCUUGAGAAGCUUAGUUCUCAAAUUUGACCUCCUUGUUUUCAACAGAAUGAUUCUGCUUUCUUCAAUAUAAGCCAGCCAAAAUUUUAUGACUGUUUUGGUUGCUUUUACUAAACAUUUCUUAGAAAAAAAAAAAAAAUCCACAUAUUUUUCAGUAAACUUAAUCCAUCACAUUAGUCAUGCUAUAAGGUCAGGGUGUGACAGUGUCUCACCUCGAGCAUAGGUAUAAGGAACGCCAUCUCAAGCAUUAGUAAAAGAGGGAAGGAUACUUUUUACAGACAAACUUAAUGUAAUAUCAGUUAUUAUAUCAUCAACUCAGCUGGAUAAUCAGGCACGAGGAAGCUGUACCUUAUGGGUGAGUCCCUGUACGAGGCGAAGUUAAAUUGGACCACGAAUUCUGGUACAUUGAUGCUUGAAUGAAUUAGGCUUUAGUCAGUAUCCAAAACCCACGGAUGAGUCUAGCGGUGUUUAUUCUUCUACACCUGUUGAUUGUUGUAGACGAGAAUAAGGUUAUCACAAGCUGAUAAAGACAUGUUCAGGGAGGACGGUCUUGUCUUUGUUACACAGGUUCCCCUAUUGUUAUGGUAUCUUUGCUCGCUGUUUAUUUUUUGUUCUGUUUAGGCUACCACAGUUGAUGUGCUUAUAAAUAAACAGUUUUUUGACUGCGCAAAUUGUCUUUAUCUUUUGGUUUAAGUUGUUAGUUUAAUGUCUUGAGAAAUUAUGUUCCUUAUUUUUUGGUGAACUAUUAUCAUUGUACGGGGUACAACCGUACAACUGGGUGAGUGCCUAAAAGGCAAAUAUCCAUGCCGAUUAUCCUGAGCAGUGGCCACGGCUUUUAGACUGAGUGAAGCACAACUUAUAUGACCAACAAGUUUAUGGAGCUUUGUUUGUUUUCUGUAUUCUUUCUAGAGAACAUGAGUAAGUGUAUCAUAAUCUACUAAUCUUAUAAAGUAAUUCUUUUAUAUGGCUACUGCCUGGAGUUACUCUGCUUCUAAUAGAAACUACAAGUUAGCUAGUAGUUUCCCAUCUGAGGCAAACUUUGUGUUUAAUGUGUAUUUGACCACGCUUGUUAUAGAAAUUAAUCAUAAAUUAUGUUAUCUCACAUUGAUGAAAAUAUUAUUAUCUGGUUUCCUGAUAUCUGAAAUGGUCAUCAGACUCUGCGAGUUCAUAUCCAUUCAUACACCAGUUACACUGAGAUAUCUGUCCAUAGUGAUCAGAUUCUACUAGUUCAUAUCCAUUCAUUUACUGUCAAUUAGCUAAUCACUAUUAUUGUUAGAAUGUAGAUGUAUCUAGUAAAAUGAUAGUAAAACCAGGUCCUGUCUGACCUGCUUCAUAGAAAACUAAAUGAUUAUAGUAUUUACCAGAUUUAUUGGAUUUAGGUGUGACAUCAUACAUGAUUUUUGCUGCUUUAUUCGUACCAGGCUAAGAGGAUACUAAAAAGUUAAAGACUGAAAGUCUCCCUAAAACGUAGUUGGAUUAUUCUCCAAAUAAUGAAGUGGGACAUGAAAAAUGUAUCAGGCAUAUUGAACAGAAGUAUUGAGUUGAGUAAAUGUCUUCUGAAUGAUUCAAAGUUUCAAACAAAGUAGGUACUUAAUUCUAUAUGCCAUAUUCAUCAAGUACACAGGUUGGUAGACAAGUAGACAAACCAAACAAUAUCUCCCACAUAGAAUUAUAUAUAUGUGUGUCUGUGUGUUAUAUGUUAUAAAAGCCAAUAAAUUUGAGAGUAUGAUGAAGUGGUAUUCUGUGAUCUCAGAACACAUUUGCUAUAAUGAGAAAGAGAUGCCACUUCUACUUUCAUGCUUAGGAAGAAGCAUUGAUCAGUGAAAGAUGGCUUUUCCUAAGUUCUUAUUCUCACAUGGUGUCCUGUCUUCGAUGCUCUUCAUUUAUGUGUUUAGCUUGUUCUUCUCUUGCAAAUCAUGAAUCCACUGUUUGCGCUGUUAUUUGCUCUGUUAUUGGAGAAGGUUACAUGGACUCCUAGCGACCAUCAGAAAGUUAGUCUGUCACCUUAGUAUGAAACUUUGAACCCAAACAUCUAUUUACAGUCAGACAGGUAAUUUGAGUAAAAGUUUACCGUAACUCUCGGAGAGGUUUCUUCCGGUAAAGACUAUUAAAAACUAUGAGACAGGUUCCUGUCUUUAUUGUCUAUCAUUGUUAUGGGCUUCAUAGUUUUGUAAUGCAAUUUUGGUUUUUAUCAUUUAUCUUUGUAACACCACUUUCUUAGAGGAUAAUAUGAAGAUUCUGGAUAAUAUGCAUUAUCUUAGACUUCAAUGAAUUUCUGAUUUGCAGGGCAAACAUUUUUUUUUAGUUACAACUUACUGCAUAAAAUGAAAUUUCAUUCUGGUCAUAGAGGGAAGGCACAAGGAGUGGGACAGAAACGGAAUUUCUAGUUGGACAAGCAAGACUAUCUAUUCAUUGCAGACUGCUCAGCUUCCCAUGCAUACAGAUCUCCAAAAAAUUGGAUAAGCUCAACUCAUAUAUUGUCUGGGGAGGGAGGGAUACUGAGCAGCAGAGGCAGAUCCACUUGGUUAACUGGGGUGAAGUAUGUAAAACUAAGGCUAAUGGAGGUAAGGGAAUCAAAAAGGAGAGAUGAUCAAUAAGCUAUGUUAGCCAAGGGAAGCUGGAGAUUGAUGCGUGGUAACCAUGGUCGAUCAUAAGUGUAUUAUAAGCUAUUUCGCAAAAAAGUUUGUUUAUUCAUAUUAAAAACCUCAACUCUGUUCUAGCUCUUGGUCUGGUGUUGUUCAUGGAGCCAAUUUGUUGAUGAAAGGUCUCAAAUCGAGGAUUGGUGAAUGAUGCUAAAGAUUUGUUUCUGGAAUGAUAAUUGCUGCUCUUUGUAAUUUAAUGCACCAAACAGGUAUGUAAUGGCUUUGAUAAACCUUAUUUAUUCCAGCAUGGAAUGACUAUCUGCAAAUCUUAAACAUUUUUUUUUUCUGGAAUUCUGCAUUGGAGUAUUUUUCUUUGUUUUUUUUUGCUCUUGGUUUAUAUGGACGUGGAGGGAUUUGGUUUCUCCCUACUUCAGAUGAAAGGAUUUCCCCGAAAUCGGGUAUGCUUUUACCGCUUUAUUUUGAUUACGUGCUUGUAAAUUGGUGCUGCGGUUGCAGAGGCAAAGGUACGUCUUCCGAAACUUCAAUUCUGCAUCUGUGGGAAUGUUCAUAUGGAGGAGUGUUGGCAUAUAGAUGAUUGAUGCAUGUAUUUGUUGUGGUUGACGUGUGGAUUAGAGAAGGAGGAUGGAUAGAUUUUUGCUUCUGAUAUGAUAUAUGUUAUUUUUGAUAUCUGUGGUGUCUGAUCUCCCAAAAUUUAUAAAUUUCGAUUUUGACAUGUUCAUGAUAUCUGAAAGUAUAUGAAUUGUUGUUUUAGUUUAUGUUUUACACAAAGCAUACUUAAACUAUGAAGACACAGGUUAAGAACUCAUGAAAACACUAAAAAUUGUGCUGUAUUAUAAUGUUCUGCUUAUUUUGGCCUUCAAAGAAGUAUUUGAGUAUGAUUUUAUAAUAUAUGCAGUGGUAUGUGUAUAUGCAGGAAUUUAUCAAGAUUUUCUGAAACUUUUCUUAGUCUAAAGGGUUAGACUGUUUUCACUAAAACUAAAUAACGAAUUCUUAUUGUGUAUGGCAUAUCAAUUCAGAAACUACAGCUUUUUGUAAGAAAUUAUGUCACAAAGGCAUUGAUUAAAGAAAGGUUGUCUAUUUUCAAGGGAUGUUAUGCCGAAUUUCCUGUAGCAUCUCCUUUGGUCCCCGCAGAGUUUAUUCCCCUGAAAUCCGAGGUGGGUCCUGACAAUUGUCGCAUGCCCGAAUGCAGUACUGGAACUAAUACUACAUGAAGCCUGCUUACUAUGGAGACCGGCUUGUUGAUUUGGAUGACUCUCUCAAAAUGUUGUUGAAAAGACUAGAGCUGCAACAAGCUAGGGACGUGAAGGUGACAUUGCAUUUGGCAAGGUCCAUUAGAAGAGCAACACUUCGGCCUCCUCCUCCUCCUCCUCUUUCUCCACCAAAACUUAGAGCUAGCUGGAGUAAAAUAUCGGCUUCGUUUAGAAAAAGGGAAAGGAGAAGGAGUAAAAUAUUGGCCUUGAGUCAAGGCAAAAAGAAGAAGAAAAAGAGGCAAGUCCAACAGAAAAAGGGUGAUACCGACGUCCUCUCUCUCUCUCNNNNNNNNNNNNNNNNNNNNUACUCUCUCUCUCUCUCUCUCUCUCUCUCUCUCUCUCUCUCUCUCUCUCUCUCUCUCUCUCUCUCUCUCUCUCCGAAUUCCAGUGUCGACUCUGCUAGAAAGAUGUCGUCCAGCUCCGGUACCGGUUUGUCAUCAGCUUCGACCAAGUACAUGAAUUUUAAAGAAAUCACCGCCACCGUUAGUUUUCUCCCCCAUUUAGCAAUUUUCACAAGAAAAUACUCAUAAAAUUUGGUGGGCUUAAAUUCUCGACUUGAAUUCUAUAUAAAAUAAACGUCAUUUAUCAAUUCAUUUAAUUAAAGUUAGUAUAAAUAUUAAUUCAAUCAAUCGAAUUGAAUUAAAACUCUACGUAAUAAAAUCCAAUCAAUCGAAUUCUCAAUCAAUCAAUAAAAUUUAAAAUUUCCGUGAAAAUUGCAUUUACUACUCUUGAAAUGAGUAGAGACAUAUUCCGUUCCAUUUUUACUUUUACAAAGUUUACUUCUUCUUUUUUUUUUUCUUUUAGAAAAAAAAGAAAAAGGAAAAAACUUAGAGCUAGCAAGGAGUAAAAUAUUGGGCUUGACCGCUUGAGUCGAGGCAAAAAGAAGAAGAAAAAGAGACAAGUCCAAUAGAAAAAGAAAAAGGGUGAUACCGACGCCGUCUCUCUCUCCGAAUCCCAGUGUCGACUCCGCUGGAAAGAUGUCGUCCGGUACCAGUUUGUCAUCAGCUUCGACCAAGUACAGGAAUUUUAAAGAAAUCACGCGCCACCGUUAGUUUUCUCCCCCAUUCACUUCCUCUUUUUCAAUUUCGCGAAUCUAAUAAUUAGAUCAAGAUUAUCUUUUACUUGUAAAAUCGCUGUAUGGCUUGUCAUCUGAAUCAUAUGAUGAUAAGCGACUGUACUUCCUAAUCGAGAAAACUCCAAAUCUACUACAUACUGUUUUUUUUCUUAUUAUUAUUUAUAUAAUCGAUCUGUUUGCGUCAGAUUUUUUAUUAUAAUUUUGCAUAUGCCAAUGAUUGUAUCUGUAUUUGCUGGGAUUAUUAUUAUUAUUAUUAUAUAUUGUUGUUUUCUUUAUGCUGGCUAAUACCGAGACAGUUGUUGUUUUAUAUAUCCUUCGCGAGCUUAGUGACUAAUCGCCUGGUGAUUGACCUGUUUUCCUCUUUUUUAAUAUUCUUUUAUCCCAUAUUUGAUGCGUAGGAUUAUUGAAUGAAAUGCUUCGGUCUUGCAAAACUUGGAACUCAAAAUCAACAUGGAAGGUACGAAAUGUGAUCCAUCUCCUUUUUAUUUUUAAUUUUUACUUUUUAUUUUUAAUUUUUAAUUUGUGAUGUUUAGAAGUAAUUCUCUCUUAUGAUUGACAAUUAUAACAUGGACUAUUUUUGGUUCAUCAAUUUUAAGUUUUCUAGAAUGGAUUUAGUCAAGCAUUUGUAGCACACUGUAAAUGGUGGGGAUGGGGAAAUGCGAGUUAGGAGUCGUUGUAUCUUUUCUUAGUUUGUAAACCCAUCACAGAUUCACGUUGCAAACUCUUGACAUGCAAUUUUAUUUCUUGUCCUUGAAUCCUAUAUUCUGCAGGUACUCGUUAUGGAUGAAUUUACUGUCAAGAUAAUGUCUCACGCAUGCACAGUCGUUGAUACUACAAAUGAAGGUGUUUCAUGUAAGUUUCAAAACGACUCCUCUGCUAUGUUAUUUAGUAUUAUAUUAUCUCAGCUUUCUUCCUAAUCUUUCGAAAAGACUUAUUUGCCAUUUUAAACUUGCGAGGCUUCUUAAUUGUUCUGUUAAGUCUGUCUAUAAGUAAGCAUCAAUUGCUGUUUUUCUUUUUCUUUUUCUUUCUUACAAGUUACUACAAUGAAUUCAUAUUUUCUUGCAGUGCUUGAGCGCAUAGAUAAAAAAAGGCAGCGAUUGCCAUCUAUGGAUGCAAUAUAUUUUAUCCGGCCUUCUAAAGAAAAGUAAUGCUUUUCACACCUUUUGGGUUAUUAUCGCUAUAAUGUCAUUAAGUAAUUGAUAUCUGCUUUAAAAUCGGGAUUCAAGUUCUUCCUUUCUACCCAGCUAACUAACCAUUUAGUUUCACGCCUGUCCACUGUUACAGUUUAGCUUCUCGUUAAUUUUAUUUACUUAUUUUCAUAUUAUUAGGGGUUGUUAUGAGAGCUAAACCCUAUAAUCUAAGCAGUGGGAUCACAACAAAAAGUUGCAAUCUUGGAAGUAUAAUUUUUUAAAUGUGUCACAGUUGCAUUAUUAAGUGGUGUCCAUGGGGCCAAAAUGAUAGAAGUUGGAAAAUGCAAAACAAGCCGGGUAAAUUAGAAGAUCCUAAACGACUUUGACAUUAGCACCGAUCCAAUUCUAUUCCCGUUCAUGUUAGAACUUGUAACACUACCCCUGUGAUCUCAUGUGGAGCUUACACUGUGAUAAAUGAACCAUCAAGAAUGCUAGGAUGUAUUCAUUUGAUCCAAUCCCUUGGUAUUUUCUCAUAAGUAUGCUACCAAUUUGGUGUGUGAACCUGCAAUCGUUAGUACGCUGGCUAUCUAUGCUUUUGAUGUGGUAUUCUCAUUUAGUUUGCUGAUGAAUCUUGCUAAAGAAUUAAAUAAUUGCUGGCCAACUUCAGCUUUUGGGAACAAUUGUUACUAACAGAACUUACAACUGAGAGCUUUAAUCAUACAUCUUUGGAUCAUUAGCAUCCCGUUAUAUGCUGUAUUCCGUGAUUGCUUUUUUAAUGGAGAGGCCCACAUGUGAGAUAUGUAUUACAAUAUAAAACCACUAUUGGUGCACAUCCUAAAAACUUAAGCUUGAUUGAGGGCUGUUGCACUAACAAAGUUCAUCAUAUCACAUGUCUUAAAAGUAAUUAUGGUGGCAAUUUCACCAGAAUAAUGCUUCUUCAGUAAUUCGUUGAUCUUAUGGGUGGAUAUGGAUCCCGUAAAUAUGUGCUUCCUUACUUUUUCUUGAAACAAGCAGUGCUCGUGUUUAUUCUGUAUUUUGAGUAGAAUGUGAAGUAAGAAAUUUCCAGUUGAAAUGAUGUUGUGGCACUAUUGGAAUAUGAACAUAAACAAUUUUAACCUCCUCUCUUUCUGGUGGUGAAAUUGCAGUGUUAGAUUCUUCUUGUCAGACAUGUCGGGAGGCGUACCUUUCUAUAGGAAGUAUGUGCAUGAAUAUCAGUCUUUUCUCUUGCACUAGUUUGUUUAAUUUAUCAUAAGAUGAUAGAAAUAAAUCUUCCUGUUCUCUUUGUAGGGCGUUUGUUUUCUUCACUUCACCGAUAUCCAAGCAUUUGGUUGGGCAGAUCAAGGCGGAUGCAAGUCUAAGAAGCCGCAUAUCUGCAUUGAGUGAGGUGUAAUUCCUUCCCUUGGCACUUAUUUUGUUUUAGAUUGAGAACUCUGCAGAGGCUUAUGUAUCAGCCAGUUAAAUCCUUCUAUUCUUAAACUUGCAGAUGAACCUGGAGUACUAUGCUAUAGAUAGCCAGGUAUUUGUAGUCAAUUUGUUUAGUCCCAUUUGCAUUAUAUGUUUUUUUUUUUUUCUACUUGUAAAUAUUUUAUCAAUUUGGGGUUUGGGGUUAUCACCCACCAAAUUACAUAGAAUUCAAAAUCCUCUCGCCAAAAUAUUUUAACUGAUAAAAAAGAAAGUAAAUUUCCGGUAGUAAAACAAAAUUAAAAUAAAGAUAAUUUAUGCAUGACUUUGUAAUGUGUGAACCGAAUCCACCUAGUCGACUCAUGCCUCUAUUUAAUUUCAAUCGAGAGAAAGGAGUUUGUGAGUCGGAUUGUUAAUCACCUGCCUAGGUUCAUAUCCUGUCAUAAAGAUGUGCAUGGCUUGUUAGAGACAUAAUAUUGUGAACCAAAUCUAAAUUUUAUAUAAAUCCAUUUAAUAAAGAUAGAAAAGAUUUGACAUAAGUCUCAUAGGAAAUUGAAUUUCUUUGCUAGAAUCUGUGGGAAUACACAUACGUUACGCUUAAUUUAGGUCUGCCACAGUUAUCAACAUAGUAUGCUUAAGCUGGAUCAAAUUUUCUGUCUUUGAUUAUUUUUCAUAUGUUCAUCCCUUUUUAGUGAUGUCUGCUUUUCCUUGCAAAGGGUUUUGUUACCAAUAACCAGAGAGCUUUACAGCAGCUGUAUGGGGACAAGGACGAUUCACGCGAAGCUGAAGCAUGUUUGAAUGAGAUGGCUGCACGUGUUGCCACAGUCUUUGCUUCAUUAAGGGUAGAGGUGAUUUUGAUUUUUAAUGUUGAUCAAAGAUUUCAUGAAAAUGUUCUGAACAACACUAGCUAUUCAUUUUUUCAAUUUCAUAGGAACUUCCUGUUGUUCACUACCGAGCUGCCAAUAGGUUUGAUGCCACCGUGGAGACCACUUUUUGUGAUUUGAUUCCUACAAAGCUUGCUGCUGGUAUCUGGGAUUCUCUCAUGCAUUACAAGAGAACAAUUCCAGAUUUCCCUCAGAGAGAAACUUGCGAGUUACUUAUCCUUGACAGAUCCGUGGAUCAGGUCUUUAGCUAUGUGUCUGUCUUUUUUUUAAAAACACAUCAUACUUGAUGCACCCUUGUCUUUAUUAAGUAAUACUCGUCCUUGUCUGACUUUUCAGAUUGCGCCAAUCAUACACGAAUGGACAUAUGAUGCCUUGUGUCAUGACUUGUUAGAAAUGGAAGGAAAUAAAUAUGUUCACGAGGCAAGUAGUAACUUCCCUUUAUGGCAUUUCUUUCGAAGUUCAUGGUCUCACAAAUUUGGGGAAAGUGUAACAUAGAAUUGUACAUACAGGUUGCAAACAUAACUGGUGGUCCUCCUGACAAGAAAGAUGUUCUUCUAGACGAGUGUGAUCCUGUCUGGCUUGAGCUUCGCGAUCGUCAUUUAGGAUUUGUAAGUCUUGUGCCUACACAUCUUUUUGGGAUUUCUUAUGCAUAAAAGCAUCUCUCUUUGUUUUCUUAAUCACAAAUGAAUGACCUUGUCAGGCCUUGGAAUGGUUAAAGUCAGAACUUUCCAGUCUUAAGCAGAAUAAGGUUGCACGAUUCGAAAAUUCAAGGUAUGUGAUUAGUUGCUACAAUCAGCAAACCAACCUUAGUAUGGAAGAUAACUUUAAUGGUGCAAUGGUUCUCAAAUUUAAUUUGGGCUUUAUUGCAAGUACUUUUGGUCAUAAAUGGUCCGAAUCUGUUUCUUGAAUUGUCUAUUACUAACAAGGACUAUAGUGAAGUAGAUCAUCACCAAGAUAGCUACACAUUAAAAUUGGUAGUUGUCAAGAAACCUAUAUUGAAAGUAAUAUAGAAACGAGCCUGGCUGGAUUUUUCUUUUUCAUUUCAUCUGGGGACAUAUAUUACUACAUGGCACUUGUUAGUUUUGCGAGGUAUUGUUGCAUGACGCGGAAUUUGCCUCAUCUGAUGCAUAUGGAUAGUGCUAGGAAUAUCUCUCUGGUCUGCCAACCCUUAUAUAACUUAUGUGGUGAAUACUGAGUUAAGCAUAUUCACAAAGGGUGAUAAUUACAAGGCUCUAGUCCAGUAAUCAAUGUUUGGGACAUAAUAACCAUUUCUGCUAGCAGACUAAACUUUCUCUUUCUUUUUCCAGAUAUUCACUCCUUAGGAAUUAUUUUACUGAUCUGGUGGCUAGUGACUGCUUUUGACAUCUUCCUUGAAUAAACCGAUAAGCUGAACCCUGAGUAGUCUUAUUACUAUUUUUUUGUUAAACAUGUUGAAAUUAAUGUUUUGUUAAACAUGUUAAAUAGAGAUGGGCAAUCUCCUGAGGUAUCCUCGAGGGAAUUGAAAGACAUAACUGAAGCAUUGCCACAGUAUCUUGAACUAAAAGAGAAGCUCUCCCUUCAUAUAGAGGUCAGUUCUUAAAGGUUUUAUUGUCUCAUUUGUAAUGUUCCAAUGUGUUGAAAACUUAAAUUUGUUGUUUCAAGUUGCUGCCAAGUAUUUAUGAAGACGGCAUAUUUUACAGUUAUUGCUUUAUAUGCAUCGAGACAUGCUUCUUAGGUAAGAACGAAGUUAAAUAAAAAAGAAAUAAAAUCAAAUUUUGGUUGCUUUAUAUGCAUUGAGACAUGCCACUUAAGUCGCUUGUCUGCGAUCUUUCUCUAAAUAUUGCUUUUUUCUAGUCUUAAAAUUGCCAAGCCCAUUGGAAAGUAUAAUUAUGGUAAUCAUGAGGUGGAGCAACUGAAUGAUAGCACAUUUAACAGCCAAGAAGUUUAUACUUGAACUUUGAGCAUAGCAACAGUGGCUCAAGAGAAAUAUAUAAUUUUCUUUUCUCCAGAUUGCAUCGAAACUAAACACAAUUGUCAGGAACUUCAAGCUUCCGUUCCUUUCGGAGCUGGAGCAGAGUCUGGUUUAUGGUGAUGCAGGAAUAAGAGAAGUGAUAAUGUUUCUGAGAAUACACGGGGUAAGGAAUUAUGGAAAUACUAAAUUAUGAGCGCACCAGACUCCUUCUCUUUCUAUUUUGUAUAACACUUUUUCUUCAGCCGUCUAUUGGUCGCGAACAUAUGCUGCGCUUGUUGAUGAUUGCUGCUGCCAUUUAUCCUGAGUUUUUGAAGGACGGGGGAUAUUUACAGAUGAUGAUGAAGGUUAGUAGUAGAUGAGUUCAGUUAGCGUAUCUAGUCUCGUUUCUAUUAGUCAGGUGUUAAUUUGUGGUACUGUUUUUCUUCAGCAUGCGAAUUUACUACCCCAGGAUAUGACUGCUGUGAGGAAUAUGAAGUUGAUUGGGAAGGGCCAAGAAGGCUCAUCUGGAAUCUUUCCUAUGAAGUUUGGUAUUGCCAAGGUGAAUGUAUUUAACAGAUACUUUUUUGAGCCUGUUCAGUUUGUUGAUCAAUAUCUCACAAGCAGUUUUUCUAUAAUUAGAGAGAACGGUAUAGGAAAGAGCGUCCAAGAGAAGAUGAAUGGCGUUAUUCGCGGUUUUCUCCGAUGAUAGAGGUACCUUUUUAGCUGGUUUUCAUUUGUACAGUUCCAAGCUUACAAGUAAGCCACUGUUUUUUGAAUUAACUGUACCCUAUCAUACUUUCUCCUUUCAGGAACUCAUAGAAAAGCUUAGCAAUGGUGCACUGUCAGAGGAGUUGUAUCCUUGUGUGAAUCCCAACGCUUGUGUACCGAAAUCGAGGAGGACACCAACGUGGGCCCACCGUCGGACUUCUGAUGAUGGGCUCUCAAGGUAUAUAUCUUGCUCAAUCUUCUUCUACUGUGCACCUAGGUCAUCUAAUCAGAUCACAUGCUGUAGGUCAUCUAAUCAGAUCACAUGCUGAUUUCAUAUUUUAACCUACAUCGUUAGCCUUCCCAAAUGUUCCGCUUUUAUUAUUUUGUUCUUAUAUCUGAGUCCUGCAUGGUCACAAACCCUAUCAAAGUAAUCAGAGCUUCUUGGGUGACUCGUGCAUUUUGGAAAUCUUCCAUAAAUAGAGUAGUGCUUUGUGUCCUUCCAGUGACUAUUCUUGUUUCCUGCUGUGUAUUAAGGUAUGCAUCCAGUGGUUAUGAAAAGAUGGGCCAACGGAUCUUUGUAGUUAUAGUAGGUGGAGCUACUAGAUCAGAGGUAUGAAAGAUGUUCCCUUUCUUCUGAUUUUGAGAAGGUCGUGGAUACUACUUUUCUUAUUCUGUUUAGAACGCAAACGAAAUUUGCUGAGCUUUUAAUUAAUGUAUUCAGCUUAGGGUGUGCCAUAAGCUCACAGCUAAGCUCAAAAGGGAAGUUAUUCUGGGCUCAUCAUCUCUGGACGAUCCUGCAUCUUUUGUUACGGUAUAUUAUGUUUAAAACUUUUGAUCUUCAAAAAGCUUGAUGAUACUUGUGCUGUCCUCAAACAGCUGAUUUGAUAUGCAGAAUCUGAAAAUGAUCACAGCAGAGAACAAGCCGCUCAUGUUGGAUGAUGUACAGAUCUGACUAUGGAAGUUCAACUAAAUUUUUUUUUUUUUUAUUGAGGUCAAUGUAGUUGUUUCUGAUGUCCGAAAGCACCGCAUCAAUAUCUGUUUCCGAAAAUAUGUGAACGGAUCACUUGUAGAACUGUCUCCUUAUCCCAUUAAUUAGGAUUAUGAUACUUGAAUUUACAUAGUUAUCAAAGUAGUACCUAGACUUGAGUUUUUGUAUAUCCGUCAUAUUUAUCAUACCUAGUGUUAAUAUCAACGUCUGAUGCAUAUGACUCUUUAAACGAUGCAAUAAAGACUUAUUUACCCUUUUCAUUUGUUAAACACACGCUUUCUCAUUGAAACAGAUGAAAUCCAAAGCAGUCACCCAUGCAUCAUUGUUCUUAUUUCAUCCAUCUCAUGAAAUUCAACCUCAUGCAAUUAUUGUGUCGAGUAGUUCUACCAUCACUUAUACCCAUUUGAAGCAUCAUAUAUCUCUCAUCUUUGUAUUCUCCUUCGACCACGUUCUGCACACAGGAGAAAUGUUGAAUGGGUACAUACCAUCUCAAGUGUUGGUUAAAUUAUUGAUUAAUCGUUGGAAUGAGUUUCUUCCAAAUUGAAGCUUAAUCCCAUCACAAAUCUCUCUUCUUUUGGAUGGAUUUUUUUGAAAUGGAUUUCUUUCUUUAUUGGAUUAGAAUUUACUGAUGCGUUAGACUUUUAAGGGAACACGAAUGUUUCAACAACAUGAAUGAUUACUGGGUUUUUUUUUCUUUUUUUAUUUGCUGGGUUUAAGAUGUUGAACAUGAAGUCAUGAAGAGUUGAACAGGAGGAGAAGAGUUGAACAUGAGGAGGAAAAGUGCGUGUCUAAGCUGGAUUUGGAGAUGGAGUUUUGGAAGAAGACCCAAAUCCAAAUUCUAAAAGAUAUAGAAGAUUAUAAUAUACAAGUUUCUUUGAUUUCAUGGUCCAAAAGUUUUGAUGGGGAUAAUAUCCAAUCAUGAUGAUCGGAUUAAGAUAUUAGGAUUUAGUAUUUUUUUUUUAUUUUUUUUUAUUUUUAAGAAUGUUUUGUUAACUGAACAAAGUAAAAAGAAAUUUUUCAGAUUUUAUUUUAAAUUUUAAAUUUAUGUAUUUAGGAUGAAUGGACAGAGAAUGUCUGUUCUGCCCUCAUUUUACAACUGAUGUGCCUCACACAUAGUCAACAAUGACGGUGAAUAAACGGAAAUCGACCCCAGGUAUAACGGAUAUACGAAAAUUUAAGUCUAAGAACUACUUUGAUAACUUUGUAAGUUCGGGUAUCAUAUUAUCAGUCACCCAAGUGUUCAGACACUAUUAGUGCAAAAAAUCUCAUUACUUACAUGUAGCAUCUAUUGAUCUGUUUGACCAUAAACCUUAUAUAUUAUGCAGUUCUGCAGGUUCUAGUAUGUAUUGAAGAACAAAAGUACAGUCAAGAAAAAUCUAGCAAGAAUAGAACAGAAUUGGAUUUGGCCUGUGUUAAACUCAACCUCCAAAACUUCAACCUCCUCUUGUGGCAGGUCAUCUUAAUUUUGCAAAUUAAACUCUGCUGUUCAGUGGAAUUUGAUGACAAGGUGUACUCGGUAACUCCUUAGGUUUUCUGCAUAGAGAAGAGAGGGAAAAAACAAAAGUUGCUUGUAUUAUUUGGUUCAAAUUUAUUCUCAACUGCAUCUGUUUGUCAUAAAUCCAAAACUCCAAAAAGUACUGGAAUGUUGUUGGUUCAAAUGUCUGAUAAAUCAGUUCCGAUCAAAAAAGAAAAAGAAAAAGUGUUGAAUGAGACUUGUCAAGCUGGGGCAUAUUUAUAACUUGAUUGAAUCCAUUCUCAUGUGAGUCAUGGGACAAAGUUUCCACAUUUUAGGGUAUAGUACUCUCUCUCUCUCUCNNNNNNNNNNNNNNNNNNNNCUCUCUCUCUCUCUCUCUCUCUCUCUCUCUCUCUCUCUCUCUCUCUCUCUCUCUCUCUCUCAACCUAUCUGUUUGGAAUUAAUAAAUAUGAAGUGCAAGAGAAGUAGUUAGUAUUGUAUAAUCAAGUUUCUCUAUAAAUAGAACGAGAAGCUGCAGAAGAGAAUAUGAUGGUGAAGUUGGAAGACAGUUUUUCUUUAACUAACUGUAGGUUGCAUUAUUUGUUUUCAAUGUGUUUUUUGUUUCUUUAACUUUGUCAGUGUUGCUUCGAUGGAGGAAGAGGGACGGGGAAGAUCAUAUAUCUUACGACCUGAGUAAAUUUUUUCUUCUCAAGAUGAAGUCUAUCACAUCUAAUUGUUUUACUAUUGUAGGCAAUCUACCGACCCACUAGAUGCAACCACCAAUCUCAAAUCAAAACCUUGACUCCACCAGUCACAAAUCUCAAAUCAAAUUCUCGACUUCGCCGGUCAAAUUCACAAAACCUGAAUCUCUGGCUCCACCAGUCAAAUUCACCCAAACACCACAAAUAUCAAAUACCCAAACCAAAUUCAAGGGCUUUAAACCCUCACAAAUAUCCCAAACACAAAUUCAAAAUAAAUGGGUUUGGACACCCACAACUAUCGCUAAUAAAGAAGACACAUACAUUCGAUUGAUUAGCCUUGUAUACACAAGACGUAUUACAUUAGAUCGAUCAUUACAUACAAGCACCCCUAUAGACAAGAUAAUCAUGUUAGCUUAAUCAUUAGGAACAAAUAACCUUUUAUACAUGGUGGUGUCACAUUAGAUCGAUCAUUACAUACAAGCGCCUUUAUAGACAAGAUAAUCACCUUAGCUCGAUCAUUAGGAACAACUAGCCCUACAUACACGAGAUGUAUUGUUAGCUCGAUUAUUAGGAACGAGUAGCCCUAUAUACACAAGAUUUCACAUUUGUUCGAUCAUUAGGAACAAGUAGCUCUAUAUACACAAGAUGUCACAUUUGUGCGUUCAUUAAGAACAUGAUACACCCCGAACCUAGUAAUUAUUUUUAUACUGUGGUUUCCGAUUUAAUGGUAGCUAAUCAAUUCGGAAAUUUGUUCUUUUAUUUUGAUAGAGGUGGUUUAGACGAGUUCAUAGAUUUUUAGUUACCCGAAUAGAAGUUCGUAAAUAAAGGGUAGCUAAAAUAAUAACAAUGUCCAUUUUUGGGUUGGGGUAUAAGAGGGAAACUUACUAUUUUUGGUUAAGGUAGAAAACAAAUGCGCCUCACUCUCUCUCCCCGACCCCGACCCCGACCCCGACUCCGUCCUCGUCCGAUUCUCCUUUAAGGAUCACCGCCGUCCGACAACGCCUGGCCGCCACACCGGUCUUGUUCGACAACUGGGACACCGCUCGUCCAGCCUGGGGUGGUGAUCGGUCCUAACUCGCCAGCAUUAAGGCGCAGUGACGCCGCUGCCGUCGCGCAACUUGCUUUGUCGGAACUUCCUUCUCCGGUCAUUGAUUCUAGCGAUCUUUGGGGGGUUUUGUAGCUCUUCUAUUGGCCUUUCAACCCUCCAAAAGUGGAAGAGCAAUUUGGGGUAUAUAGCCAAAUCGGAGUAGUUUUUGUGUUCUUGAGCUUGUGAGGUAUUUUCCGGUCAAACCUUUGAUUUGUAGGUUUUGUGUUAGUCAUGAUUGUUGUUGUGCUUGUUGAGAAGAAGAGUUUGAUAUAUGCCUUGUUAAUUUUGGUUGAAGUUGAUAUGGCGGUUGACCGCCACUGCCGGUGGCUGCUACCAUACAUGGUAGUGGUUUUGAGGAAUUUUGGUUGAUUUCUAGAAGGGGGUAAUGUUGUUAUAGUGUAUGGUGAUUUUUGGUGAAGGGUUCUUGGAAUUUGGGAUAGUUUUGGUUGCUCUAUGGAUGGGAAGUGAGUUGAAAAGAAGUAUUGAAAAUUUUGGUGAAGGUUGAUUGGGAUUUAGGAAAUUUUUAAGUUGAUUUUGGUGGAGGAGGAGAGGUGAGUCUCAUCCAUAGGAAUUUCUAUAUUUAUAUUUAUGUGUUAGAACGUUGAGGAAAAUUGGAGAAGAUUAGUAAAAAGGGUUGGAGUUCUUCUUAGUCUUUGGAGAGUGUAGAAUGAGUGAGGAUGACAUUGCUCUAUUUUGUUAAAUUUGAUAUUCUUGUAUUUUUGUCUCGGACCUUAAAUCUCGCUUUGUACAAGACGGGAGGAGACACUACGUGAGGAGAGCUUUGACCGACGUCAGACUUAGCGGUCUAUAUAGUGAGUGGACAUUUUGGUUUUUAAUUAAUAUGCAUGCAUGAUUUUAUAAAUGGUUAAUUAUAUUUUCCAAGCUUAAAUUAUGAUUUCAGCUUUCAAAUUGUUAUGAAAUUUAGUUGAGAUUGACAUAUUGAUUGUGAUUUCAUUAAUGAACUUAUGGAUUUGAGCUUGGGUAAAAGAUUUGGUAUUUAAGUUAUAUUAAUCCUAAUGAUUUUUGGAUUUGAGAUUUACAUCAAGGAUUGGAGGUUUGAAAUAUGUUGAUUAUUUGGCUUAAUUAUUACAUUGAGCAUUUUAACGUGUGGGACACGUUAUUAAAUUUAAUUUAUUUCUUUUAUUUUGGAAUUUUUCCGCGUACGAUUGGGAAUCGUAUUUAUGCUUUAGUUAUGAGUUUCAGGGAAACUCAGAUGAAUCGUAUUUAUGCUUUAGUUAUGAGUUUCAGGGAAACUCACAUGAAUUUUUUUUUGGUGUCAUAUUUGUUGGAUUAUAUAUGAUGUCAAUGCUAGCAUGUUGUUCCACUUUUCGAGAUGAUGUGACUUCCACAUUCCAAGUGGGGUCAUGCAAGCCCCACCCUAGUGGUGAUGUGAUGUUGUCGGCGACAUCACGCAAGCCCUGUAUCCUCUCUGUCAACUCGACAUGAAGAUACAUGGAGUAUGGGAGUACUUUGCCUGAGAGACAACCGAGUCUGGGAGACUUACUUAUAUGACCAUAUAGGGUUCUUUUAUUUUUAAGUUGUUAAUUUGACUAUUUGACUAGCGGGGCUUUGAAAGUUUCUUAUAUGAGGAAUCUAUUUAUUUUUCUUGUUGUUUUAUGACUAGUGGGGCUUGUUUGAAUUUUUGAUGAGCUUAUAAUAUUUUCAUGCAUAAUAUUUUCAUGCAUAAUAUUUUCAUGUAUGGAAUUUCUUAAAUUCCGUAUAAAUGGAAAGGCAUAUAAAAUUUAAUUUCGUAUUAUUUUGUUCUUGGUCACUCAUUAAUUAAUUUAUUUUCCGUCCGCUCACACUAACGUUUUAAAUGCUUUUCCCUGGGCCCUUUGUUUUCAUAUGCUCAGAUUGCAGAGUUUCUGUUCGGCUUCACUAAGAGUUGAGGCAUAGUAUCUUCUGCUGCAUCUUGUUGAACGUAGGUUAUCUGUUAAUCUAUGUGUUAAUAUUUUAUUUUCUUCCUGUAGUGCUCUGAUGACCAUGGGGAAAUGUAAAUUAUGUUAGAGUUUUUAAAGGUUAUGACCCAAGUAGAGAGGUUUACUCUGGUGGUUGUUCAUGUUUAUGUAAUGUAGUUGAAUAUUUGGUUUGGAUUGCUUAAGUGUUGUUAUGACUUGGUUCAUGUUGUGAGGAGCGAAGGGCUCCAGGAGUUGUGGUUGAUUAUUAUAGUUGAAGUAUCUUAGUUUUAUUUCAGGUUGGGUUGUCCAUUUUUAGGGUUAUGCCAAAAUUUCAGUAUAAUCUCUUUUAGAGUGGACCCCGCAAGACUUGCAUGUUUUCUUAUGUGUUUUCGGGGUGGGUCUUGUUAGAACAAGUAGCUCUAUAUACUCUUCAAGAGAUGUCACAUUUGUUCAAUCAUUAGGAGAAAGUAGCCUCCUAAGAACAAAGAUAAAAAUAGUAGACUUAACUCAUCUAAAUAGUAGACAUGACUUAUGAUAACAGUAUACUUAACUCAUGUAAAUAGUAGACAUGAGUCAUGAUAAUAGUAACACUCAAAGAACCACUCCAUUGGCCUAACCUCCACUUCCCUUGGAUUGCCAGCGUGUCAUCGCUCUUGGCCGUCAAUUCUAAACUCAACCCUAAAAUCUCGAUCGCUCAUUCAUUUCACAUAAAGCACUACUCUCCAUUGGUCGAUCCCCAUGUCACUUGGAUCGCCACGUGUCAUGCUCUCAGCCGUCCACUCUAUAGCCUAAUUCAAAUCUCAACCGAUCAUUCAUUUCAUACAAAACACUACACUCCAAUUGGCCGAACCACAUAUGACCCGGAUCGCCAGCGUGUCAUCGACACAUUUAUUAUUAGAAAAAUCUAUUGUUUUCAUGAGAACUGUCUACCAUUUACAUGAGCAAAAACACCAAAAAGUAGACUUUCUGGAAAUCAAAAUGGUACUUGUGUUCGAAUAAUUUAGAUGGCAAAAGUUGCAAAAUCUACAACAUAAGCAACAUCUACCAUCUACAUAAACAAAAUCACAAAUAAAUAGACUUUCUGGAAAUUAAAAUGGUUCUUAUGUUCGAAUCACUUAGAUGGCAAAAGUUGCAAAGUCUACAACAAACAUAAGAAACAUUUACUGUUUUAAUAAGAAAGAUCUACCAUUUACAUAAACAAAAUCACAAAGAAGUAGCCUUUCUGGAAAUCAAAAUGGUUCUUGUGUUUGAACCAUUUAGAUGGCAAAAGUUACAAAGUCUACAACUAACAUAAACAACAUAUACUGUUUUAAUUAGAAAAAUCUACCAUUUACAUAAACAAAAUCACAAAGAAAUAGACUUUCUGGAAAUCAAAAUGGUACUUGUGUUCAAACCAUUUAGAUGACAAAAGUUGCAAAGUCUACAACUAACAUAAUAAAACAUCUACCAUUUACAUAAACAAAAUCUCAAAGAAGUAGACUUUCUGGAAAUUAAAAUGGUACUUGUGUUCGAACCAUUUGGAUGGCAUAAGUUGUUAAGUAUACAACUAACAUAAGACAUAUUUACUGUUUUCAUUAGAAAUAUCUACCAUUUACAUAAACAAAAUCACAAAGAAGUAGACUUUCUGGAAAUCAAAAUGGUACUUGUGUUCGAACCAUUUAGAUGGCAAGAGUUGCAAAGUCUACAACUAACAUAAGACACAUCUACUAUUUUCAUUAGAUAUAUCUACACAUAAGCAAAAUCACAAAGAAGUAGACUUUCAGGUAAUCAAAUCGGUACUUGUGUUUGAACCUCUGAAGGAAAAAUUUGCAAAGUCUACAUUUAUCAUUAGAAACAUCUACUGGUUUCAUGAAAAAUAUAUGCAGGGUUGUUUCCCUUUUUUUACACGUUGUUUUUUUGACACAUAAACUACAAUAUAUGUGGCAUAAUAUCAUCACUACAAGGAAUCACUACUCACUAUAGGGUUUUUUUACAUGUAACGUAUGUGUGCCCAGCCUGUUUGCAGUUACGGCAGUGUACAGUUCUCUUUGCAGGUGUUGCUACUAAAGGAGGGUCGUCGCUUCCUAACCCUGCUUCCGCUUUUUCAUGCUCUUUUCUUACCGGACAUGUUUGAAUAUUGUGUCCACCGCCUUUGUAAUAACCACAGGUAACCGUCCGUCUCGAUGGCUCAUUCUUUUUGUCGCUCUUUUCUCUGCCUUUGGUCUUAGAUGGGAUAGGAUCUCUCACAAUGAAACCUUUCUUGGUGGGUGUAGCCGUACCUUGCACUUUUUCUUGAUCUCUCGCCAAACCUUCCAUAAUUGCUGCUAGUCUAUCGAUCUCCAUAUUCAACAUGUUGUAGCCUUCUUGCAUCUUUGAAGCAUAAAAGCACAACCGAUUGCAAUCAGCAGUCAAAGCAUCAUACAUGCUACGACGAAAGAAAAGAAAACAAAUGUGUUCACAGACUAAUAUUACAGGUUCCUAUAUUACAUCUGACGAACCCUUACAUGUGUCCGUAAUUAAAACAACUAAAAUUCAAGCCAUGAACAUACCUACUCACUUGCACGGCUUCUUGGGGCAUUUCUUUGUUUGGAUAUAGGAUUUCACAAACACUUCUUGCGUCCCUCGACCACCUCUUCACUAUUAGUGACUUGUGAAGAUGAAAGAUGUUUUCGUUUUUCAUCACCGAGAACAUGUGACGACACGACACUCCCCUAUACUCAAACAUUCCGCAAGAGCACACCAUAAUCGGGUCUGCUGCACUUUCAGUCUCUUUCCGAGGGUAGUAGGUAACAGUGUGUUCAAAAUCAGGACGCUUGUAAACUGAUACCUUGUAAAGCCGGGAACCAUCUUCUUGACAUUUUGUUCCUUGCUUUAGUGUGAUAUGAGCCUCUUUCAUGAUCUCCCUAAAAAUACACUUAAACACGUCGUGUGUGAAUACAGAAGAUGCUUGUUUCUCCAAAUCUUCCAAGUGAGUUUUCGCACUAUGAAAUGAAUUUAUAGUGUUGAAAUCAUCCCUUUCUUGAUUGUUUCUAAUUCUCAUAAGUGUUCGGUCCACCAACGAAACAACCUGCACAAGGGUUUUGCUUUUCGAUAGGACAAGCUUGAAGUCUUUAUUCAUUCCCUCACACCUUUGUGUGCUUCUCAUGCCAGCCAUAAAUAUAUCAUGGAAGAAUGCUUAACAAAACUUUUCUCUCUUUUCAUACAUACUGUUGAUCCAAUCAUUGUCAUAGAGAUCAAAUUCGUCUAGCAUAUAUAUCCUGCCACAACCUAUCAAAUUGCUCAACCAUUUGAUACUUCCUAAUGCACCUGUUGAAAGCCUUCAACUUUUUCGUUAAUUUUAAGUGGCCAUUAGCAUUUUGACCUAUGUGCCAAAUACAGAGACGAUGCCUUGCUUCCAACAUCAUGGUUUGAAUUGCAGUACGCAUGGCCUCGUCUCCGUCUGUGAUUACAGCCUUUUGCAUUUUCCCGUUCAUCAAAUCCAGGAAUUUUCUAAGCAACCAAGUGUAAGUCUCCACAGUCUCAUCUGAAAGAAGAGCAGCACCGAACACAAUACUACCCCGAUGAUUAUUCGUCCCAACAAACAAAACCAAUGACAUGUUGUAGACAUUGGUUUUGUAAGUGCUGUCGAAUAUCAACACAUCCCCAUAAUAGUCAACAAAUGAAUGCACAUCUCGCCAAAACAUGUCCACCAUCCUAUCUUCUAAAUCUGCCGUGAAUCGGUAGAAGAAGUGAGAGUCUUUUGCUGCCAGUGCAUUCAUAUACGAAAGUGCGCCUUUAGAAUCACUCUCAAAUGGGGCGGUCCUUCGUUGCUGGUCAAUCUUGUUGUAGAGGUCCUUCACGGUAAAUCCCACUCUCCUAUAUCCCCCGCUCUGUUCGAC
Molecule: long non-coding RNA, 96545 nt
Filed under: Fragaria vesca (wild strawberry)
Lineage: Eukaryota; Viridiplantae; Streptophyta; Magnoliopsida; Rosales; Rosaceae
Description: long non-coding RNA (FVES_LNC002436)
Source: RNAcentral